UCAAGAUCCAUUUUUUCUAGCAAGUCAUGCAUCAAAAUCUAAAUCAGCUGCAGCAGCAUCAACCAAAAGUACUUUUGAGAAAAGCAUUGAAUAAGUAGAAAUGUGAAAUCAAAAGUUAAGAGUGACUGGAAGUUGCAUAGCUUACCGGAGGUCCAGUCACCAGCAAGCACUUGCCGGGAAGGCCAUCUUUCGCUUCUCCUCCUCCUCCCUCUUCCACUGUCGUUCGUUUUCACCCUCGCUCGAUCAGCCAACAUGACUAACAGGAACGACAAGUCGUUGUGCAAGAGAGGGUACGCUGUUGAUAAUUUGAUAUCGUCACUGCUUUGGGCUGGGUAUGUUUGGAGAAUAAGGCCCGACCAGCCCAUAUGAGCCCAAAAAAUUUAACCUCCUGCACGGUAAUUUUUUUUUUUUCUCCUGAACAAUUGAUAUUGUCUACGCUAGGAGGAGGAGGAGUAGGCUUAGCCUCACAAUCAGUUAACAAUAAUGUGGUUCAAAUGCCGAUAUUUUAAAUACUGACUAAAAAUCACUCGGAAGUCGGAGUACUCAAACUUUGUCAUGUUUGUUGGUCCUCAGUGUUUAUGUUGUUGCUUCUGUGGCAAGGAACAGUUGAUGAUAAUAUUAAAUUAAAAAUGAGAUUUAUCCAUUUGAUUCUAAAGGCAGUUUAAGAGUUAGCAUUACUUAUUUGUUAUCUAUUUUUUAGCCAGGAGGAAAAUCUGAUAAUCUUAGAGGCAGUGAUAUAGAUCCACGUUUAUUAUUCCAUCAUGGAAUAUACCAUCAGGCUGUAACUUGUUGGAUUGUGACUCCAUCAAAAAUUACUUGCAAUUAAUUCAACCAAGUGAGUCCAUUUCUACUACCAAAUUUAGCCUUAUUAUUUCCUUUGAGAAAUUGUCUAUGCAGGACGUUCGUCGUUUGUCUUCAUUUUCAUUCACUUGAACAUGUAUGAUCAUUUCUUCACAUUAACGGGGAUGGCACUGGCAGAAUCAAAUUAUUUGGCAAAGAUAACACCCAAGCUCUACAUGCUUCUGUCAAUGCAGUUCCAAGCAAGUUUAUAUACAGGUUAUGUUUCGAUCUCCAACUGUUUUGUUUCGGUUUUCAUGUUAAUGUAAUGAAAAUUUGAGACCCUUUUCGUAUUGAAAAGUAUAUUAGUCGGUUCUUCGUACGAUGAUUUGAUAGUCUGAUGUAAAUUGUGAUGUUUGAGUUCAGUGUAUGGAGAACCAAGGCAUACUUCUAAAUGUAAAUUCCAAGAACCACAUUGAGGCAAGUUUCUGCACUAUAUUUUCCUCUGAUUUAUUUUCCGACGUUCGAUGAAUGAAUGAUCGAACUUAGGUUUUGGGUUUGUUUAUCUACUGCAUUUUAAUAAUUAUUUUGCAAUGUUGUGUUUAGGUUUGGGACAUAGACUAAAAUAAUUACAAUCAAAACAUGUACUAGUCUCAGACAUUACAAACUUAAUCGUUUUACUAGGAAUUGCCAAUUUUAUACUAACACAAGCCUCUAUUGAUCACAGUAGUUGUCGACAUACCUUGGUGUAAGCUUUUGGCAAAUGCCGGCAGGAGUUGGGAAAUGCCCAACAUGUGUUCGACGAAAUGGUCCAAUAAAUUAUUUUUUUCUUUUCUUAAUUAUAGCUUCAUUAUUUGAAAAUUCUAGCUCCUCCACUAGACAUCAAUAUGCGUCCGCUUAGAAUGAUCAUCCACUGGCUCCGAAGACAAGGAAAGUCAUUGCUCUUGGUAAUCAUAUGCAUCAUAGAAGAUAUCUGAGCCCGCCGAGGAGGAGGGUUUCAAAUUGCAAUAGUGAUUAACAAAGUCCAGCAUAUGUCGCUUGCUAGAAAUCUAAAGAGUACAAAUGAAACACAAAAUUGACAUUAUUAUAGAGAAUUAACUAUAUAAAUAAAAACACUGUAAGGGGAAGAAAUAUACGUACUCUCCCUUUCGGAAAGGAUGUCCUGACAAAUUUGCUACUUCUCUAAGAGCUCUCCUCCACAUCAAGACCUUCUCCUUCUUGUCUUGGAAUUUGCUCUCAUGGCCUGUAAAAGCGUCACCGAAACUGCUCUUUUGAUUUCGUACAUGGGAUGGAUCCACCUUGUAAAAAACUGGCAAAACUAUUUGUUUCUUUGAUUCUCUACAUUGAAGGAUCUUGACGAGGUCGUCCAAGCAUCACCUUGAGGAUGCAUAGCUUUUAGAGAAUAUGAUGGACUCUUCAAUUGCUUUGAGAAGAGCCAGAGAUAUUUCUUCUCUUCUUGGAAGCUGGCAAUCAGAGAAGGUGUGGAUUCCCUUAUCGAUCAAACCCUUGUAUAAAUGACCGGUAAAAUUGGUGCGUGUAUCCUCUUCUCUAUAGCUCAAAAAGACAUCGUAUUUCCAUGAAGGAUGGUGAAGGAAGAAGAAGAGACAAGUUGACCUGCCAUAGGAGAACUAAAGCUAGAUAAACUUAAGAAAAGAGCCUCCCAAAGGAUUGGAAUAUGCAGUAUGUAUUGAACUAAACAUGGUAAAUACCAAUAUUAAACUAAACAUGGUAAAUACCAAAAAUAUAUAUGACAAUAUUUGGGAAUUUCUUAUAUAUUCAUUAAUCUCCAAAGUGGAGUAUAUAUAGGAGUUACAAUUGGUAUUACAUAUGUACUUCACCAAUGUGGGACAAUAAACUACUAUUUACACUUUAACUAAUAUAUAACUCGCAACACUCCCCCUCAAGUUUUUGCAAAGAUGUCACGCAUGCCUAACUUGUCAAGCGAGUUGGAAAACACACUAUUAGACACAGCCUUAGUAAGAACAUCAGCAAGUAGAUCUUCAGAUCUCACAAACAGAAACAUAAUAAUUACAGCAUCAAAUUUUUCCUUAAUGAAAUGUCGAUCAAUCUCCACAUGUUUUGUUCAACCAUGUUGCACUGGAUUAUGAGCAAUCUCAAUAGCAGUCUUGUUAUCACAAUGAAGUUUCAUAGCACCUUUGGGGUUAAACCCAAGAUCUCUCAACAAUUUUUGCAACUACAACAACUCACAUACACCAUGCGACAUACCACGAAACUCAACUUCUGCACUUGACCUAGCCACCACUUUUUGUUUCUUGCUUCUCCAAGUAACUAAAUUACAUCCACAAACGUAAAGUAUCCAGAUGUAGAUCGCCGAUUAGUGAUAGAACCUGCCCAAUCUGCAUCUGUAUACCCUUCGACAUUCAAAUGACCAUUCUUGGAGAAAACCAGGCCUCUGCCAGGAGCCAUCUUCAAGUACCUUAAAAUACGAGUUACUGCAUCCAUAUGAGCUUUAUUAGGUGAGUGCAUAAACUGACUUACCACACUAACUGCAUAAGCAAUGUCAGGGAGAGUGUGAGACAAAUAAAUUAAUCUCCCCACAAGCCUCUGAUACUGUUUCUUAUUAGUAGGAACUUGAUCUGGAAAUAAGCACAGACGAUGAUUCUGCUCAAUCGGAGUAUCAACAGGUUUGCAAUCUAACAUACCUGUUUCAGCUAACAAAUCAAGAACAUAUUUCCGUUGAGACAGAAAAAUACCAUGCUUGGAUCGUGCAACCUCGAUUCCAAGAAAAUACUUCAAUUCACCCAAUUCUUUCAUCUCAAACUCAGUAGCUAGGUACUUUUGAAGGCGUUGUAUCUCCUUCUGAUCAUCACCAGUCACUAUCAUGUCAUCAACAUAAAUAAUCAAUGCAGUUAGCUUAUCAUUUUGUCACUUUAGAAACAAAGUAUGAUCUGAAUGAAUCUGGAUAUACCCAAACUUCUUCAUUGAACUUGUAAACCUCUCAAACCACGCUCCAGGAGAUUGUUUCAAACCAUACAAGGUCUUUCGUAACAUGCAUACAACACCUUUUCUAGGAGAUGUUCCAACACCAGGUGGGAGAUCCAUAUACACUUCCUCCUUAAGAUCACCAUGAAUUAAAGCAUUCUUAACAUCAAACUGCAAUAGAGGCUAAUCCUGGUUUGCUGCUAAGGACAGAAGAACACGCACGGUAUUAAGUUUGGCAACAUGAGCAAAGGUCUCCUGAUAGUCCACUCCAUAGGUUUGAGUAUAACCUUUAGCAACUAAUCUGGCUUUAUACCGGUCAAUAGAACCAUCUGCUUUGUGCGUAAUAGUAAACACCCAUCUACAUCCAACGGCUUUCUUCCCAUUUGGUAAAGGAACCAAAUCCUAAGUAAAAUUCUUUUCCAAAGCUUCUAUCUCAACUUGCAUUGCAUUAACCCACUUAGGGUCAGACAAAGCAUCUUGCAAUUUUGUUGAAAUUGAUACACUAGAUAGCUGACAUAGGUAAGAUGCAUAUGGUUUGGAUAAACGAUAAGUAGACACAUAAUUGUUGAUAGGAUAUUUGGCUUUGGCAUGCAUAUCAAGCUCAUAUUGUACUUUAGGUUUUCCACGAUUAGCUCGUGAAGGCAAUUGAUAAGUAGAAGAAUCAUCAAAAUUUACCUCAUGUAUGCCAUCAUCUUGUACCAAACUGUUAGAAGAAUCAUCACUGGACGAACCAUCAUCAGGCAACUCGUUAGACAUAUCAACAGCAGGCAAUCGAUCAUCAGAAAGUAAUUCAUCAGACAUACUAACAGGCAACUCGCUGGGCACAUCUGAUCUAUCGUCAGUAGAAAUUAUUCCGGGAAUAACAGGUGACCGAUCACUAUCUGUAGUCGACUGAUCAGUAUCACGCAACAUAAUAGGUUAUGUUCCUAACUUUGCCUGUAACACAUCAUCCAUACCAUCUCUUCAAAUCUGCACUUCAUUCCCCCUCUCCCCCUGAAGUGGAGAGUCGGAAGAGGGCUUCACAAAAUACGAAACUUCCUUAUGGAAGGUGACAUCCAUGGUAAUAUAAGUUUUUUGAGUUGGAGGAUGAUAGCACUUAUAGCAUUUUUAUUGUUAGCAUACCCAAUAAAGACACACCGGAGAACACAUGCAUCAAGUUUACUCCGCUGAUGAGAGUAGACAUGCACAUACGCAAUACACUCAAACACUUUCGGAGGAAGCUUUGAUACAGAAACAAGAGAAACAUGUUUUUGUAGCACAUCGAACGGUGUCUGAAAAUCAAGAACCCUACUUGGAACAUGAUUGAUCAAAUACACAGCAGCCAAAACAGUAUGACCCCACAAAUGAUUAGGAACACAUUUAUCCAACAUUAAGGAGCGAGCAACCUCCAUUACUUGACGAUUCUUCCGUUCGGACACACCAUUUUGUUGGGGUGUAAACGGAGUAGUCGUCUGGUGAAUAAUACCAUGAUCAUGAAAAAAAACAUGCCAAAUUGUGAUUCACAUAUUCUCCUCCGUUAUCAGACCUGAAGACCUUAACUUUGAUCUGAAACUGAGUAGACACCAUUAUACAAAAUUCUUGAAGAAGUAACGGAACAUCACUCUUAUUGUUCAUCAAGAACACCCAAGUUAACCAAGUACAAUCAUCAAUAAAAGUAACAAACCAACGGAAUCCAUUAGAAGUAACUUUCGCCGGACCCCACACAUCAGAAUGUAUCAAAUCAAAUGGCAAAGUAGCUUUAGAAUCAUUUACGGGAAAGGAAGCACGAUGACUCUUAGCCAUGACACAUGUUUCACACUUGAACUCCGAAUCACUACAAGUGCGAAACAAAGAAGGAAAUAGAUGUUUCAUAUAACUGAAUGAUGGAUGUCUCAAUCGUCGAUGCCACAACCAAAUUUGAUGUCUGUCAUCCACUUUAGCACUUAAAACUUGAUAAUUAUUUGAACCAGAAAUAACAGUAUCCUCCAUAGUCAAGAUGUACAAACCCCCUAUUCUUUUACCAUGACCAAUUAUCUUCUAAGUUUGAAUAUCUUGAAAAUAACAAUACGUAGGGUAGAAGUGAGCAGAACAAUAUAAGGUAUCAAGAAGUUUUCCUACCGACAAAAGAUUGCACUUAACAUCAGGAAUAAGUAAAGCACGAACCAAUGAUAAAGUUGGAGUCAGAGAGAUAGUGUCUUCACCCUUCACAGGGGAAUGUGCUCUAUUUGCACUAGUAAUAUACAGAUCACGAAUAUAGUCACAUAACUCAUCAAACACUUUAGGGUCACUAGUCACAUGAUCAGUGACCCCAGUAUCAAUUAUCCAUUUAUUUGUUCCACCAAGAUGCAUAACAACACUAUGAUUAUAUUGAGAAAUACAAAAUCACGAACAAAAAAGGCACAAAAGAUACGCAGCGGAAUGAAAAUAAUUUACCAAAACACUGUAGCAGAACAUUGUUCACGGCACUGUAGCAGAGACUAUUUACGGCACUGUAGAUGACACUGUUCACAAAGCAGACCACUGUUCACGCAUUGUACUGUAGCGCGACACUAUUCAUUUUUUUUUUUCACGAAGGAAAUCACAAAAAAUGUGGGCACAAAAUUUAAAGCACAUAGGUCACCAAGAGCGAACUGCUUUAAUGCCAUAUUGAACUAAACAUGGUAAAUACCAAUAUUAAACUAAACAUGGUAAAUACCAAAAAUAUAUAUGACAAUAUUUGGGAAUUUCUUAUAUAUUCAUUAAUCUCCACAGUGAAGUAUAUAUAUGAGUUACAAUUGAUAUUACAUAUGUACUUCACCAAUGUGGGACAAUAAACUACUAUUUACACAUUAACUAAUAUAUAACUCGCAACAGUAUGGUAUGGACAACAGAAUCUCUCUUGAUAUAUCAGUCCUUGUACUUUUCUUCCUACUUUAUCAAGUCAAGUUGGACAAGGAACUUUCGUGGCAUCUUCCUUCCAAAAGCAAUUUCUACCAAGCAUUUUCCAACCUAUUACCUUUCAACGUGGAUAGGAACUUUCGUGGCAAUUUCCUUUCAAAAGUGAUUUCUACCAAACAUUUUCCUACCUACUAUCUUUCAAUCUGCACAGGAACUUUCGUGGAAACUUGAUAUCAGCAACAGUGCUUUUGCCGACACCCUGCACCUGAAAUCAGCUGUAAUAGCAUCAACCAAAAGCAUUUUUGAGAAAAUCAUUGACUGAGUAGAAAUAUGAAAUCAAAUGUUAAGAUUGACUGGAAGUUGAAUAGCUUACCGGAGGUCCAGACAUCAGCAAGCACUAUCCGGGACCGGCCUUGUCAGGCCCCGAUCUCGACAUACGUCCAGGAUUGACAAGUGACGUCAUCAAAAACCAUAUAUCUAACAUACCCCGGCGUCGGAAUAUGUACCAAUCGCAUCUCGAGCCUUGAUUUGCGUAGUGAUUAUUUGUAUACUUUAUGGUUGCAUCUAAUCUCCUCGUUAGACUGCCUACGUACCCUUAAUAGGGAUCAAGUCAUUCGUAGUCCACCAUUUCACUGUACUCAAACAUUUAUCACAUAAAUCGCUAUGUCUCAACAAUAUAUCACAAUGCAUACCAUGCAAUAUGUUCAAGAACCAAUGACAAAGAACAAUAUUCUUCUCUAGCCACAUUGAUCAACUAGAAUAAUCAUAAUAAUAACAUCCAUAUCCAAAGUCAUUCCGCAAUCCCGUCAAUUAAUCAAUUCAUGAAUCAAAAUGCAUGAUCUUAGCAUUUAUUUAUGUUAAUCAAUCAAUGCGAUAACUUAUCAUUUCACGAAUUUAACUAAGGAACACUAUAUAAUUCCCUACUAAGAUUAUGAGUAAUAAACAUGGUAAUUCUAAUUUAUAUUCACAAGGUUUAUUAGGGGUAAUUCCCAUCCACUCGAUUCUAGGGUUUUAGACUAACCUUAGGGAUAUGACCAAGUGCAAGGAUUCCGAACCACUCAACGGAAUCCAACAAUCUUGGGUUCCAGACCACUCAACGGAACUAAAAUAUCAAGCUGCUUCUCGUAAUCUACCCAGACCUAUCAUAUGUACAAUCAUGCCUACAUCAAGGAGAUGGCACACUAGGCAAAUCAGACAUUUAGAUAAGUUGCAAAGCUCGGGUGAGUGACAAUAAUACAAGUAUGUGAUAUUCAAUUAAAAUAGAUCAUCGAUCACAAUCUAUAAACAUCAAGUAUAAAAUCAUGUUUUGUGGAAUCAUAAUCAAGACGUCGAAAACUCCAUAGGAGUCACCUGGACAUCCAACGGUUUUUCUAAUUCAAACCAUAAGAUUCUUAAAAACCAUUGUUCAUAUGUACAUUAAAAAUUAGAGCUAAAGGGACGCAGUUCUGCCGAAGCUUACAUAAGUAACCAAACAGGAAGUGGCCCCCUAUCACAGAUUAACCAAGUAGAACCACCCCUGUAGUAAUCAAGUAGGCAGUGACCCCCUAUUGCGGAUUAACCAAGCAGAGUCACUCCUACGCAUUUGUUAGGCAAUGAUCACCUAUCGCGGAUUACCCAAGCAUGAUCACUCCUAAGUGUGUGUGUGUAUGGCCAUACCAAAGAUAUAAGGAUCGCCUAUCGCAGAUUAACCAAGCAGGACCAUGGUCCCCUAUCGCAAAUUAACCAAGCAGGACCACUAGGACCCCCUAUCGCGGAUUAACCAAGCAGGGUCAUAGGCAGUGAUCACCCAUCGCGGAUUAACCAAGCAUGAUUACUCCUAAGUAUACAUGGUCAUCAGGAUCGCCAAUCGCGGAUUAACCAAGCAGAAUCCAUAAAUAAUAUGGUCCCCUAUCGUGAAUUAACCAAGCAGGACCAUUAGUGACCCUCUACUAGCCCUCACUUUAACAAACAUUUCAAUAAGCAAUUCGAAUCACUUUUUCACAAAUAUUACCAAUCCAUGAAUCAAAUCACAUUUAAUAAAAAUAGAUCGAUGGCCAAUUAUAAAAGAAUCACAUUUUAACAUAAAACACAUUUAUAAAACCAAGUCAUAUCCACAAAGGAUACUAAUAUAAGAAAACAGGGUAAUAACCAUAUCACAUGUAUUAAAGUCACUCACCGAGACAAUACCGCAAAGCCUCACUGAGUCUCUAGUAAUACUAAUUUUAGUUGUAUGAACGAUUCAAGACAUGUUGAUCAAAAGUCAACUCUCGAUCAACGGUGGGGUCCACAUCCCUAUGUAAUUUGAUCUGGAAGAUCUGCACAUCAGAUUUUGGAUCCAUAAUAUUUUAAAAUACACGUUAUGCCUCUAGAACAACAUGCUAAAAUUUCAUCACGAUAUGACGGUCGGAUCUCCGUCAAUUUCUAGAAUUAGGUGGUGAUCAACAAUUUGUUUUACAAACUUAGAAAUCUCAUUCAGGAAGAUCCAUAAGUCGGAUUCCUGAUCCGUAAGUUUCUAUGAUAGUCAAAUAUUAUGUUCUAUAACGCAUUAAGGUUUGGUGACGAUCCAACGGUCGGAUCAUCGAUUCAUAUUUUAACCAAGUAAUGUAUCGUAAUGAAACUAAGUUCAAACAUUCAAAUUAUGUCAUACGGAUAUCAAACAUGAACCCAGGGCAUCUAAUAGUACUUAAAAAGAUAUUGUCGUCCCACUGGCCACGUGCCGCCACAGGUGGCGGUCGGCCAUCCCGACUCGCCUGAAAAUUCAACUACUUCAAAAAAUUCUCAAUUUUUACCAGAAUGAAGAUCUCAAUGAGUAGAGUAAGUUUCAUACCUGUGACUAAGGCCAAUUUGGCUGGGAAACACCUCGAUUUUACACAAACCUGACGGAAACCCUAAAGAGGGUGUGCUUCGAUUUGAUCCCCAUACUCGCUCUGAUGCCUCCACCACUGCUUGUGCUUUGUUCCUAAGGUUGAGGGGAGCCUGACCAUGGUGGUAUUCAAUGGUGUUGAUUUCCCAAAUGGUGGAAUCGCCGCUUCCAUCCGGUGCACCCAUUGGUGCGGUUUCACCCAAAAGCAAUCCAAUUUUCACAAUUUUUCGGUUGAAAAUGGGUGAGAGAACGAUUGGGCUAGAAGCAAGGAUCAUUUUGGCACCGGUCCCGUCGUCAACGGUGGUCGAAAUCGGAAAAUAUGGUCGGGUCGAGUCAAAAAUACAACCGGGUCCAAGGAGGGAUCCAGUUCCCUUCCUCCUCCUCUCUCUCCUUUCCCCUCCUUGUUUCUUCUGUUUUUGAUUGGUCCUUCUCCCCCUCUUUUUCUCUCCUUUCUCUCCUUUCUUUUCUUUCCUUUCUAUCCCAGCCGUCCAUCUCUUAUUUUGCUUUCAUCCUAGCCACACACGUGGCACAUCCUUUGCUCCAGAUUUUCUGGAGCCUUCUAAAUGAGGGCGCCCCUAAUUUCAAACGUUAAUAACUCUUUCGUUAUAACUCUAUUUCAUGAACGGUUUACGCCUACGAGUUCGUGAGAUCGAGCUCUAUUCAAAGAUAUAAAUUGUGACCUCGAACGGUCUAAGAAUUUUAAAUAAUUAAUCUCCAAACUUCACUCUUUGUAACUAGUUUAAUUAAAAUCUAAUUUCAAAUAAACUAAUAUAAAUUCCCAAAAAAUAAUAUAAAAUCUCAAUAACACAAAUACUUAGAUUACAACAGUGAAAUCCAGGAACGGAAUUUCACAGGCCUUCUUACAUCCAUAUUCGAAUGCACUUAAUAGACGUGAUUCUCUAGUGAAAAGGACACUUUCUAGACUCAAGUGGUUUUUUAGGGAGAGAAUCGAACAAAAACUUGAAAAACAUGAGUAAAAGUUCAAAACUAUUUGAGCUACAAGUCACCCAUAAGCAGGUAUAGACUCAAACUUUGUCUUUUUGUUGGUCCUCAGUGUUUAUGUUGUUGCUUUUGUGGCAAGGAACAGUUGAUAACAUCACUUAUUUGUUAUCUAUUUUGUAGCCCAAUACCUCUGCAAUUGCAAUGACAAGGAAUCCAAUGUUCCAUCAAAGAUCAAAGAACAUUGCGAGGAGAUAUCACUAUAUAAGAAAGGCACUGCAGUUAAAUAUAAUCAAUUUGAUUCAUUGCAAAUCUGACAACAAUUAGCUGACAUUUUUACAAAGGCAUCGCCAAAGGACAGGUUUUGUAUAUUUAGAGAAAUGCUUGAUGUUAAACCAGUAACAAGCUUAGAAGGAAGUGUUGAUAUGUAAGCAUGAUUGCUGGAUCAAAGUCCAGAAUUGGUGAGGUUCAAGUUUGAAGAAUAGAAGGAUUUGUUCUUAGAUUUAUUAGUGUUCUUAUUUUGCAAUGAACGGUAAGAUUAUAACAUCUUAACGGUGUAUAGCUUGGUACGCGUCUAGUUUGUUAUGUUUUUAAGUGAAACCGUGUGCCUUCCACGUGAUCACCAUCACGUUGCUUAUGAAGGCAACGGCUAUAAUGUUCGGCUUUGAUGCCGAGAAUCUAACAUUCGAAUCCAACGUGAUUUCCAGGAGCAACAAACUCCAUUUUUGUUCUUGGGUAUUCUCUACAAUCCCAGUUCAUUGAGCACUUCAAUUUCUUGUUGAAUUUCAUACAAAAUCCUCACUAAAAUCAACCUAGAAAACUCUAAAACACUAACAUGUAUAUUUAUAUGGAUCAAGAAAACAGAAGUGCAAAAGAUUGUAGAACAAGGAGAAGUUACCAAACGAGUUCUCGGUUAUUAGUUUUAAAAAAUGGAAACUAGAACCUGAAAUGGUCAUUAAACGGCCUCUUAGUUUUAAAGAUUAGAAAAGUGCAAACGAACUCAUACAUUAAUUUAUGUAUAUGUGCGUACACAAACUCCUAAUAUAUCAGAAAUUGUAGAUCAUCUGAAGUGGACGGUUGCCGUUGCUCCUCCUCCUCAAUAUGAAUAGGAACAUUGAGAUCAAUCUGCCUGCGCUUCGGAUGAUCAUCCGCUGGCUUCAAAGAUAAGGAAAGCUGUUAUUGCUGAUGAUCAUAUUCAUCAUCGAUGAUAUCUAAGGAUCCAUAUGGACGAGGCCUCUUCCCAAGACUACUCGUUGGUCCCAAAGACAAGGGAAGCUGUUCGUCUUGGUUGUCUAAAAAAGGUCGUACCCAGUGCACAAGGGUCCCGCUUUACGCAGGGUCUGGAAGAGGUGAAUGUCGGCUAGCCUUAUAUUACAACCACUCGUCUAGUAAGGGGUGCACCCCGCAGCUUUUAAUGCAUGUGCCUUUCUGGAAACAAAAUAUAACUUGACAAAUAUCUCCCUGCUGCUUGUGCUCGUCUAAAUCCACUAACAUGAGCCACACAUGAGCUGCCUUCAUGUCCUUGCCAUACCAGAAAACUUUUUUUUUAAACUGUGGUAUUCCGCUGAUGGAAAUAUAAUGAGGAUGAUCAAUUGGUGGUUCAAGAACAAAAGAUAGAGCCAAUCCUGACAACAUAUCCCCUUGUAAAUUUAGAGGAAUUUCAAAACAAAAUUCAAAUGUUGUUGGCUCUUCAAAGGAAAAAUAUCUGAACCACUUUGGAACUUCAUUGCCCGGAAGAACAAUUUCCAAUUUAGAGCACCGAAGAGAUUCCUGCAAUAGCAAAUAAUGUAGAUAACUAAUUACAAUUAGUCAUGAUCUGACCUCUCUCUCUCAAGCAUCAACAAAAUAUAUUUAAAUUUCAAGAGAAAUUAAGAAAGGAAGAGGAACCUGAUUCAACAACAAAUUGUUUUCCAACUUUGCAACCUCAUCGCCACUUAGUCCAAAGCAAUUGCGCAAGUCCAGACGCUUAAGCAUUGGGGGCAAUUUUGACAUUUUCUCCAAAGAUGUGCAAUCAUCGAGAUACAAGUGCUUUAGUAUUGGUGGAAGGACUUGUGGAAUUUCCCGAAGCCUCUUGCAACCACUCAAAGAAAGUUCCUCCAAGAUGGAAAAUUGGCUAAUGCAAUCCGGAAGACAAACAAAAUUGUUUCUCGACAGAUCAAGAAAUUUUAAUCUGGAAUAGCAAUCAAGAGGCACAAGAAAAUUACUUUCUGAAAGAUUGCAUCCUCUAAAAUCAAGAUAGUAUAGGUUGGAAAGGGCUAUUGUGAUACACUUGUCAUCUAAAAUAUCCAAAUCAGCUGUGGUCAGAUUUGGACAUCCACAUAUGUACACAUUUGUAAGGUUCUCACAACCACGUGCUUCCAAGCUUUCAAGCCCAGUAAGAUAAGCAAUUGAUGAAGGCAAUUCUCUUAUGCCACUUCUUUUUAUGUCCAAACGCCAUAGGGAUUUCAUCUUGUUCUCUAUUACUGGGAAAGUCUCAAGCCUUGUGCAACCACAAAGAGAGAGCUUUUUAAGGGAUCUCAAUCCAAGUCUUGUUACAAACCUCGUAAGCCUAGAGCACCCACUAAGAUCCAUUUCGACAAGUUUAUCAAGGAAUCCAACAGAAUCAUCAACCUCAACCAAACUUUUACAUUCACUUAAGUCCAAGUGCUUUAGGUUUGGGAUUCCGGAGAAGUCGGGGAUUUUUUCCAAGAAUUUGCAACCACUUAAAUUCAUAGAUGUAAGCUUUGCUGAAUUCUGUGAAACCAAAAACAAAGACAAAACAAAAAUUCACUGGUUUUAAAAAGAAUACUAUGAAACACUUAGACUACUUUUUUUUGGGAAAUAAAAUAUAUGUUCAAAUAAUAAUGAUUCAAAAUAAUUUGAAGUAUGUACCUUAAAUCCCUUUAGUUGCCUGAUGCCACUAUAUGAUAUAUCAAACAUAACAAGAUGCCUUGGAUUAUAAUUAGAUGGCAAAUUGAACACAACCGUAUGCUCUCGAUGAAUAUUGGAUCGUCCACUCAAUUCAAUCCACCUCAAAUCAUUGGGCAGAUAAUCAACGUGUCCAAAAAAGCGUGCAUUACGGUAUAUAAAAAUUUCAAGAUUUACCAUCUGCGAGAAGCUUCCUACAUUCAAAGUUAUCACAUCUGGUUCGGGCAGCUCCACCACAAUGCCUUUAAUUUUCUUUGUUCCCUAAGAUGGAAAAAAGAAAUAAUGUUAGCAAACAAGUCAUAUAACAAAGAAUUCACAAAGGCUGUUUUAAAAUCCUUUUUUUUUCUAUAUCAUGCCAAAUUAAAUGUAAGAAAAUAUAUUGUACUUACUUGAUUUUCAGUUAGAACAUGGUACACAUCUUCAUGAAACCACAACCUGCUACGUUUCCCUGGUUCAGUGGGAGAUUCUUCGUAAACUAUACGCUUACCCAUUUUUUCUAGCAAGUCAUGCAUCAAAAUCAUAUUAUCUUCAAUAGUUAUGAUGGCAUUCUCAACGAGUACUUCAAUACAAUCUUGAGGUACAUUGAGCUUCGAACUUUUUAAUAUCUGUAACACGUAGUCUUUAUGGUUACCCUUAAAGAAACAUGCAAUGUCUAGGAAAACUUGUUGCACAACAUUAUCCCAGGCAUCAUAACUUUUUUGAAGUAUUCUUUGAAUAUCUGUAUAAGGUUCUCUUACGUAAGAAUCAUAACUAUCCAAUAUAGCUUUCCAGCGAUCUAUACUUUUCUUACGCAGAUGAGAACCUAUCAAAUUAAGAGCUAACGGAAGGCCUUGAGCAUAAGCUAUUGCACGACGUGCAAGUAUUAAAUAAUCAUCUGGAGGUUCAUUUAUUCCGAAGGCGUUCAAACUUAAAAGCUCAAGAGCCUUGUCAUCCAUUAGCUUUUGGACCUCAUAUAUCAACUCAACUCCAUAAGAUUCCAGCAAUCCUCUAUUUUUUGAGGUUAUGAUCACUCUGCUACCCUCACCGAACUUAUCAACUUCAACCAAGUUGUUUAACUGCUCCAAUCGAUCCACAUCAUCAAGAAUUAAGAGAAUCUUCUUUCCCCUCAACAGUUUCUUUAUAAGGCUGAUUCCUUCAUGAACAUCGACAACUUUCAACUCUGUACCGCAUAGAACCUUAGAAAGAAGAGUGUUUUGUAGUUGGAUUACGCCUUGACGUGAUGUUGAUGCUUCUCUAACAUCUGCCAAGAAACAUCUACCUUCAAACUUAUGAGCAAUCGCAUUAUAAACAGCUUUUGCAAUUGUUGUCUUGCCUAUUCCAGAUAUCCCCCAAAUCCCAACCACACAACGAUCAUUUCCACCAACACCUAAAAGCUCUUUCACCUCUUGUACGCACGAUUGUAUUCCAACUGGGUGUUUGGCCACAUUCAAACAUGUGUCACCACGUACUUUGACUAAGAUAUCCUCAACAAUGUUGCUGAUAAAUGUAGCUUCAGAUCUAGCAGUUCAAAACAAAUAACACAUUUAAUCAGUGACCUUUUUUUCUAUAUUUCUAUCCAAAUGAAAAAGGGUUUCAAAUUGCACUAGUGAUUACUAAAGUCCAGCAUGUGUCGCUUGCUAGAAAUCUAAAGAGUAAAAAUGAAACACAAAAUUGACAUUAUUAUAGAGAAUUAACUAUAUAAAUAAAACACUGUAAGGGGAAGAAAUAUACGUACUCUCCCCUUCGGAAAGCAUAUCCUGACAAAUUUGCUACUUCUAAGAGCUCUCCUCCACAUCAAGACCUUCUCCUUGUUGUCUUUGAAUUUGCUCUCAUGGUUUGUAAAUGCGUCACCGAAACUAUUCGUUUGAUUUCGUACAUGGGGCGGAUCCACCUUGUAAAAAACUGGCAAAACUAUUUGUUUCUUUGAUUCUCUACAUUGAAGGAUCUUGACGAGCUCGUCCAAGCACCACCUUGAGGAUGCGUAGCUUUUAGAGAAUAUGACAAGAGAAAUUCUCGACUCUUCAACUGCUUGGAGAAGAGCCGGAGAUAUUUCUUCUCCUCUUGGAAGCUGGCGAUCGAUGAAGGUGUGGAUUCCUUUAUCGACCAAACCCUUGUAUAAAUGAUCGGUAAAAUUGGUGCGUGUAUCCUCUCCUCUAAAGCUCAAAAGACAUCGUAUUUCCAUGAAGGAUUACUGGUGAAGGAAGAAGAAGAGACAAGUUGACCUGCCAUAGGAGAACUAAAGCCAGAUAAACUUCAAAAAAGAGCCUCUCAAAGGAUUGGAAUAUGCAGUAUGGUAUGGACGAUGAACUCUCUCUUGCUAUAUCAGUCCUCAUUUUUCUUACUACUUAUCUGGUAAAGUUGAACAAGGAACUUUCGUGGCAACUUCCUUCUAAAAGCAAUUUCCACCAAGCAUUUUCCUACCUACUACCUUUCAAUGUGAACAGGAACUUUCGUGGUAAUUUCUUUCCAAAAGUGAUUUCUACCAAGCAUUUGCCUACCGACUAUCUUUCAAUCCGGACAGGAACUUUCAUGGAAACUUGAUUUCAGCAACGGUGCUUUUUCCGACACCCUGCACCCGAAAUCAGUUGCAGCAGCAUCAACCAAAAGCACUUUUGAGAAAAUCAUUGACCAAGUAGAAAUAUGAAAUCAAAAGUUAAGAGUAACCGGAAGUUGAAGAGCUUACCGGAGGUCCAGCCGCCAGCAAGCACUUUCCGGGAUCAGCCAUCUCUCGCUUCUCCUCCGCCUCCCUCUUCCACUGUCGUUCGCUUUUACCCCCGCUCGAUCAGCCAACACGACUAACAGAAUCCACAAGUCGUUGUGGAAGAGAGGAUACGCAUGUUGGAUAUAAGGCCCGACCGGCCCAUAUCAGCCCAAAAAACUUGACCUUCUGUGAGGUAAUUUUAAUUUUAACCCCACAGUAACCGUAAUAAUUUGAUAUUAAAAUAGACCGACACUGUCAAAAGACUAUCUCCAAUGGUGGCUUAUAACCUAAAAUUUUCUUUUUUUUCCUCUCAAAACCCACUCCAACCCAAAACUUAAACCAAACCUAAAAGGAAGGCAAAUAUCAACCACAAUUUAGCCCACAAAAUAAAAUGAGACCUACAAGUGAGAGUGAAAAGUGGGCUGUGAAGCCCACACCCCCAAAACCCAACACUCCUCACGCGCCCUUUUUUUUCCAGCCGAAGGCCCACCCAUGUGGGUUGGUCCCCCUUGUUGUCAACCUUACUGUAGCCCAACAACUACUUUUGUUCAUCCAACUGCCAGUUUAAUUGGACCGUUGGUUAAUCAAACGGUCCACGUUCAAUUUUUUUAUAUAUUUAUAUAUUUAUUGAAUCUAACGGCUUAGAUCGAAUAUAAUCAAAUUUAACGGUAAAAAAAGAGAUCUAACGGUCCAAAUUCAAUCCAACGGCUAAAAUAAUUUAAAAAAAUAUAUUUAACUUAAAAUUCAACCAAAAAUUCUAUAAAUACGUAUAUAUUUGUUCAAACAUCCACACAAAACUCACUUUUCUCCUACAAUUCUUCAAAUUUUUCUUUCUACCACUUCUUCUCAUUUCCAAAAUUCUCAAGAUGGCAAAAGAGCAUGUUAGAGGUCGUAAUUGGACCUUUGACGAAGAUAUUGCUUUAAGUUUGGCAUGGAUUUCUAUUUGCGAAGAUGAUGCCGUUGACACGAAUCAAAAUAGAAAGGUUUUGUGGGGUAAAUUGUUGAUAAGUUCCAUGAAAACUCCAACGCCGAUCAAAGGGAAGUUGGUGGUGUUUAUGAUUGGUGGAAGAUUAUCAACAAAGCGUGCACUUUGUAGAAGGGAAGCUUGGAGAGAGCCAUGGUUGACAUGCCUAGUGGAAGGGGCGGCUCAUAAAUUGUGAGUUUCUUUGUUGAUAUUUUAUUUGUCAUGUACAUAAUAGUAUUUGCAACUAAUUGUUUUUAUGUAUUUGUUGCAUAGGGUGACAAAGCAAUGGCAUUUUAUAAGACAAGAACUACACCCAAAAUCAAGCUUUUAAGUUACAUCAUGCUUGGAUCAUCCUCAAGGAUUGUCCGAGGUGGAGAACCAAUGAGGACCAACAAUGGGGAAGAUUAUUUCAUAGUGAAGCCCCACCCCCAAAUAAUGUCAAUGAAUGUGUGAAUUUUGCCGACAAUGAAGGUUUCGAACACAUGACCCCAACUUCUUUUGCAAGGCCCCUGGGUAGAGAUAAGCAAAAUAAAGCAAAGAGAAAAGGGAAGUCCCAAGAUCCGAUAUGUGCACAAUUUGCUAGCGAAAUGGUAAGAAUGAAUGAAAACCAUAUUUCUCGGCAAGAAGAAUCGGCCCAAAUGUGUUUGGCCAUGAAGUAACAAGGGGAUAGGGAGCAAGAAAGGUUCAAAAUUAAUUUGAUGAUGGAGGACCUCGACAAAUACACUCCAGAGAGGAAGAAAUACUUACGUGGUAAGCGAAAUGACAUUUUACGAAGGAGUGCCACAAGGAGUAUAUUUCAAGAUGACGAUUCAUCUCAAGACUAUCACCCAAGUCCAUCACCAAGUCAAGAUGGUGGAUAUCAUUAUUAAGUUUAUGAGUUUUCGAUUGUAUUAAGUUUAUGUGGUUUAUUAAUUGUCUUUUUUUUUAUUUUUAUUUUAUUUUUAAAGUUUAUGUGGUUUAUUAAUUGUCAUUUGUAUUAAGUUUAUGUGGUUUAAUAAAUAUCGUUUGUAUUAAGUUUAUCAUGAUUUUCAUGUAUUGAUUUAGUGAUUUUUUCAAAAUUUAUCAGAAUUUAAAUAUUUUUAGGUUAAAAUGUUCAUAUAAUUAAUUUAGGAUAGUCUACAUAAUUUUUUUUAAAGUUAAUUUAAAAAAAAUUAGCCUUAAUCCAUUCUUUGAUAAUCUCGGGCUAAAAUUUUAAGCCAAAAGGGUUGGAGCAGAAAAACUGUUUCUAGACGAAAACCUAAAUUUUCUAGGCUAAAUAUUUUUAAGUUUUAGGUCACCAUUGGAGAUGGUCUAAUUGUUAAGGAAUCUCCUACAUCAAAGGAGAUCAGUUCGUCAACAACACAAUCUGCUCCAUCAACCGCACAAUCGGCUCCUCCGUAUGAAAGUCAACUAUGAUAUAUGCUAUGCUGUCUUUCCUAUUCGAUUUGAUUAGGAUUGAUUCAGUCAUUCAAGUAUGAUUGUAUUUACCAUAUUAGGAUUGUAUUCAAAGUGUAUAUAAUCACAGACCUGUACCUAUAAACAAAUCAAUGAAAUAUACCAAUUCUACAUGGUAUCAAGAGCCCAAAAACUCCAACGAGCAAUUUUUUUUUUGAUCCCUUUCUUCCCUGUCUUCAUCCAUGGCCACUAACGCCUCUAUAACCAACCCUCUACCAGAGCUCAACUCCAUUACUCCCACCUUGAUCACAAUUAACGCUAUAGCCCAACUACCUGUGAAACUCAUACCCACCAAUUACCCAUCCUGGCGUGCUCAGUUCAACGCCCUCAUUUACGGCUACGACCUCAUGGGUUAUGUGGAUGGUUCUAAUCUCUGCCCAUCAACCACUUAAACCGUGCUUCGCACCUUUUAGAUUCGGUAAGAUCAACUCCUCAUUCAUGUGAUUCUUGCUUCCGUCUUACCGCAAGUCAUCUCCCUUAUUGCCUCUGCCAAGACAUCCAAGGAGGCUUGGGACAAGCUUCUCCAUCUCUUUGUUAGCAAAGCCCGUGCUCGCGUUCUUGGUAUCAAAGAACGCCUUAAUCUCCUACGCCGUGAGAACAAGCCUAUCUCUGAGUAUCUGCAAGAAGUCCGCGUUAUUGCAGAUGAGUUCGCCAUCAUUGAUGUCCCCCCUCUCUGAUGACGAUCUCCUUCUCUACAUUCUUAAUGGUGUUGGCUCUGACUUCAAGGAAAUUGAUGUGGUAGUUCGUUCCCGCGACACCUCAAUCUCUUUUGAAAACCUCCAUGACAAACGGGUUGAACAUGAAGCUGCUCUCAAGUGUGAUGAUACCGUUGUUGCUACCCCAGUGAUCACUGCCAAUGUCAUUCAGACAUCUCGCUCCCACACCUCAAACUGUGGCUACCGCUCUUACAAUUCCAACUCCAACCGUGGGUUAUUUGCCUCUCGCAAUCCUUCUCGUGGUUCCUUCGGGCACCCCCACACAUCUUCCAUUGACACCAAUUCUCGUAGUUCCUAUAAGCCCACCCAACAAUCUUUCACCGACAAUGGUCGCCGCUCUACCAACAUGAAUAACACAGGUUAUCGUGGUUUCUGUCAAUGGUGUGGCACUCAAGGUCAUAGUGCUAAACGAUGCCCUCAACUCCAAUAUGGACCUCACAGUCCGCUAGUGGCCAAUCCUACCACCCAUGGCUGGUUCACUUCUUCUCCAACAUGGUUGCUUGAUUCCGGUGCCUCUCACCAUUACCUCCAAUGUCAACACUCUUUCUGAUGCCUCUAUAUAUAAUGGUCCUGAUGAAAUAAUUAUUGGUAAUGGUUCAGGUUUGGGUAUCACUCAUGUCGGUUCAACCACUUUACCCUCCUCAUCCUCCCAAUCUUUCAGCUUAUCAAACGUUCUAUGUGUUCAUUCUAUGAAAAAAGACAUUAUUUCUAUCUCUAAAUUUAAUAAACAAAAUAAUACCUCUAUUGAACUUUUUCCUGAUAUCUUUCAUGUCAAAGAUCUGAGCACGGGGGCAGUUCUUCUUUGAGGCCCGAAUAAGGAUGAUGUGUACGAGUGGUCUCCCAAAUCUUUUUGUCAACCGCAAGCUAUGGUGGGUGUGGUGGUCUCUCCCAACCUCUGGCAUCGUCGUCUUGGUCACCCCAGCCACCAAACUCUCCAACAAGUCAUUCGUUUGUCUUCCAUUAAUGUGUCUUCCAAGUUGUUCGAGUCUGUUUGUCAUUCAUGUUUAUGUAAUAAAAGCCAUCGGUUCCCGUUUGGUACUUCGUCUCUCACCAGUCAUGGUCCAUUAGACCUCCUUUAUAGUGAUGUUUGGGGCCCUGCUCCGUACUCGUCUAUUGAUGGUUUUUCCUAUUAUGUUAUCUUUGUUGACCAUUUUACAAAAUACAUAUGGCUCUAGCCUCUAAAAAAGAAAUCUGAUGUGUUUUCCACUUUUGUCACCUUCAAAGCACUUGUCGAAAAUUACUUCAAAAUAAAAAUCACUAGAUUAUACACUGAUGGUGGGGGCGAAUUCAUCAAACUCCAACAUUUUCUCUCAUCCAAUGGCAUCACCCAUCUUCUUACACCACCUCACACUUCUCAACACAAUGGAGUCGUCGAACAAUGAAAUCAUCAUAUUGUUGAAACUGGUCUCACCCUUCUUCAGCAAGCUUCUUUACCUCUCACCUAUUGGUGUUAUGCCUUUAAAACAACUGCCUAUCUUAUCAACCGCAUGCCUACUCCGCUUCUUCACAAUCUCUCCCCAUUCACUCAACUCUUUGAUGAAUAACCCAAUUACUCCCGUCUUCGUACAUUUGGGUGCUUGUGUUUUCCUUGGUUACGUCCUUACAAUUCCAAUAAAUUACUCCCUCGUUCCCGCCUAUGUCUCUUCCUUGGUUACUCAUCUAAUUAAAAUGCUUUUCAAUGUCUUGAUCUUUUCUCCAACAAACUUUUUAUCUCUCGGCAUGUUCAAUUCGAUGAGUCCACUUUUCCUCUUGCCAACCUCCCUUCCUCCAUUCCCUAUGUCACUGUUGAUAACUCUCACACUUGGGUCUCCUCUCUUCCUCCAGUUACUCAUGUUCCUAUACACUUACCCACCAGGCCUGUUGAGUCGGUUGUUUCUUCUUCGUUGCCACCACAUGUCACAUCAUCAUCAUCAGAAUUUGCCCCCGUCUCAUAACCGUCACCAUCCGCUGCCCCGACCUCCAUUGCUGCUGCUACCACUUCUCUUUUACCGUCACCCAACCACCACGCAUUGGCCCCUACCUCUACCGCACCUCUAUUCAUCCCACCACAUUCUCCAGCCCAAACUGAUCAGGUCCAACCACUUCCCCACCUCAGCCUCAUUCAUACAUACACUAGAAACCCUCAUAGGACUGUUGUCACCCUUCCAUCCUCUGACCCACACCUCCCAACCCCUCCGUACCUCCUGUGCUCCCCGAUCAUUCCAUGAUCACCCGUGCCAAAGCAGGUAUCCACAAACCCAAUCUUCGAUAUGCUAUGAUUGUUACUAAACAUUUCAUUCUCUCCUCAGUUGAACCGACAUGUGUUUCCUAGGCCGUUAAGGAUCCCAUUUGGCGGCAAGCAAUGUCCAAUGAGUUCAAUGCGUUAAUUCGCAAUGGUACAUGGGAGCUCGUUCCUUCCCUCCCCUCUCAAAAUCUUAUUGGUUGUAAGUGGGUGUUUCGUAUCAAAUGGCAUCCUGAUGGCACUAUUGACAGGUACAAGGCACGCUUAGUUGCCAAGGGUUUUCACCAACGCCCUGGUGUUGAUUUUUCAGAUACUUUCAAUCCGGUGGUCAAACCUACUACCAUACGCAUUGUUGUGCAUCUUGCCGUGACUCAUAGGUGGCCAAUACGUUAGUUGGACGUUAACAAUGCUUUCCUUCAUGGCACAAUCCGUGAAAAUGUCUAUAUGGUCAAACUGCCUGGUUUUGUUGACUCUAAUCAUCCAUCUCAUGUGUGUAAAUUGAGGAAAACCCUCUAUGGCCUCAAACAGGCUCCCCGGGCAUGGUACAAGGAAUUACACUCAUUUCUGCUCUCCCAUGGCUUUGUCAAUGCCAUUUCUGAUGCCUCACUCUUUCUCUUAAAAAAUGGGACUGCUGUAAUUUAUUUUUUGGUUUAUGUUGAUGAUCUUCUUAUCACAGGCAACGAUUCCUCCCUUGUAGCAAAGUUCAUCCAACUAUUGGCAACUAGGUUCUCUGUCAAGGACCUGGGCUCAUUACAUUACUUUCUUGGUGUUAAGGUCCUUCCCACAGCCACUGGCCUAUUCCUCUCUCAGCACAAGUACAUUCAUGAUCUUUUCGUCAAUGCCAAGAUGGAUGGUGCAAAGGCUGUCAGUACGCCUCUCUCCACCACUAACUCACUCAUGCCUUACACGCCCUGACAUCUCAUUCGCAAUCAAUAAGCUCCUCAAUGUUGGGUUUUUAGCUCAAAAUUAGGAUGAUGCAAUAAAUUAGGUUUGUGUUACCUAUUUGGUUUUAGUGUCCUAUUUGGGUUUGGUUUUGACUUCUAGUUAGUUUCCUUGGUGGAGAGAUUUUGUUAAUUACCUAUUUGAUUAGGAUUAUGAUUUAUUUCCUAUUAGGAUUCCUAUUGUAACCUAAGUCCUAUGCACUAUAAAUAGGACCUUAGGGUUAAUGUAUUUUGUGUGACUCAUUCGUGUGACAAUUUGGUGAGAGUCAAUUUGUGAGUUAGAGAGCAAUUUGGGAGAAUUUUCUCCGUUAGUUUUGAGUUCUCUACUCGUUUGGUUUAGGGUUUGUAAUUUGUGGGAUUUGGGCUGUGAGAGUUUAAACACUCUUUUGUAAUCUCCAUUUGUUUAGUGAAAUUCCUUGUCGUGCUUCGCCCGUGGAGUAGGCUUUACGCCGAACCAUGUAAAUCUCGUGUUAGUUUGAGAUUGUUUGUUUUAACUUUCACCUACGACAUUGAUAUUUGGUAUUUUGUUAUAAUUUGCUUCCGUUUGAGCAUAAAAGUACAACACUCAAUUCAUGCAUUCUCUUUCCGAGACUCACUGGCAGGCAUUCAAGCGUCUUCUUCGCUACUUGAAGGGUACCAUUUCCCUGGGCUGGUGAUCGUGAUGAUCGCAAGUCUACGACUGGUUAUGUUGUCUAUCUCGGUGGAAAUCUCAUCUCUUGGUGCUCCCGUAAGCAGCGGUCUGUCUCUCGCUCCGCCACCGAAGCCGAAUAUCGGGCCAUUGCUGCCACCACUGCUGAACUCACAUGGAUUCAGUCCUUACUGCGUGAACUUGGCAUUCCUCUCCCCACAACACCGGUUGUUUCUUGUGAUAACAUUGGAGCCAUGUUCUAUUGUGCUAAUCCUGUCCUACAUUCCCGUAUGAAACAUAUCGAUAUUGAUUUUCAGUUUGUACGGGAUCGUGUCACUCAUGGUCUUCUUCAAGUGUCUCAUGUCUCCACUACUGAUCAGCUUGCUGACGCUCUCACCAAAUCCUUGCCACGUCCUCGUUUCCAUCUCCUUCAUUCCAAGAUCGGUGUCUCCGAUGGUGCCACCGUCUUGCAGGGGUGUGUUAAGGAAUCUCCUACAUCAAAGGAGAUCAGUUCGUCAACAACACAAUCUGCUCCAUCAACCGCACAAUCGGCUCCUUCGUAUGAAAGUCAACUAUGAUAUAUGCUAUGCUGUCUUUCCUAUUCUAUUUGAUUAGGAUUGAUUCAAUCAUUCAAGUAUAAUUGUAUUCAAAGUGUAUAUAAUCACAAACCUGUACCUAUAAACAAAUCAAUGAAAUAUACCAAUUCUACACUAAUAUGGAGGAUUAAAGCAUUUCAUUUCUUUUAGGUGCUUUAAUUUUGUUACCAAGGCACGAGAUCUGUUAUUUAUGUUUCAAAAACACUUUCUAAAGUCGUCAUAAUAAAAUAGAAAAUUAUGUAAUUAAAAAAGACGAAAAUAGAGAAUUUGAAUAUAUUUUUGGCCAUCGCGGAUGAUUUUUUUUGUUUUAAAUAUUUUAUCUUCUUAUGAUUUACAAAAAAUCGUAAUUAUAAAUGUUUAUCUAUUUUCCUCUAAUACUACUUCUCUUGUUCUUCUCUCUGAAGUCCUCCCUGUAAAAAGACGAAAGCAAACUUAAAUUCGGUGAAGAAAAAAUAUCUCAAAAAUAAAAAGAUGCAGAAAAUGUCAGAUCUAGAACUGGAACUGAAGAGAGAGAGAGAAAGAGAGUUGACCGUACAUGAAAACGAAGAAGGCACUCGCAGGCCUCUUCGGCUUGUUCGGAUCCUUUCCGGCUUUCUUCGCCGGCUUCUUGCUCGCUCCGGCACUCUUGCUUUUCAACCCUUCAAAAUUCAAAAUUCAAAAAAAAUCAGCAAAAGUUCAAACUUCAAACGCACAAAGCACAGCAGAAAUCAAAACCCGACAGAACAAAUCACAGUUCUCCGAUCGAACCGAUGCAAUCGGAGAGUUAUCAAAGCACAACAGAGCACAAAACUCACUUCGUAUCGCGUUUGGGAGCAGCAGCUCUGGCUUUACCCAUGGCGAACCUGCAAACACACAAAAAAGUCAAAAAUCGGUGGGAACCGGCGAGAAUCGUUUGGAAACGGUCAAAAACUGCUCGCUUAGGACCGAGUCAGAGCGGCGGAGGCGCGAGGUUACCUAGGGUUUUCGAGAACAAGACGAAGACGCAGAGAGAGAGAGAGAGUAAACUACGCCUUCGUCUUUAUGUGAAAACGCAGCGGGAUCGUAUUCGUACACAAAUAUGUUCAUAUCAGAUUGUCUUCUAUUAAACCACGAGAAUAUGAUUGUAUUUGUAUCGCUAAAAUUUAACCUUAAAUUUCAUAAAUAUCACAUUUUAUAAAAAAAUUGAAAUAUAACAGAAAACUUGCUUAAAUAGAUCUAAAUACCCUCAAAAUUAAAACCAAAUAAAAAUUAGUGGCAAAACUCUCACCCCACAACUAUAUAUACGAACAACAACAUUGAUGAACUUCCCAAUCAUUUUCAUGUUUAAAAAUUUAAAACUUUCUGCACAUGGAUUAAUAUUUUUAGCCCCAUUGUCGAGAGCAGCAUUUUCGCACACCCUCACUCCAUUAUUUAGUUUUGAUUGGUUUGUGAGAUCCGCUACAAUUUUGAACUUGCUAAUAGGGGUUAUAGAUUAAUUAGAUUUGCUGGGAAGAGAAGCACGAAUUUAAUUGGAAUGAUCCUCUUGUGAAAACUGUUAUGAUUUUAAAUCCCUAUCAUCCAACAAAUUUAAGGAAAAUUCGUAAGCACAUUCGGAUUGGAAUUUGGUUUCAAUGAGUUAGAAUCCUCAACUAAUAUCACGUCUGCUAAAAUGAUUGUACAAAUAAUAUUUUGUCGUGACGAUAUUGUAUCAAUAGUAACGAUUGAGUUUGAGUUUCACACAUAACCAACAAAUUUUCAAGUUAGUACUCAAUUAGUUGACAGUUGGACAACACCCGCAACUGCUCCACGACGUUUACCAACUGUCCUAGUGGCCUCGCACUUUGAACAACGAUGUAUAGGAGAUCUAUUCAAGUGCUUUUGCUUUUCUGUGUAAAUAAGUUUUGGAAUUUUGAGGGCAUUUAGAUCUAUUUACAUGAGUUUUUUGCUAUAUUUGAAAGUUCUUAUAAAAUGUGACAUUUAUGAAAUAAGGUGUCAAAAUUUGGUUAUUAUUGAUAAAUACUCCGUACACAAAUAUCAUUCUUGAAUACAUAAAGAGAUGCAUAUAUAGCAAAACAUUGAUUUUGCUCUGUGUGAACAGAAUCACAGUCAUGCACAAUGGGUUUACACCAACUCUCUACAAUAACAACCAUUUGGUCGAUCUACUGCCUCCUUUACAGUUUUGGAGCUUUUUAGUGAGGGCGGUCUGUUCGCUACAUAAAAGAAAGAAAUAAAUUGUGAGAAGGUGAAAGCAGAAUGUACAAAUAUAUACCAAAGUUACUAAACUGAAAAGCCGUCUAUAGAGGGAGCUGCCAGCAUAUCAAGAAAACAGAACAACAAACACAAGACGGUAGAACAAGGAGAAAUUGAAGCUUGACUUACUUUAAAAGACUCCUAUUAAGUCAGAGAUACUGUCGAUCGAUUGAAGUGGACGGUUGCCCUUGCUCCUCGUCAGUAGUGAUAGGAACACUGCGAUCAAUAUGCCUCCGCUUCGGAUGAUCAUCCAUUGGCUCUGGAGACAAGGAAAUCCAUUGCUGUUGCUGAUCGUAUUCAUCAUCGAUGACAUCUGAGGAUCCACGUGGGCAAGGCCUCUUUCCCAAGACCACUCGUUGCUCCCAAAGACAAGGGAAGCCGUUCAUCUUGGUUGUGCGAUAGGCGGUGCACCCAGCAGCUUUUAAUGCGUGCAUAUUCGGAGAAUUGAAAAAUAACUUGACAAAUAAAUAUCUCCCUCCCGCUCCUGCUCGUCUAAAUCCAUUAACCCAAGCCACACAUGAGUUGCCUCCAUGUCCCUGUCAUGCGAUUAAUAAGGUCCAGAGCGUCCUCUUCCGUUGAUGAGAACACAAGUAUCACUAGGACUUUACGGAUGCGGUGCAUCAAGAACAACAGAUAGAGCGAAUCUUAAUAACGUGUCCCCAUGUAAAUGUAGAGGAAUUUCAAAGCAAAAUUUAUUUUCUGAUCAAUAUUCAAUGUUGGUGAGAUAAUCAGAGGUAUAGAUGAACCACUUCCAAACUUCACUGCCUAGAUGAACAAUUUGCAAUUCAGGUCGCCAAAGAGAUUCUUGCAAAUUAAAUAAUGUAGAUAUAACUAAUUACUAACAGUCACAUGAUCUGAUCGCUCAACAAAAUUAAUAUGCAUUUCAAGAGAAAUUAAGAACAAGAGAGAGGAACCUGAUUCAACAAAUUAUUUUCCUACUUUGCCACCUCAUCGCCACAUAGUCUAAAGCAAUUAGUCAACCGCAGAAGCCUAAGCUUCGGGCGCAAUUUUGGAAUUUUCCCCAAUGAUGUGCAGUCAUCCAGAUAUAACUCUUUUUAGUUUUGGUGGAAGGGGUUGUGUAAUUUCCCGAAGCCUCUAGCAACCACUCAAAUGGAGUUUGUCCAAGUUGACUAGUUUGCUAAUGCAAUUCGGAAGACUAACAAAAUUGUUUCUCAACAGAUUAAGUCUUGUUAAUCUAGACCAGAAAUCAAGAGGCAUAAGGAAAUCACUUCUGAUAAAUUGCAUCCUCUAAAAUCAAGUUGUUGUAAGUUGGGAAGCGCUAAAUGGUGUAGCCACACCAAAGGCUUAGAUGGGCUGUAACCGAGGGAGAGUUUGUGGCAUAUGUAUGCAUAUUUUAGUGCAUAGUCUAAUAUAAUAGACAAAAAAAAAAAAAAAAAAACUGCAAGAAAAAUUAUUUUUUAAUGAAACUAGCCCGGCGAGUAUUUAGCACAACUAGAAAUAUAAAACUUAUCAUGAAAAUUGUGAUGCCGUUUUGUUCAAGAUUUUUCGACUUUGAUUCAGUAGGCUUUAUAUUAGUUUCAAUCAUUUUUUUUAAGAUUGCCUUUACAUCUACUUUCAUUGUUUUGAUUUGUGCUAGUUGUGUGAUUGUAAUUGAGAUGUCAAGCUUUUUAUCUUCUUCUUGUGUUUACAUUUAAAUAUAUGUAAAUUUGAUGAUUCAUUGUAAUUUUUGCAAUUUGCAAAUGCGAAGCUUGUUGAGUUCAUGCCAAGUAAAUUUUAAGUACACAAAUACAAAAGUUAAACUUAAAUUUUUGCAUACAAUAUGUAAAUACCAAAAAAAAAAAAAGAAAAAGAAAAAGAAAAUCAUUUGAUUUUAGGGUUAUUUUUUUAGCUAGCCCACCCAUAAAAAAAUUUCUGGUUCCGCCAUUGGUGCUAAUGUGAUAGAGUUGUCAUCUGAAGUAUCUAAGUCAGUUGAAAACAGUUGUGAUUUGGUACUACAAGAUGAAACUUCAUCAAACUUCACCUUAUUCUUCCAAAAUGUCAUGGCUUUUGGGCAUCCAACGAAAGUAACCACAAUGAGAUGUUGCAACCCAUAAAUAUGAAGUAAUGAUGUACCUAUAAGUGUAAGGUUCUCACAACCUUCUGCAUCCCAUCUUAGAAGUCCAAUAAGAGAUGCAAUUGAUCAAGGCAAUUCUCUUAUGCCACUUUGUUCUAUGUUCAAGUCCGUUAGAGAUUUCAUCUUGUCCUCCUCUAUUUGCGGGAAACUCUCGAGCAUUGUGCAACCAUCGAGACAAAGCCAUUCAAGGGAUCUCGAUCUAGGUCUUGUUUCAAACCUCGUAAGCUUAGAGCACCCACUAAGAUUCAACUCAACAAGUUUAUCAAGGAAUCCAACAGAAUCACCAAACUUAUACACACUUAGAUCCAAGUGCUUUAGGUACCCUAAAUCCAUUCAAUUGUUUGAUGCUAUUGUAUGGCAAAACAAACAUGACAAGAUGCCUUGGAUGAUAAUUGGAUUGCAAAUUGAACGUAACCAGAUGCUUUUCAGGAAUAUAGGAUCUCAAAUAUUGAAAGUCACGUCCACCAAGUUCAAUCCACCUCAAAUCGUUGGGCAGAUAAUCAAGGUGUCCAUAAAAGUGUCCAUUGCAGUUUAUAAAAUUUCAAGAUUUACUAUCCGCAAGAAGCUUUUUGCAUUCAAGGGUAUUAGAUCAUCUAGUUUGGGCAACUUCACCACAAUGCCUUUAAUUUUCUUUGUUCCCUAAGAUGGAAAAAGACAUAAUGUCAACAAACAAGUCGUAUAACAAACAAUUCACAAAGGCUGUUUCAAAAUCCUUAUAUAUAUCUUCAUGAAACCACAACUUGCUACUUUUCCCUGGUUCAGUGGGAGAUUUUUCGUAAACUAUACGCUUACCCAUUUUUUCUAGCAAGUCAUGCAUCAAAAUCUUAUUAUAUUCAAUAGUUAUGAUGACAUUUUCAACGAGUACUUCAAUAAGCUGCAUUGAGCUUCGAACUUCUUAAUAGUUGUAACACAAUCUUUAUCUUCCCCCUUGAAGAACAUGCAAUGUCUAGGAUAAAUUGUUGCAGGAUAUAAUCCCCGACAUCAAAACUUUCACAAAGUAUUAUUUGAAUACCUCUAUAAGGUUCUCCAUUGUAAGAAUCUUAACUAUCCAAUGUAGCUUGCCAACAAUCUAUACUUUUAUUACACCAGAUGAUAACUUAUAAGAUUAAGAGCUAACGGAAGGCCUUGAGCACCUGCUAUUGCACAUCGUGCGAGUCUCAAAUAAUCAUCCGAAGGUUCUUUUCUUCCGAAAGCAUUUAAACUAAAAAGCUGAAGAGUUUAGAAAGCCCUUUUACGCCUCGUAUAUCAACUCAACUCCAUAUGAUUCAAGCAAUCAUCCAUCUUUUGUGGUUAUGAUCACUCUGCUACCCUCACCGAACCAAUCGACUUCAACCAAGUUUUUUAACUGUUCCAAUCGAUCCACAUCAUCCAGAAGUAAGAGAAUCUUGUUUCACCACAAUAGUUUCUUUAUAAGGCUGGUUCCUUCAUGAACAUUGACAAUUUCAACUCUGUACCGCAUAGAACUUUCAUUGCAACUUGGUUUCAGCUUCAGUGCUUUUGCCCACACCCUGCCCCGGAAAUCAGAUGCAGCAGCAUCAACCAAAAGCACUUUUGAGAAAAGCAUGGACCAAGUAGAAAUAUGAAAUCAAAAGUUAAGAGUGACUGGAAGUUGAUUACCGGAGGUCCAGUCACCAGCAAGCACUUUCCGGGACUGGUCAUCUCUGGCUUCUCCUCCUUCUCCUUCCACUGCCGUUCGUUUGUACCUCCGCUCGAUCAGCCUACACGACUAACAAAAACGACAAGUCGUUGUGGAAGAGAGGGUAGGUGGUUGAUUUCUUCACUGCUUUGGGCUGGGUAUGUUGAAGAAUAACCCGACCAGCCCAAAUCAGCCCAAAAAACUUGACCUCCUGCGCGGUAAUUUUAUUUUUUAACGCCAUAAUAAUCGUAAUAAUUUAAUAUUAAAAAACACCGUCAACAAUCUGGAUGAUAAAAUCAUUUCGUUUUUUUAUGGUUCGUUUGGAUGUGUUUUUAAAAUGAUUGAAAACGCUUUUAGAGAAAAUGUUUUUGGGUUUCAAAAACACUUGAAGUGCUUUCUACAAGAAGCACCAGUUAUGUGCUUCUUCUAGGAAGCACUUUAAGUGUUUUUUUUCAGAAUUUACUUGCAUCUUUACUAAAGAUUGGUUCUAAAAACAUUUUCACAAAAAAAGUUUUCAGUCAUUUUAAAAACACAUCCAAACAAGUUCUUAGGUGCUUCAAUUUUGUUACCAAGGCACGAGAUCUGUUAUUUACGUUUCAAAAUCACUUUUUGAAGUCAUUCAUAUGUUAUUUUUGAAUCUUCUAUGCAAUUAACCUUAAAAAAAUCACUUGGCUAAAAUAUCUCACAUCUAAAUUUCAAGCGCAAGUGUUUAGUCGAACCCCAUUUGUAAUGUUUGUGUGACUCGUGUUCCUAAGCACUUUCAAUAAAAGCACAUUUCAUUAAAUAACUUCUUGAAGCACCCAUCACUUUAAAUUUUUUCCCUCGAACGUUUGCAAGAUACUUUGAGGUGUUCGAAAAUGGUUGAAGAAGUUGAGCCAACAAACGGAAAAAUAUCCCUUGGAUAUCAUGGAAGCCCCAAGCCUAUGUAAUAAUAUUAACCCUUAGAAGAUAGUUUAGAAUCACCUGAACUAUAAGUCGGGACGAAAGAUUGGUGAAUCAGGCAACCCCUAUACCUUGAAUCGGACCUUGCUUUGUUCUCGUGCAUCACUGAAUUAAGUGUUAUCCAAAUUCGUUUUAGCUCGUUGAAAAGCAUUUUUAACCAUUCCGAUAUGAAUUUAUACGCAUGCUCAUUCUUCACAAAGGUAGUGUCAACUAUUUCACUGCAAGCUUUUAUCUGAAACUUUAUCAAUUUCCAAUUCCACAACUCAGUAACUCGAGUAAAAACAGCAUUGUACGUCCGCACAAUGCCAAGUUACAAACUCAUGGUAUUAAUCAUGGGUAUACCGGGAUACUGGCAUUCUGUGCCAAUGUAAGUUGCUCUCUCAUUCUAUGGGACGGGCGUAUUGAAAUCGUAAAAUCCCGUGCCAAUGUAAAUCUCUCUCCAGAAGAGCAUGAUAGUGAGCGAAAUACCAUAACAUUAACAUCCCAGAUUGUUGCCAAAGACUUGUCUCAAACAGUAAUCACUAAUCAGACCCCAUUGGGAGAAUCUCCCAACAGAAUUGUUCCAACGUCCAGAGGUAAAGUCAAUCACCAUCCCCCGGGUAAAGUCAAACACUACCACCAAGGUAAAAUCAAACAGCAAUAUCCUCGCAUCACAUACAACGAGACUAAACAACGAUAACAUUACAAAACAAAAGCUAUUACCAAUCCAUCAAGAACACUAAUCAAUGCUUAAAUGCUACUUAAAAGAAAACCACACACUAAAUUGCAUAAUAAGAAACUAAGGAAAGCGUUAUGUUACAAAGAAAACUGAAAUUUAUAUAACAUAAGGAGGGUAAUUAAGUACAGAAACGACGAUAUGGGAAUCACGGGGAGCAGACAAUCCUCAAACUUAAUCACGGAGAGCAUUCAAAUAUGUGCCAUCAAGAACUUGGGCUAAGAUCUCCUUAACAAUGUUGCUGAUUAUUGUAGCUUCAUAGCUAGCAGUUCAAAACAAAAAACACAUUAAAUCAGUGAACCUGUUCUUUGCUAUAGAGAUGUAAAAACAAAUAGAGAAAAAUAUUACACGAUAUUAACAAAAUGUGUACUUGAAAUUUUUUUCUCUUUUUCUAUCCAAAAUGCACUAGUAAUUACUAAAAUCCACUAUGUGUCGCUUGCUAAAGAUCUAAAGAGUAAGAAUGAAACACAAAACUAAAUUGAUGACAUUAUUGUAGGAAAUUAACUAUACACGGUAAGGGGAAGAAAUGUACGUACUCUUCCUCCUUGACAUGAUGUCCUGACAAAUUUGCUACUUCUGUAAGAGCUCUCUUCCACACGGGCACCUUCUCGUUGUUGUUGCCGGAUUUGCUCACAAGUUCUGUAAACGCGUUACCGAAACUACUCUCUUGCUUUCGUACAUGGGACGGUUCCACCUUGUAAAAAACUGGCAAAACGAUUUGUUGCUUUGAUUCUCUACAUUGAAGAAUCUUGACAAGCUCGUCCAAGCACCAGCUUGAAGAUGCAUAGGUUCUAGAGAAUAUGACAAGAGAAAUUCUUGACUCUUCAAUUACUUGGAGGAGCGUUGGUGAUAUUUCUUCUCCUCUUCUAAGUUCGCGAUCAAUGAAGGUGUUGAUUCCCUUAUCAACCAAAGCUUUGUAUAAAUGAUCCGUAAAAUUGGUGCGUGUAUCCUCUCCUCUAAAACUCAAAAACACAUCAUAUCUCCAUGAAGGAGGCAAGGAAGAAGAAGCGACAAGUUGAUUGGCCAUGGGAAAAUUAAAGCCAGGUAAACUAAAGAAAACAGCCUCUCAAAGAACUGGAAUGUGUAGUAUGGUAUGACAAUGGACUCUCUUGUUAUAUAAGUCCUCAAGCUUUUCUUCUUACCUACUACCUUCCAAUGUGAAUGUGGUCAAGUUGAGAGGAACUUUCCCGACGACUUCAUAUUCACUUAUUGAGUAUUUUAAUUGCUGGCCUACGGCAUGCGAUACAACAACAUAUAUGUUUCACAACGAAAGCGCCGUUGCUUCUCUGUCUUAUAUUACAGUUAGUCUUCCCUUCACAUAGGUCCCACUAAAAAAAAAAAAAAAAAAAAAAAAAACCUCGCAUGCGCGUCCGUAAACAUAUAAUAUAAAAAUUAAGAAUGAAGUUUCCCAAAGCCUAGUUGUUUGCGAUCUAAAAAUUAGGGCUUUUACUAUAAUACUUCGAAGUAUGAGAUGAACCAGUAUUUGAGAGGUUAGAUUGAAACUGUCAAGAUCUAGCCAUACGAAUCUAACAAUUCAUCUAACAAUUCAAAUGUUUCAUGCAUCUUAUACACAAGUGUAUUGUAGAUUUUUUGUUUUUAGACAAAUGAUUGUGUUAUUGGGUGAAUUUUUUUUAUUUUUACUAAAUUAGAAUUGUGUGCUCACCCUUUGGUCUUGUAUAUUUACUUAUACUAAUCAUGAUGAGUUUAGGGUAUUUUAACAAAAAACUCCCAGUAUUGUUCACUUUAACGAAAAACCACAUUUUUACACUAAAAAGUCAAUCUUGGUACUAUUCACUUUACCUUUUAUUUUGUCAUUCUCGUUAAAACUCAAAGUUUUCAAGUCAUUUUCAUUAGUUUUCCUUUAAUAUACAAACCUAUAAGGAUUUGAUCGUCAUAUCAUAUCGGAUUCUACUUUAAGUUCACAAUCACAUUCCUAAUUAAUAAUUUUGUUUACAACACUCGCCCUUGAGCAUGUACAACUUAAGAAGCAGUUGCAUCGGAUUUUUCUUGAUUAGGGAAUGGAGUUGUGUCGUCAGUUCUCGGUAGAUAUAAUAAUUGUUAACACGAGUCUCAUAGUUAGUUUCUCUCGUACCGUCGAUGUUCUCAAAAAAAAAAAAAAAAAAAAAAAAAGGCUGAUAGUAAGGGGUGCCUAUCAAAAAGAAAAUCUCACAAAAACCUUGCUACGGCAAUCCAAUGGACUUAAGGAGAAAAAAGUGAGUUAAUGCAGGAUGUCGAUGAUUCCCAUUUUCAGGAGGAUCAAUAAAGCUCACAAAGGUAUGACUAACCCAAGCGUCUCAUCAAAACAUCAUCAGGUUACAAAAAACCCAAUGAAAAAAAGUGCUCCUAAUCAUAGAGAAAAUGGUACAUUAAAGUCAUGAGAAUAUACUUCAAAAUACUUUCCUUGAGUUCGAAAAACUCCCUUGAUUUGCCAUAGGAGAAUUAAAGCCAGAUAAGCUAAAGGAAAUAAUCACUCACUGAAUUGGAAUAUGCAGUAUUGUAUGGACAAUGGCUCUAUAUUGUUAUAUCAAUCCUCAUGCUUUUCUUCCUACCUACUAUGUAAUGUAGUCAAGUUAAAGAAGAUGAACUUUAGUGGCAACUUAAUUUCAAAAAUGAUUUCUACUAAGCAUUUUCCUACUCAUCACCUUUCAUUGUGGCAACUUCAUUUCAAAAUUGAAUUUGCAGAAUGUGGUUUAAGAAGAUGAUAUCUCUCGCAUUACAUUUCAAGUAUUUUCCUUAUUCAUAAAAUAGUAUCCUUUCGGUCAAUUUCCACUCGUUGACUUUUUUAAUUGUUGGCUUAUGGCAUCCGAUGGAUCAGCAUGGAUGUGGACUCACCAACUGAAUUGUUCUUUUAAUCAGAUAAUUACACAUCAUUGCUUCUGUCUUAUAUUAUAGCUUCUAAUAAUAAUAAUAAACCAUUGACCCAAAAAAUAAAAAAAACAACUCACAUACGCAUCCCUAAGUUAAUAAAAAUGAAGUUUCCCAUAAAACUGUUGUAUGAGAUAUAUUUAGAGAUAGCAAUUUAAUCCAUUAAACCCGAUAAAUGAUUAAUCCUUUAUUAACGUCUUAUUGUUCUUCUGGUUCCAUUUCUAUAAAAAGUUUGUAAAAUAAGAACAUUAUGCCGAAAUUCAUAAAGAAAAAAUGCACUAUUUAUUUUUACUUCAUAGUUUAUAUGUUGAAUUAACUCAUUAGAAAUACAAAAAUAAAGAUUUAUGCACCCAUCAAACUGUGAAUGACUACUCCCAAUAAUAACUUAAUAACUUAGUAUUUUCCUCAGUUCAUAAAAUUUAGUAUUCUUUCAGCCAAUAAUAACUUAACCUUAAUUUCCACUUGGCUUUUUUUAAUUGCUGGCUUACGGCUCCGAUGCAACAACAUAAAAUAUAUUAACCAUAUGAAAGAGUCGUUGCUUCUCCGUCGUAUAUUGCAGUCUGCCGUUCACAUGCGUCUCCGUAAACAAAAUAUAUAAUUAAAAAUGAAGGAUGAAGUUAAAUUGAAACUGUCAAGAUACAGCAAUACAAAUCUAACAAUUCAAAUGUUUCACGCUAAUUUUUUUUUAACAAAUGAUAGUGUUAGUGGGUAAAUUUUUUUCACUAAGUUAGAAUUGUGUCCUUAUCCUUUGUCCUUCUUUACCUACAAUAAUCAUGAUGAGUUUUCUUGCCUUGCAAUACUAACCUAUGAGAAUUUGAUCGUCAAAUCAUAAUUGGAUUCUACUUUAAGUUUACACAAUCAUAUUUCUAAUUAAUAAUUAUGUUCACAACACUCGCUCUUUAGUGUAUACAACUUAAGAAGUAACAAUAUUAGGUCUUUCAUGAUUAUGGAAUGGUAGUUGUUGUCGUCGGUUCUCGGCAAAUAUAACAAUUGCUAACACAAGUCUCAGAGUAGGGGCACAUAUAAAAAUGAAUAUCUUACAAAAACCUUGCUAUGAUAAUCCAGUAGACUUAAAGGUCGUACCUAGUGCAUAAGGCUCCCGCUUUACACAGGGUCUGGGAGAAGUGAAUGUCGGCUAGCCUUACCCCAAUUUAUGGAGAGGCUGCUCCCAAGUCUCGAACCCGAGACCUACCGCUCAUGGACGAAGGCAAUUGCCAUCGCACCAAGUGCGACCUCUAUAAUCCAGUAGACUUAAGGAGAAAAAAGUGAGUUAAUGCAGAAUGUUGGUGUUUCACAUAUUCAGGAGGAUCUUUGAAGCUCACAAAGGUAUGACUAGUACAGGUGUCUCAUCAAAACCUCAUUAGGUUACCAAAAAUCUAAUGGAAAAGUGCACCUAAUCGUAGAAAAAAGAGUACAUUAAGAUCAUGAGAGUGUACUUCAAGAUAUUCUCCCUGAGUUCGAAAAAAUCCCUUGAUUGGCCAUAGGAGAAUUAAAGCCAAAUAAGCAAAAGAAAAGAGUCACUCAAAGAAUUGGAAUAUGCAGUACGGUAUGGACAAUGGCUCUCUAUUGUUAUAUCAUCCCUCAUGCUUUUCUUCCUACCUACUAUGUGUCUUUCAACGUGAAUGUGAUCAAAUUGAAGGAUUGAAAUUUUCGUGACAACUUCAUUUUAAAUGUAAUUUAUAACAAGCAUUUUCCUACCUAGCUAUUACCUUUUAAUGUGGCAAUUUCAUUUCAAAGUAAAUUUACAGAAUGUGGUUCAAGAAUUGUCUCUGUAGCAUUUCAUUUCAAUUAUUUUCGUUAUUCAUAAAAUGGUUCAUUUCAAUUAUUUUUUAGUCAAUGGUUUAUUAUUAUUAUUACUAACUAUAAUAUAAGACAGAAGCAAUGAUGUGCUGUUAUCUGAUUAAAAAGACAAUUAAGUUGGUGAGUCCACAUCCAUGCUGAUCCAUCGGAUGCGGUAAGCCAACAAUUAAAAAACUCAACUAGUGGAAAUAAGGUUAAGCUAUUAUUGGUUGAAAGGAUACUAUUUUAUGAAGGUUUUUUAGUUAAAAUGGUAUCUGAGAUUUGCAUAACACAUCACUUUAGUCUCUGAGAUUUGAAAUCAAUAUAAGUUAUAUCUGAGAUUGUCCACCAUCAAUUAUUUUGGUCAUUCCGUGCAAAAUUAUGUUAAAUAAGGAUCAAAAUGACAAAAUCAUUUUGGUCAUUGUAUUCUUAUUUAAGUGAGAUUUUUCAAGAAAUGAUCAAAAUAAUUGAUGGUGGACAAACUCAAAGAUCAAUUCUAUUAAUUUCAAAUUUCAAGUACCAAAGUGAGGAGUUAUGCAAAUUUCAUAGACUAUCUUGACUAAAAAGUCUUCAUAAAAUAGUAUCCUUUAAGACCAUCUCCAAUGGUUGGGCUAAAAGCCAAAUAUUUUAGCCUGAAAAAUUUAGCUUUUAGCAUAGAAACAGUUUUUCUGCUCCAACCGUUCUAGCCUAAAAUUUUAGCCCGGAAUUAUUAAAGAAUGAACUUAGGCUAUUUUUUUUGUUAAAUUAAAUUUAAAAAAUAAAUAAAUAUGUAGACUAUCGUAAAUUAAUUUUAUAAACAUUUUAAUCUAAAAAAAUUUAAAUUCCGAUAAAUAUUGAAAAUUUUAAAUUCCGAUUUCUAGGCUAAAUUUCGGUGGGAAUCUGGUAUUGAUUUAGCAUUUAGCAUUUAGCCCAAAUUUCCCCUUGGGUUGGAAUGGGUUUAGGGGGAAAUUUUGGUGGGUAAUUUGGCUUUUAGCCCACCAUUGAAGUUGAUCUCAGCCAAUAAUAGCUUAACCUUAUUUCCACUCGUUGAGUUUUUUAAUUGUUGGCUUACCGCAUCCGAUGGAUCAGCAUGGAUGUGGACUCACCAACUUAAUAGUCUUUUUAAUCAGAUAACAGCACAUCAUUGCUUUUGUCUUAUAUUAUAGUUAGUAAUAAUAAUAAUUAACCAUUGACUUAAAAAAAAAAAAAAAAAAAAAAAAAAAAAAAACUCGCAUGCUCCUUAGUAAUAAAAAAGAAGUUUCCAAAAAACUGAUGUAUGAGUUACAUUGAGAGAUGACAAUUCAAUCCGUUAAAUCCAAUAAUUAUGAUUGACCCUUUACUAACAACUUACUGUUCUUCGGGUUCCUUUUUUACGGAAAGUUUGUAAAAUAAGAACAUUAUGCAGAAAUUCAUAAAAAAGAAAUUCACUAUUUAUUUUCCGUUGUACAGUUUAUAUACAAAAAUAAAGAUUUAUGCACAUAUCAAACAGUGAAUGACUACUCCCAGUCCCAGUUCCCAUAAGAAGGAUCUAGGUAUUUUCCUUGGUUCAUAAAAUUUGGUAUUCUUUCAGCCAAUAAUAACUUUACCUUAAUUUCCACUUGUUGACUUUUUUUAAUCGCUGGCUUACGGCUAAUUUCCACUUGUUUAACUUUUUUUAAUUGCUGGCUUACGGCUCCGAUGCAAAGACAUAAAUAUAUACACGUAUGAAAGCGUCGUUGCUUCUGUCUGAUAUUACAGAGUCGUCCGUUCACAUGCGCGUCCGCAAACAAAAUAUAUAAAAAUGAAGGAUGAAGUUUCCCAAAACCUAGUUGUCUGAGAUCUAAAAAUUAGGGUUUUUAUUACAUGAAAGGUUAGACUGAAACUGUCAACAUACAGCCGUACAAAUCCAACAAUUUAAAUGUUUCAUUGUUAGAUCCCACAUCGUUCAGGAGAGUGGAUCCUUUAUACCUUAUAUGUGCAUGCUCACCUCCUUUAGCACGAGGCCUUUUGGGAACUCAUUGGCUUCGGAUUCCAUCGAAACUUCGAAGUUAAGCGAGUUCGGGUGAAAGCAUUCCCAGGAUGGGUGACCCAUUGAGAAGUUCUCGUGUGUUUUCCCAGAAACAAAACCGUAAGGGCGUGGCCGGGGCCCAAAUCGGACAAUAUCGUGCUACGGCGGAACGUGACAUUCAUGCAUCUCAUACAUAAGUGUAUUGUAGAAUUUUUGCUAAUUUUUUUUUUUUGGACAAACGAUAGUGUUAGUGGGUUUUGUUUUUUCUCCACUAAAUUAGAAUCGUGUCGUCACCCUUUGGCCCUGUAUCUUUACGUAUACUAAUCUCGAUGAGUUUUUUUGCCUUGCAAGUAAUACAAACCUAUGAGGAGAUUUUAUUGUGAUGUGGUUAAUAUUCAAAUAAGUCUAUAUAUAUAUAUGUAUAUAUAUAUAUGUAUAUGUAUAUAUAUAUGUGUAUAUGUAUAUGUAUAUAUAUAUGUAUAUGUAUGUAUUUAGUGUUUCUUGACUUGGGUUUUAGUUUGUAAACAAGUUUAUUGAGUUGGAAGAAUUGUCAUGGCCCGAUCCCAACAUACGUCGCAAAUCGACACGUGACAAAGGAAAAAUAACAUUCGUUGAAUAUGACAUACCAUAGUGAAUGAAAUACUUUAAAUGCAACCCAAACUAAAAAGAAGGUGGCUAAGUUCUUCACAAGAUAUUUACAAAUAUCCACAUCCCAAAAAGAAGCAUAAUCUUUGCUUUACUAAGAACAAGUUUAAAGUGCUCAAAAGAAAGUCCCAAAAGAUAAAAUACAAGAGUGAAUCAAGGGUAACCUAAUGCUUCACGUCUCUGAUAACCGCACUGCUACCCCCACCUAUGGACUUCUCGGAGUCUACUCAAACCUGUCACCUGUAUGAUCAGUGCCUACACCAUCGAAAUGGUGCAUCGAGCAAACAUCAACCCGGAUAAGCUGCGAAGCUCAUGUGAGUGACAAUAAUACAAAGUAUGUGACACAAUAAUAAAACCAACCAUCAAUCACAAUUUAUAAACCUUGAAUAUAAAUCAUGCAUGAGAAAUCAAUACCAAACCUUUGAAAACUCCGAAUGAGUUACCUAGACAUUCAAUGAUUCAUCUAAAACAAUCACAACAUCUCACAGCCAUAUUCUCAUACAACAUAAUGAAAAGUAAGGUUAAAGCGACAUAGUUCGGCCGAAGCCUACACCUUUGAAGCUAUCUCAAUCCAAACUCAAUGAAACACAAGGUGGAUACGAUCCCGGAUCAUCACUCAACGGAAUCGCAGAGUAGGAAGGAUUUCGGACCAUCUCUCAACGGAAUCAGAGUGAAUACGAUUACGGACCAUCACUCAACGGAAUCGCAGAGUAUGAGGGAUUCCAGACCAUCUCUCAACGGAAUCCUAGUGGAUACGAUUCCGGACCAUAACUCAAUGGAAUCGUGGAAGGCCAACAACCAUAAUGUAUAACGGCUCAAAGAAAUGAAACAAGCACAAGUUACUCAAUUUACAAAAGCUCAACCAAGGGAAAUAAGGCACAAAUACUAAAUUUAGACGGAUCAACGAAACAGAAAAUGAAACAAUAUCGAAGCAACAAAUCCCCAUCACAAUGGUUAACAACCCAUCACUAGCCUUCAUAUUUCAUCACAUCAUGCCAAUCAAACAAAUCAAACCAUAUUUCAAUACACAUACGUCAAAUAUCAUUUCAUAACUUGAAUAAAUGGCUAAACAUUAAAAAUAACAAUUCAAUAGAAACAUAUAUAUAUAUAUAUAUAUAUAUAUAUAUAUAUAUAUAUAUAUAACCAAGUCAUAUCCACACUAUAUAACCAAGUGAUAUCCACACAUGAUAACAAUUACGAAAACAAGGUAACCACCAAUAUCACAUAUGUUAAAGUCACUCACCUGGAAUCCGCGCUAAUGCACCCUAGCACGAGAGUCAAGACAUCACGUUCUAUCACCGCGUAAACAAGGUACAAGUCCAUAUUUAGAUUUCAUUCGAUAAUUCACAUACUUAAAAACUCUCAUAUGUCUCCCACAACAACAUUUAAUGAGGAAUCGAACCGUCAUUCUAAGGUAGGGUCCAUGAUCUUACGUCACUUAUUUCGUAAGAUCCAAUCACUAGAUUUUCACUUGUAAGUCCCUAAGGUUCUUAAACAAUAUCUACCAUAGCAUACUAAAAUUGGUGUCAAUACAAUGGUAAGAUCGUCAAUUGUUAGAAUAAUCAAGUGGUGGACCUUAUCGCUAAUAUACUCAACCAACAACAAACAACAACAACAACAACAACAACAAAGCCUUUUCCCACUAAGUGGGGUCGGCUAUAUGAAUCCUAAAACGCCAUUGCGCUCGGUUUUGUGUCAUGUCCUCCGUUAGAUCCAAGUACUCUAAGUCUUUUCUUAGAGUCUCUUCCAAAGUUUUCCUAGGUCUUCCUCUACCCCUUCGGCCCUGAACCUCUGUCCCGUAGUCACAUCUUCGAAUCGGAGCGUCAGUAGGCCUUCUUUGCACAUGUCCAAAUCACCGGAACCGAUUUUCUCUCAUCUUUCCUUCAAUUUCGGCUACUCCUACUUGACCUCGGAUAUCCUCAUUCCCAAUCUUAUCCUUUCUCGUGUGCCCACACAUCCCACGAAGCAUCCUCAUCCCCGCUACACCCAUUUUGUGUACGUGUUGAUGCUUCACCGCCCAACAUUCUGUGCCAUACAACAUCGCUGGCCUUAUUGCCGUCCUAUAAAAUUUUCCCUUAAGCUUCAGUGGCCUACGACGGUCACACAACACUCCGGAUGCACUCUUACACUUCAUCCAUCCAGCUUGUAUUCUAUGGUUGAGAUCUCCAUCUAAUUCUCCGUUCUCUUGCAAGAUAGAUCCUAGGUAGCGAAAAUGGUUGGUUUUUUUGAUCUUCGCUAGAUUGCUCCGGUCAUUAGUGUGGAUAAGUAUAUAAAUGGAUAGAGAUAGGAAAGCCAACACAAGAUGUACGUGAUUCACCCAGAUUGGCUACGUUCACGGAAUAGAGGAGUUCUCAUUAAUUGUGAAGGGUUUACACAAGUACAUAGGUUCAAGCUCUCCUUUAGUGAGUACAAGUGAAUGAUCUAGUACAAAUGACAUUAGGAAAUAUUGUGGGAGAAUGAUCUCGUAAUCACGAAACUUCUAAGUAUCGGAGUGUGGUAUCGUCUUGACUUGCCUUAUCUGUCUCAUAGGUAGAUGUGACAUCUUCUCUGGAAGUACUCUUCCUCCAUCCAGGGGUGGUAUCUUUAACUGGUGGAGAUGCACAAGGUAAUGUAUCAAUUUCACUUGAAGCUUACUUGUAGUUUCAGGCUUGGUCAAGCGCGAUACAAACCAUGUAGUAGGAGUCCCCAAGUCGCCGAGCUAGGGGAUCUGCUGAAAGAGGUGAUAGACAAGGUAAGCAAUCAGAGCUCCGGCUGAUUGUUCACAUUCUCCUUAUCUUGCAGGCAGCAUGAAGGAUAAAGAGAAGAAAAAUGAGAAGAGAUGAUAUGGGAUACUUUUGCUUUUGAAGAAGUAACUUUCCACAGGCUUAUUCUUGAACUGAGCUGGAGGGUUUUCUGGUUUCCUCCAGAGUAUAAGGCCGACUGAAGAAUUUGAGGGUCAAAACAAGUCCAUCAAAUCUAGAGUAUGUUCGACCCUGCUGAUAUGAGAUACUUUUGCUUUUGACAGAGUAAUGGAUGUAUCGGCACGUGUGCUGUUACGUUUGUCUCCACAUGCUUCCUUGUAUCAUUCUCACUUGCCCUAUUUGUUCCUCAGGCAGAUGCGGUAUCUUCCCUGGGAGCAUAAGAUGUUGAAGAUGAGUACUCGAGAGCAAUACCAGGUAAGUAAUCAGGUAAGGGGUUCCAGGCAGUCAGUUCCUGGCUAGAAGCUUGAUUCCAAGUGCUGACUGAUUGCUCUCUUUCUCCUUGUCUUGCAGGUAAGAACAAGGCCAAAGGAAAAGACAGGGAAAAAGCAUGAUAUGGGAUACUCUUGCUUUUAACCCUGAUGAUAUGGGAUAUUCUUGCUCUAGUAUAGCUUGUUUGCAGAGGUAUUAUCAGGGGGGAAGAAAGCUGAGUAUUUCGAAAGGCUUCGUUGGGAGUGCCCUCUCAGAUAUGAGGAAGGGUUGAGCAUUUUUGCAGGUCUGCCUGUCCGUUGGGGAUGGAGGUCGACAUAUAUAGGAGUUUCCCUAACAGCAAGUAGUAAUGAUAUUCCUUUACCCUGCUUGGUCAUAGCACGGUAGUAGGAGCUGCCAGCUUCACAUGUUUUAACUCUGUCAGAGCACUUUGAAAAAGUGGUCUGUGGUAUCUGGAAAGCUGAUGUUGUGUGUGAGGAUUACAGACAAGCUUUAUCCAAGGAGAUCCGGCUCUUGAAGUUGGGAAAGUGGUGCCUCUUCGGUUUUCGAACAAGCAAUCCUAUCGAGGAUCUGGCUCUCGAGAUUCGGAGAAUGAUGCCUCUUCGAUUUUUGAGAAAGCAAUCAUGCUGGGGGUCUGGCUCUCGAGAUUCGGAGAGCGGUGUCUCUUCGAUUUUUGAGAAAGUAAUCAUGUUGGGAGUCUGGCUCUCGAGAUUCGGAGGGCGGUGCCUCUUCGAUUUUGGAGCAAGCAAUCUUGUUGGGAGUGUUUUCUCGAAUGUGAGUAAAGGUUGGGCAUGUUUGCUAGUCUACCUUGCCACAAAGCACAGAGGUUGACACACAGGGACUUUCCAAUUAUCCAGCAAUGGUACUGUUCCUUUACCCUCUUCGAUUUUUUAGAAAGUAGUCAUGUUGGGAGUCUGGCCCUCGAGAUUCGGAGGACGGUGGAUUUUGGAGCAAGCGAUCUUGUUGGGAGUGUUUUCUCGAAUGUGAGUAAAGGUUGGGCAUGUUUGCUAGUCUACCUUGCCACGAAGCACAGAGGUUGACACACAGGGACUUUCCAAUUAUCCAGCCGUGGUACUGUUCCUUUACCCUUGUGGGUAAUAAUAUGGUAGCUAGACCUUCAAAGUUUAUGUGUCUAAACUUUUAGUGCUGUUUCUUUGCUAUUCUUUUACCCUUCUUGGUCAGAGCGAUGUAGUGGGAGUUGCAAGCUUCACGUGCUCAACUUUGGCAGAGAACUUUGGCAAAGUUAUCUGUGGUACCCAUGAGCUAUUGUUGCGUGUGGGAAGUGGGUGAUUGAACAGUAAGAUUCAUGUGCUUUCUACUUCACCAGAAGUCUUCGACAGAAUGCCCAUAAUUUCCGCAAAGCUGAGUGUGCGUGUGGCAGGUGCUGACAAGGCUGGAAAAGUAGGUGCCUCUUCGAUUUCUGAGAUCGGCCCUCGUGGUCUCUGAGCAGCCCAACUUUUGAGAAAGCGAGCGCCUCUUCGAUUUCUGAGAUUGGCCUUCGUGGUCUUCGAGCAGCCCAGCUUUUGAGAAAGCAAACGCCUCUUCGAUUUCUGAGAUCAACCCUCGUGGUCUCUGAGCAGCCCAGCUUUUGAGAAAGCAAACCCCUCUUCGAUUUCUGAAGCUCCGUCGAGAUUCGGAGAGCGAUGUCUCUUCGAUUUUUGAGAAAGUAAUCAUGUUGGGAGUUUGGCUCUCGAGAUUCGGAGGGCGGUGCCUCUUCGAUUUUGGAGCAAGCAAUCUUGUUGGGAGUGUUUUCUCGAAUGUGAGUAAAGGUUGGGCAUGUUUGCUAGUCUACCUUGCCACAAAGCACAGAGGUUGACACACAGGGACUUUCCAAUUAUCCAGCAAUGGUACUGUUCCUUUACCCUCUCUUCGAUUUUUGAGAAAGUAGUCAUGUUGGGAGUCUGGCUCUCGAGAUUCAGAGGACGGUGCCUCUUCGAUUUUGGAGCAAGCAAUCUUGUUAGGAGUUUUCUCGAAUGUGAGUAAAGGUUGGGCAUGUUUGCUAGUCUACCUUGCUACGAAGCACAGAGGUUGACACACAGGGACUUUCCAAUUAUCCAGCAGUGGUACUGUUCCUUUACCCUUGUGGGUAAUAAUAUGGUAGCUAGACCUUCAAAAUUUAUGUGUCUAAACUUUGUUAGUACUGUUUCUUUGCUAUUCUUUUACCCUUCUUGGUUAGAGCGAUGUAGUAGGAGCUGCAAGCUUCACGUGCUCAACUUUGGCAGAGAACUUUGGCAAAGUUAUCUGUGGUACCCAUGAGCUAUUGUUGCGUGUGGGAAGUGGGUGAUUGAACAGUAAGAUUCAUGUGCUUUCUACUUCACCAGAAGUCUUCGACAGAAUGCCCAUAAUUUCCGCAAAGCUGAGUGUGCGUGUGACAGGUGCUGACAAGGCUGGAAAAGUAGGUGCCUCUUCGAUUUCUGAGAUCGGCCCUCGUGGUCUUUGAGCAGCCCAACUUUUGAGAAAGCGAGCGCCUCUUCGAUUUCUGAGAUUGGCCUUCGUGGUCUUUGAGCAGCCCAGCUUUUGAGAAAGCAAACGCCUCUUCGAUUUCUGAAAUCAACCCUCGUGGUCUUUGAGCAGCCCAGCUUUUGAGAAAGCAAACGCCUCUUCGAUUUCUGAAGCUCCGUCGAGUGCAGAUUUUUAUAGGGGCUGGCAUUAAGUUCUAAAUCACACUUGAAAUCCACCAGUAGAAGCUCCAUUCUUGCACUUCUAAGAUCUUGAUUUAUCCGACCUCUUCUCUCUUCAACACCUUUGAAAAUGUCUAGCCCCUCCGACCGUCGUUUUGACUUGAACCUUGUUGAAGAGGCAGCCCCGCCUUCUCCAGACAACAUAUGGCGCCCAUCCUUCGUCUCCCCUACUGGUCCUCUUACUGUUGGGGAUUCCGUAAUGAAGAAUGAUAUGACCGCUGCGGUGGUGGCCAGGAACCUUCUCACUCCCAAAGAUAACAGACUACUUUCCAAACGGUCUGAUGAGUUAGCUGUUAAGGAUUCGCUGGCUCUCAGUGUUCAGUGUGCAGGUUCUGUGUCUAAUAUGGCCCAACGCCUAUUUGCUCGAACCCGCCAAGUUGAAUCAUUGGUGGCUGAAGUGAUGAGUCUCAAACAGGAGAUGAGAGGGCUCAAGCAUGAGAAUAAACAGUUGCACCGGCUCGCUCAUGACUAUGCUACAAACAUGAAGAGGAAGCUUGACCAGAUGAAGGAGUCUGAUGGUCAGGUUUUACUUGAUCAUCAGAGAUUUGUGGGUUUGUUCCAAAGGCAUUUAUUGCCUUCAUCUUCUGGGGCUGUACCGCGUAAUGAAGCUCCAAAUGAUCAACCUCUGAUGCCUCUUCCUUCUAGGGUUCUGUCCAGUACUAAGGCUCCGAAUGAUCCCCCUCCGGUGCCUUCUCUUUCUGGGGCUCUACCGACUGCUGAGACUUCUCCUAAGCAACCUUUGUGAAGGCUCCCUCUUGUUUGUUUAUUUUGACUUAUGUAUAUGUACAUAUUUGUAGCUUAUCGGGAAUAUCAAUAAAUAAGCUUUCCUUCAUUUCAACGUUUGUGUUAAAUACACCAAAUCAUUCUUCGCUAAGUUCUUUGAAUUUUCUUUUGUUGAAGCUUGUAUGUGGAAGCUUUGUGAGUGGAGCAUGUAGGUUGAGGUAGUGUUCCCUUAAUUUCCUGAGUGAGGAAAACUUCUCGGUUGGAGACUUGGAAAAUCCAAGUCACUGAGUGGGAUCGGCUAUAUGAAUCUUAGAACGCCAUUGUGCUCGGUCAUGUGUCAUGUCCUUCGUUAGAUUCAAGUACUCUAAGUCUUUUCUUAGAGUUUCUUCCAAAGUUUUCCUAGGUCUUCCUCUACCCCUUCGGCCCUGAACCUCAGUCCCAUAGUCGCAUCUUCUAAUCGGAGCGUCAGUAGGCCUUCUUUGCACAUGUCCAAACCACCGUAACCGAUUUUCUCUCAUCUUUCCUUCAAUUUCGGCUACUCCUACUUUACCCCGGAUAUCCUCAUUCCUAAUCUUAUCCUUUCUCGUGUGCCCACACAUCCAACGAAGCAUCCUCAUCUCCGCUACACCCAUUUUGUGUACGUGUUGAUGCUUCACCGCCCAACAUUCUGUGCCAUACAGCAUCGCCGGCCUUAUUGCCGUCCUAUAAAAUUUUCCCUUGAGCUUCAGUGGCAUACGGCGGUCACACAACACGCCAGAUGCACUCUUCCACUUCAUCCAUCCAGCUUGUAUUCUAUGGUUGAGAUCUCCAUCUAAUUCUCCGUUCUUUUGCAAGAUAGAUCCUAGGUAACGAAAACGAUCGCUCUUUGGUAUUUCUUGAUCUCCGAUCCUCACCCCUAACUCGUUUUGGCCUCCAUUUGCACUGAACUUGCACUCCAUAUAUUCUGUCUUUGAUCGGCUUAGACGAACACCUUUAGAUUCCAACACUUCUCUCCAAAGGUUAAGCUUUGCAUUUACCCUUUCCUGAGUUUCAUCUAUCAACACUAUAUCGUCUGCGAAAAGCAUACACCAAGGAAUAUCAUCUUGAAUAUGUCCUGUUAACUCAUCCAUUACCAACGCAAAAAGGUAAGGACUUAAGGAUGAGCUUUGAUGUAAUCCUACAGUUAUGGGAAAGCUUUCGGUUUGUCCUUCAUGAGUUCUUACGGCAGUCUUUGCUCCUUCAUACAUAUCCUUUAUAGCUUGGAUAUAUGCUACUCGAACUCCUUUCUUCUCUAAAAUCCUCCAAAGAAUGUCUCUUGGGACCCUAUCAUACGCUUUUUCCAAAUCUAUAAAGACCAUGUGUAAAUCCUUUUUCCCAUCUCUAUAUCUUUCCAUCAAUCUUCGUAAGAGAUAGAUUGCCUCCAUGGUUGAGCGCCCUGGCAUGAACCCGAAUUGGUUGUCCGAAACCCGUGUCUCUUGCCUCAAUCUAUGCUCAAUGACUCUCUCCCAGAGCUUCAUUGUAUGACUCAUUAGCUUAAUACCCCUAUAGUUCAUGCAAUUUUGUAUGUCGCCCUUAUUCUUGUAGAUAGGCACCAAAGUGCUCAUUCGCCACUCAUUUGGCAUCUUCUUCGUUUUCAAAAUCCUAUUGAAAAGGUCAGUGAGCCAUGUUAUACCUGUCUCUCCCAAAACUUUCCUCAGUGAGCCAUGUUAUACCUGUCUCUCCCAAAACUUUCCACACUUCGAUUGGUAUCGUCUGGGCCUAUUGCUUUUCUAUGCUUCAUCUUCUUCAAAGCUACAACCACUUCUUCCUUCCGGAUUCGACGAUAAAAAGAGUAGUUUCUACACUCUUCUGAGUUACUCAACUCCCCUAAAGAAGCACUCCUUUCAUGUCCUUCAUUGAAAAGAUUAUGAAAAUAACCUCUCCAUCUGUCUUUAACUGCGUUCUCUGUAGCAAGAACAUUUCCAUCCUCAUCCUUGAUGCACCUCACUUGGUUUAGGUCCCUUGUCUUCUUUUCCCUUGCUCUAGCUAGUUUAUAGAUAUCCAACUCUCCUUCUUUGGUAUCUAGUCGUUUAUACAUAUUGUCGUAAGCUGCUAACUUAGCUUCUCUCACAGCUUUCUUCGCCUCUUGCUUCGCUUUUCUAUACCUUUCACCAUUUUCAUCGGUCCUAUCCUUGUAUAAGGCUUUACAACAUUCCUUCUUAGCCUUCACCUUUGUUUGUACCUCCUCAUUCCACCACCAAGAUUCCUUUUGGUGUGGGGCAAAGCCCUUGGACUCUCCUAAUACCUCUUUUGCUACUUUUCGGAUACAACUAGCCAUGGAAUCCCACAUUUGGCUAGCUUCCCCCUCUCUAUCCCACACACACUGGGAGAUUACUUUCUCUUUGAAAAUUGCUUGUUUUUCUUCUUUUAGAUUCCACCAUCUAGUCCUUGGGCACUUCCAAGUCUUGUUCUUUUGUCUCACUCUUUUGAUAUGUACAUCCAUCACCAACAAGCGAUGUUGAUUAGCCACGCUCUCUCCUGGUAUAACUUUGCAAUACUUACAAGUUAUACGAUCCCCUUUCCUCAUUAGAAGAAAAUCUAUUUGUGUUUUUGACGACCCACUCUUGUAGGUGAUCACAUGUUCUUCUCUCUUCUUAAAGAAUGUGUUGGCUAAGAAGAGAUCAUAUGCCAUUGCAAAAUCCAAGAUAGCUUCCCCAUCCUCGUUUCUCUCCCUAAAACCAUGGCCACCAUGAAAACCUCCAUAGUUGCCUGUCUCCCUGCCCACGUGUCCAUUUAAAUCUCCUCCUAUAAAUAACUUCUCCGUCUGAGCAAUUCCUUGCACCAAGUCUCCAAGAUCUUCCCAAAAUUUCUCCUUCGGAUCAUAAAUCGAAUGUCACACAUUGAGAAAUUUGACUUUUUCCAAAAAUUCUCAAAUUUUACAAGAAUAAAGAUCUCAACAAGUAGAGUAAACUUUAUACCUAUGGCCGAGUCCAAUUUGUCCGGGAAGGCCCUCAAUUUGGCUCACACCCGUCGAAACCCUAAGGUAGGUGUUAUUUAAUUCGGCUUCCUUGGUGUUCCAAACCCACCAGUUGGGUCUUGUUCCUAGGUCCAAGGGAAGUUGAUUAAGGGUGAUGGUGAAUGGUGAUACUCUCCGAAACGACAAUUUGACAUUGAGAACCUCCGGGUUCUCCUGUGGAGUUCUACCCGAAUUAGGCCUUAAAAAUCCUUGAUUUUUGGUGGAGAUGGAAGGAAGAAGAUAGUUGAGCAAGUUGCAGGUGAAGGAGAUAGGAAAAUCAUAUGAGAAAAUAAGCAAUUGGCCUAAAAUUGGCCAGUUGGAGAGGGUGCUGGUGGAGCACACGGGUUCACAAUGGAGAAGAGAGGAUUUUUGCCCUUUUUCCCUUUAAUUGGUCCUUUCUACCCUUACAAAUCUGAUUGUCCCCCUUUUUAUUAUUAGACUAACUUAACCUUUAGCCCACAUGUGGAAAUUAAACAAUUCCCACAAUCUAUGGUUCACAACUUCAAACGUCAGUAACUAUACCGUUAUAACUCGGACUCGCAAACGCAUUUCGCCUAUGCGUUCGUGGAUUCAAGAUCUAUUUAAAAAAAAAACUAGUUGUAACUUUGAAAUAUCAACGAAAGAUAAGGAUUGAUUAUGAAACUUCUAACUCGAUAACUAAUCAAUUACUAAACUUAUAAUUAGUUGAAUUAAAAUUAAUUGAUAAAGAUAACGUAAUCGCAAAAUACGAAUUUAAAUUACGAAAUACGUAAUAAUUAAAUGGUGAAAUUCCGGGGAUUGGAUUUCAUAAGAAUAUUGUGGAGUGGAGGCAUUUGAUUGCUGAUGUUCGGUGAUAGGAAAUUUUAUUGUCUGAAGUUUGACAAAAACUUGAAAUCGGUUGCUUAGGUUUUGCUUAAAGUUUUGGCUUUUGUAUGAAACUGGGAACUUUGUAAAUGCGAAUUUCCGGGUGAUCAGUUGGGGCAUUGGGCUGUCACCAGCGAAAUGGGAAUUUACGGCAACGUCGAUGCCGAGAUGGAUAUAAUCAGAGGUGGUUGUCGAGUUGGGAUGUUUGGCAUUCUCUUUUCGUUGUUGGGAGGUGGGGUGAGCUUCAGAAAAAUCAAGAUAAAAUUGGAAUUUUGUAGGAUUUUUAAUGUGGAGUGGUUUCAUAAAUUUGUGGGGUGUGAAUAAAAUUACCCUACAUAAUUUAAUGACUCAAACCCAUCGAGGGAUUGAAGCACAAACCUUCCAUGUUCUUCUCUGCUGUUGCAUAAUCCUUUAUAUUCUCUUCAAGAUUUGCCAUCCGCAAGAAGCUUUUUGUAGUCAACUGUAUUAGAUCAUCUAGUUUGGGCAACUUCACCACAAUUGUCGAGGCCGGUGGGAGGUGACUUCGGCCCGGCCAUCAAAUUUGGAGGAACCGGGUUGGCCCGUUUUAAAAUGCAACAGGCGGGCCGAGCCGGGCCGGGUAUAAGAGUUUUGAAAUUUGGAACCGGACUUAACCAGGCCUGUUUGAAAUGGGUUGGUUCGGGACGGGUGAGUCCAUUUACAUUUUUGUUGUUGUUAAAAAUUGAUGGGCCGUUGAGGCUUGAUUCUUGAAGGUUGACUCGAACACAUGGCAAGCAGGCACGAGGUGAAGGUGACGACUUGUUUCUUUGUUCAAUCUUUCUAAUUCACACCUGAGUAGUUUGGUCAAUGGUAUGAUCUUCAAAAUUGAUGGCUUUUCUUCCAGUUGGUGACUUGAUCUUUAAGGAUUUGAUUCAAGGGUGGUGAAUCGGCAUGUGCAGCCCACAACGCCUAGCGAGUCGACCCAAGUAUUUGAAGGUCAAAACGAGUCCUCCACCCAGAGUGAUUGCAACCCUGAUGAUAUGAUACUCUUGCUUCCGAAGAAGUAGCGGAUGAAUCGGCACGUGCUUUGUUGUGCUUGUCUCCACAUGCUUCAAUGUAUCAUUUUCCCUUGCCUUAUCUAUUCUUCUAGCAGAAUGUGGCAUCUUCUUGAGUUCCUCAACUCAGACUCCUUCUGCUGAGUUGACUGUGCAGGCUGCAUUCUUCUCUGCUUGUUUCUUCUGCACGUUGUCUCCACAUGCUGCAAGGUAUCAUUUUCACUUGCCUUAUCUGUUCUCCAGGCAGAUGUGGCAGCUUCUUUGGAAGUACAGCAAGAGCUGAAGAUGAGUACUCGAGAGCAAUGCCAGGUAAGCAACCAGGCAAAGGUUCCAGGUAGUCGAUCCCUUACCCGAUUUUGAGUGGAGGUUCCGACAUAUUGCUUUCUUUAUCCUUGUCUUUGUAGGUAAUAACAAGGACAAAGGAAAGGACAGGGAGAAAGCAUGAUAUGAGAUACUCUUGCUUUCUACCUUGGUGAUAUGAGAUACUUUUGCUUUGGUGUCAUUUGUUUGCAGAGGUACCCCAAGGAAUAAGGAACACUGAGUGACUCGAGAGGCUUCGUUGGGAAGGCUUUCUCGGAGAUGAAGAAAGGUUCUGUAUGUCUGCCUUGCUAUGGAGGGUGAAGGUGGACAGUUAUAAGAAGUUCUUUAAUACCUGUAGAGGUACUAUUCUUUCACUCGUGUCGGCAACUAUUGCGUGAUUGAAUAGGCUUCACGUGCUUUGUUCUUUUUCAGAAAUCUUCGACAAAUUGUCCGUAAUUUCGCCGAGCUGAGUGUGCAUGUGACAGGUGUUGACAAGGCUGAAAAAGACUGGCGCCUCUUCGAUAUCUAGGAUCGGCGCUUAGACAAAUUGCCCGUGAUUUUCGCAAAGAUGAGUUUGCGUGUGAUGAAUGCUGACGCGUCUGGAAAAGCAAGAUGCCUCUCCGAUUUCUGAGCUUGCCUCUUCGAUUUUUUGAAUUGGCCUCUUCGAAUUCUGAGCUCGCCUCUUCGAUCUCUGAAAUCCCGUCGAGUGCUGAUUUUUAUAGAGGCACGCAGUUCGUUUCAAAGCACACUUGAAUUUUCGCUUGUAGAAACUCCCUUAUUGCACUUCUAAGAUCUUGAUUCGUCCGACCUCCUUUUUUUUAACACAUUUGAAAAUGUCUGGACUCUCCGACCGUCGUUUUGACUUGAACAUUGGUGAAAAUGCAGUCCCGCCUUCUCCAGACAACAUAUGGCGCCCAUCCUUCAUAUCCCUUAGUGGUCCUCUUACCGUCGGGAACUCGGUGAUGAAGAAUGAUAUGACCGCUGCGGUGGUGACCCGGAACCUUGUCACUCCCAAAGAUAACAGACUGUUUUCCAAACGGUCUGAUGAGUUGGUUGUUAAAGAUUCUAUGGCUCUCAGUGUGCAGGUUCUGUGUCUAAUAUGGCCCAACGCCUAUUUGCUCGAACUCGUCAAGUUGAAUCAUUGGCGACUGAAGUGAUGAGUCUCAAACAGGAGAUUAGAGGGCUCAAGCAUGAGAAUAAACAGUUACACAGGCUCACACAUAACUAUGCUGCAAACAUGAAGAGGAAAACUGACCAGAUGCAGGAAUCUGAUGGUCAGAUUUUACUUGAUCAUCAGAGGUUUGUGGGUUUGUUCCAACAGCAUUUGCCUUCGUCUUCUAGGGUUGUACGGCGUAAUGAAGCUCUAAAUGAUCAACCUUCGGUGCCUCCUCCUCCUGGGGUUCUGCCUAGUACUGAGGCUCUGAAUAAUCAACCUCCGGCGCCUCUGUUUCCUGGAGCUUCGCCGAGUGGUGAGGCUUCACAUGAGCAACCUUUGUGAAUAUGUUCCCUCUGUAAUUUUCCAGAGAAAUCAAUAAACGAGCUUUUCUUUUAUUCAGUGUUUUCUUCUUCUUCUUCUUCUUCUUUUCUUUUCUUUCACAUGGUGCUGAUCCACCAUUCCUUUUUUUUUCUUUUUACAUGGUGCCAAAUGCACCAUCACUCUUUAUAUAUAUAUAUAUAUAUAUAUAUUUAUUUUUUUUUUCUUUCUUUUCUUUCACAUGGUGCCAGAAGCACCAAAAGACUUUCUUUCUUCUUCUCUUUUUUUUUUUAUGUUUUUUUUUUCAUGGUGUCGUCCACCAUCAUCCUUUUUAUUACAUAUAUAUAUUUUAUCAUGGUGUUGCCCACCACUCCAAAAAUUUUAUUAUUUUUUUUUCUUCUUUCCUUUCUUUGCUUUCGGUGGUGACCACCACCAUUUUCCCUUCUUUUUUUUAUUUUUAUUUUUUUUUGCUUUCAGAAUGGUGUGGCACCAUUCUCCUCCUUUUUUCUUAUUAUAUAAAUAUAUAUAUUAUUAUUUUUUUAUUUUUUUAGUGGUGCCUGCCACUUUCAUCCACUAUCUUUUUGUUAUUAUAUAUUUUUUAUAUAAAUUCUGGUGAUGGGAUGAAGAACUUGCAGGGAAGGACGAAGUCGAGGGGGCAGCAUGGAGGAGGAGGAUGCAGAGCUAGAAGAAGAGAGCGAGGAGACAGCGGAAGAAGCUCCACCACUACCACCAUUGAGCACAGGCACUGAACACAGUCACCGAGCACAGCCACCAGACUUUUCUUUGUCAAUUCUUGAGCUCUUCGACUUUGGUUGGCCUCUUCACAUUCACAACAAUGGUAGCCAUCACUGCAGUAUGUAUCCAUCUCCCAAUUUUCAAGUACUUCCGUUGCUGCAGAGACAACAAGGAUGAACUCGAGGGGAAUUUCUCAGGACACCCUACUAUACCUGCACAGGAAAGUCAUGGCGAACAGAGACGGUGGUCAAAUCGAAGCAGAGAGUAGAAAUGCCGAGAUUGAGGCGUCGGGUGAGGAGUUUGUUUGGUAUGUUCCUGACUUUCCAUGGGAUUGGCAAGAGCUGGUUCGGGUCGGGAUCCCGAACCGAAACCCUCAAUCCGAAUUCCAAACCGAAACAUUUCGGGAUGGGAUUUUAUAUCCCAACAUCGAACCAAAAAUAUGCAAUUCCCGAAAUUCGGGAUACCCGAAACUGUCGGGAUUUCGGGUCGGGAUUGGGUGGGAGCUACCACAGAGUUCUCAAUCUCUUGUGCAAACCAAAACCAUGGAAAAACCUGCAGGUGGAGACUGAGGCGGCAGUGUUAAAGUUCAAGAGAGUUCUCUCUCUCCUCAGCCAUGGAAGAGGAAGAGUGAGAAAGUUGAAUAAAAACCUAAAUUAUAUACAUAUACAUACACUUACAGCACGCAUGCAAUAAUCAAAUAUGAAACAAAAGGAAUCCUUGCUGCUCAUGAUGGAGCUGCCAUGCCCAUGAUGUGCAUCCACCACGCAGAAUCGGAAACCCAGUUCCGGAUGCUAAUCUCAAGCUUCCCCUCCAAUUUCCCAAAACAAAAACUUUGCGGCAGCACCAGGAAGAGAGAGAAAAGUUGCAGUUUCACAGUGACUCAGAUGGAGGAGCAGCGUGACUCGAUGGAGGAGCGGCGAAAGCAGCGUUUGGGAGAGUGGGAGUGAGCGACUGAGAGUCUGAGGAAGUGAGGAAUACAACAAAAAACCUAACUCCCAAUGGACGGUUGGAUUAGAUCUUAACCAAUCCAACGGUCCAAUAUAUAUAUAUAUAUAAUAUUCGGUUCGGUUCGGGAUUACCAAACACUUUCAAAGAUGUGGCCGCAUCCCAAACCGAAACUUUCGGAAAAUUCAGUUUGGACAUUUUUCGGGCAAAUUUCGGGACGGGUUCGGGAUUUUCGGGAAAAAAUUCCACCCCUAGGAUUGGCGAUGCCGUAAACUCUGAAAAUAGCCUGGUUCUGAAAGUUCUCUCAGCUUCGCCUGCAACAUAUUCUGCUAACCCCAAAAGUAAGCCAUCAAAUCCUUCAUCGCUCACUGGAUCUGCUAUAUCUUUAGUUUCAGUUGUGCAGGUAAGAAACGAUGCUCGGAUGAAUGGAUGUCUCCUCCUCCAACAAACCAGAUGUUGUCUACUACGGACCGCUACUUCGAAUGCCUCAGUUGAAGCAAACUUUCUGAGUCAAUCGCCCAAAGCGCGAAGGAAAUGGGUGAACAAAGCAGCAGCAACACUGCACCUCCAUCAACACCCGCCAAUGUCAUAGCAUCGCAGCCAGUUUGACCGGUGGAUUCCAGCAUAAGCAUCGGAUGCAUCAGUACAGAUCCCCGGAGCCACACGCCACCAUUUUCGAGAAACAUCUGCGGUUUCUGAAACCAGAAAUGCAGAGCUGGAAGAGAGUCUGUCGAAGCUGAAGAAUCUGGAGAAUAUUGUUGAGGAACUGCAAACCAAGUCUCACUUUGAAGGAGAGAGUGGAAAACUUGCUAAGGCCUAAGCCAAGUCGGGAGAACUACAAGGAUGACAUUGAUGCCCCGUCCGCCCUCGUCCACUUUAAGUACGAGUCCCUCAAGCUCCACGUCAUCACCUUCCUCGAGAAGUUCUUCGACUACCAGCUCCAAAACGCCGUUGUUGACCCCUCUUCCGUCCAUGUACUCGACAUCUCUGACGCCUGCCUUGAGCCUCGCUCCUUGCUGUGCGUUCUCUCGGCUCCGUAACCUCGUCGGUGAUGACGCUACACCCAUCUUCGUGAGCAGGCGGCAGAACGGUGGUGGAGAUCAUGAGGUUGAAACUGAAGUUGAAGAUGGUGAUGGUGAGGAGGAGGUCUUCUUUUCGUUGACAAGGAACGUGGGUUGGAAGAAUGUCCACUUGCUCUGGGUGUGCGCACCGUGUGUAGCAACGAUGGAAGAGACAGAAUGGGCAAUGAAGUUUAUCCACUACUCUGCCGCGUCGAGAUCAGAGGCGAGGGCCUUGAUGAUGGGUCUGCACCGUUGAGACGAACGCGCCUGAUGGAGAUCUACUGUCGGCAUACAAGGAAGUGGGCUUAUGGGCCUGUUGGAAUUGCAGAUGUGAUUUGAUCUGCUUCUGAGGCUAUAUAUAUAUAUAUAUAUAUAUAUAUAUAUAUAUAUAUAUAUAUAUAUAUAUUUUUUUUUUUUUUUUUUUUUUUUUAAGUUGUAGUUUUAUUUUAUUUUAUUUUAUUUUUAUUUUUACAAACAACGUGUAAUUUUUUUUGUACAAAGAAUGUAAUAAUAUUGACUUUCAAUAGUAAAACACUUAAUAAAACCUUAUUUUUUUAUUUUGACGUGACUGUACUCGAAGUUGAACGUUCGAGUUGCCUACGUACCCUUCCAAAGAAGACAUCAAGUCAUAACGUAGUUCAAAUGAGCGAUGAAUUUAACAAUGAUUUUGAUGAUGAUUUUGUCGUGCAUAGUUUAUGCUCUUGCGGGCCAGGAGCUUUUGGUGUCGUUUGCAGUUUCAACUCUUGCAGACAAGGAGCAUUUGGUGCCGUGUUGCAGUUUCAGCUCGUGCAGGUAAGGAGCGUUUGGUGUUGCCUUUUAUGCUCGUGCAGACCAGGAGCGUUGUGCCAUGCAGUUUAGGCUCGUGCAGGCGAGGAGCCUCGUGUCCUACAGUUUAGGCUCGUGCGGACAAGGAGCUUUGGUUCAUGCAGUUUAGGCUCGUGUGAACAAGGAGCAUUGGUGUUGCCUUUUAUGCUCGUGCAGACCAGGAGCUUUGUGUCAUGCAGUUUAGACUCGUGCGGGCGAGGAGAAAUGGUGAAUUUGUCAAGCAAUUUUGGAGAGGCGUUCCUCACAAUCUUCAUAGCAAGAAGCCUUGACCGAGUGAUUGAAGAAGUCUUCGGGUAAGAAGUCGCGCAUCGUGAUGGCAACGGACGAUCUUUGUGUCGUAAUUUCAUCAUCCUUAACACUUUUGUGUAACUUUGGAGGUUGACGAGAGUUGCUUUGCCUCCUUUCCCAUUGGUGAACUUGUGGAGGAAACGUAUGCUUCUUGUGUAAUUUCUUCGGAGUGACAUGAAUCCAUCCUUCAACUUCGCUUGACUCGGAGCAUACCCCCAACGGUUGAGGUGAAAACUUUGAGUCGGAAGAGCCAGAAGUGAUGGUGGUAUAGUUUGACUUCACCACAUCGUCAAGAUCUAGUUCGAUGAUUCCUUUAUGAGCCAGCUUCAUGAUGAGAUCUUUCAGCACGAAGCACUUUUCUGUCGGAUGACUGAUGAAGCGGUGGAAUUUACAGUACCUUGGACUGUCGGUGCGAUUCAUCUCUUAUGGCCAUCUGCACUCAGGCAAACCAAUCACCUUCUUUUCCAGCAAGUCUUAUAACAUGGUAACCACAUCAGAGUCGGGGAAUGGAUAAGUCAUCUCCUCAAGCUCCUUCAAAGUGCGUCUACGCAUCUCUUGAUCACGAAAAGCUUCGGCUUGAAUCGCCUUGCCUCGUGUAGGGAUUUUGACGGGAGCUGUGUUGACCGUCAUUGCUUCCUUGGUGGAUUUCCACGCAGCCUUCUCCACCUUUGUCUCAAGAACUUUGUCGUUCUUGUAGUCGGCGAUCGGUUCCUUCUUCCCAUGAUGGGCGAUGCUUAACUCCAUGUCAUGGACGCGGGUGGCUAGCUCUUCGAAACUCCGUGGUUUGAUGCCUUGAAGGAUGUAUUGCAAACCCCAAUGCAUGCCUUGGAUGCACAUCUCGAUUGAAGAGGUUUCCGAGAGCCUUUCUUUACAGUCGAGGCGUAGAGUGCGCAAUCUGUUGAUGUAGUCAAUGACUGGCUCGUCCUUCCACUGCUUUGUGCUUGUUAGCUCUAGCAUGCUUACAGUGUGGCGGGUGCUGUAGAAGCGGUUGAGGAAUUCCCGCUCCAAUUGCUCUCAGUUGUUGAUGGACUCAGGCUCUAGGUCCGUGUACCACUCAAAGGCGUUUUCUUUCAGCGAGCGCACAAACUGCUUGGCGAGGUAGUCCCCUUCGGUCCCUGCGUUGUUGCAAGUUUUAACAAAGUGGGCAACGUGCUGUUUCGGGUUUCCCUUUCCAUCAAAUUGCAUAAACUUUGGCGGUUGAUAACCUCUCGGCAUCCUUAAGGCGUCAAUCUUCUUUGAAUACGGCUUCGAGUAUAACCCGGAGGUAUUUGAGCUCCCUUCGUACUGUGCCUUGAUGGUGUUGGUGAUCAUUUCCUGCAGCUGCUGGAUAGAAAAAGAUCUCAUGAGUGCCGCUGCUUGGUCUGGCUCCGGCUUCACAUCGAUUCUCUCCACCGGAGGCUCAUCUUCUUCGCCAGCUCCUCUUUUUAGUGGAUCAUCUUUUGGGUUAGGGUUCUCGCCGUCCUGUGGCUCCAGUCGGCUGACGAGUGCCGCGAUUUGCAAGUCUUUUUCUUCCACAAUCUGUGUUAGCCUUGCAAUCGCUUCAUUUAUUUGAGCCAGUUGUUCUUUGAUGAAGGUAACGCCGAUGGUCAUGACUUGUGCAACCAAUAGAUGUGACUUUCCUUUAGACAUCCAGAAUGCUAACGAAGAACGUCGUUGGCUGCUUUAGGAUGUCAUCUUGUGUGCCUCAGCAUCAUGCUUCGGUGCCCCCAGCGAGGUUAGGUUGAUGACGGACUCAUGCCUCUGAUGCUCCCCUUGCUCCUUUAGCGGCACCAACUUUGAAGUGGCAUGUUGAGGAGCGGUUGUGGUGCCAAUGGAUUGUCCGUUCGCGGCAGAAGUGCUCAGGAUCCUUCCCUCAGUGGUUGCGAGAACGGCUUGUCCCUUGCUUGAUGCCAUUGACUUUGAGGUGUGUUUGGAUUCCUUGAACGGAGAAAGAGAUGAGAGGUAGAGAUUGUCCCACUAGGCGUGCCAAUUUGUGAACACGAAAUUUUCUUGAAACAAGAACACGUGUACAAAGAAAUAUUUUGGUGUUAAUGGUUUUGGGUUACAAUCUCUCUUAAAUUUGAUCCUCUGAUUCGAUCUCCGUAAGGUGUGUAUUUGUGGAUGUGCAAAUGAUUCAAGGGCCGUCGAGGCUUGAUCUUGGAUGAAUGUUCUUCAAGGGCCGUGGGCUUGAUCUUUGAAGGUGGAUUUGAACGGAUCUUCAAGGAGCCGUUGGGGCUUGAUCUUGAGGAUGAGUGUUUCUUCAAAGGCCGUUGAGGCUUGAUCUUGAAUAACGGUGAUGAAAGGAUCUUCAAGGGCUUUUGGGCUUGAUCUUGAAGAACAGUGAUGAACGGAUCUUCAAUGGCUUUUGGGCUUGAUCUUGAAGAACGGUUGGAUGUAUGGAUUUGUCGACGUUGUUGAUCCAAAGGGCCGUUGGGGCUUGAUCCUAGGAUGAAAGGAUGAUGAACGAAUGAACACUUUAUUCAAGGGCCGUCGGGGCUUGAUCUUGAAUUGGUGGAAGUUCUUCAAGGGCCCUUGGGGCUUGAUCUUGAAUUGGUGGAUGAUUGUUGAUCCAAAGGGCCGUUAGGGCUUGAUCUUAGGAUGAACGAUGAACGAAGAACGAAGAACGAAGAAGGCUUUCUUGAUUCUUCGGGAACCUGGAUGCUUGAGAGCUUCGGAGUUUCAGAGCUUUAGAGCUUCAAGAAUUUUGCCUAAUGAUUUUGGUUCCUCCCAAAUGAAUGAAAUUGGCUUCUAUUUAUAGAAUUUUCCAAGGCCUAAUUUUGAAUAUAAUAUUCCAGAUGAAAUAAGUCGUUUCUGCCAAGUGUUGACACGUGCCCUGUUUGAUGACUUUUCCAACUUAUUUUGAUUUUUUGUUUAGACACACGCUACGUGUAAAAUUUAUGUAAUACAUAAGCGUUGAAACUUUGAUUUAUCGGUCAACAUUUAUUUACCAAAAUUUCGAUGUCUACAAAAACAUGUGAAUAUUUUCAGUUUUUCAGGUUUUAGGUUGAUUACCACCACCAAAUUAAGUCAAUCAAAGAAAACAUAUAUGGAAAUUUACAAAUUAUUAUGAACAAUAUGCCAACAAAAUUAAAGAAACAGUACUCCAAAACCAAUUUAAAGAAAGAAUCUAAACAAAAUCGGCAGCUCAUCCAAAUGAAAAGGAUAGGGAGGAAAUCACAGAAUGUGAAAGUAUUUUAAACAAAAAUUGGAAUACUGGUUCCUGAGAUUUGCAUAACUCAUCGUUUUGGUCCCUGAUAUUCCAAAUCGAUAAAAGUGGUCCCUGAGAUUGUCCACCAUCCAUCAUUUUGGUCAUUCCGUUAAGUGUCCCGGAGUUUUUGGCCGGAAGUUUGGGCAAUUUUCAAAACUUCGUAACUCAAUCAUUUCUUAACCAAAUUCGACCCAUAAUAUAUCAAAAUGAAGAUAGGAAAGUGUAUAAUAAGAUUAUACUAUUUUGAAGCCCAAUGGUUGUCGGAUAUGGCUGGAAAAUAGCCUCAAAGUUGACUGGUCCGAGUGAAAACUUGAAAACUUGCCGAAAACUGGGUAAACUUUAAACGUUCAUAACUUCUUCAAUACUUAACGAAAUCAAGUGAUUCAAAAACAAAAAUCAUACAUCUCGACGACAAGAAGAGAAUGGUAUCUUUUUCGAUAGCUAACGUGCCAUUUUUUGGCCGGAAAACUGCUCGAAAGUGGUUGUCUUGGUCUUGAGUUAGCCACUUUCGAGCCAUUUUGCGGCCAAACCACGGCUAGUUAGCUGUCUUAAAAAGUACUAUUCUCUUCGUCUCAUCGAGAAGUAUGAUUUUUAUUUUUUAAUCACUUAAUUUCGUUCAGUAUUGAAGAAGUUAUGAACGUUUAAAGUUUACCCAGUUUCCGGCGAGUUUUCAAGUUUUCACUCGGACUAGUCAACUUUGAGGCUAUUUUUCGGCCAUCUCCGGCAGCCAUUGUGCUUCGAAAUAGGUAUAAUCUUAUUUUACACUUUCCUAUCUUCAUUUUGAUAUAUUAUGGGUCGAAUUUGGUUAAGAAACGAUUGUGUUACGAAGCUUUGAAAAUUGCCCAAACUUCCGGCCAAUAGCUUCGGGACACUUAACGGAGUUUUUAACGGAAUGACCAAAACGAUGGAUGGUGGACAAUCUCAGGGACCACUUUUAUCUAUUUGGAAUCUCAGGGACCAAAGUGAUGAGUUAUGCAAAUCUCAGGGACCAUUUUGGCGAUUUACCCAUAAAUUAAAUAAAAGAAAUAUAUAUAUAUAUAUAUAUAUAUAUAUAUAUAUAUAUAUAUAUAUAUAUAGACCACUUUUAUGGAUUUGGAAUCUCAGGGAUCAAAGUAAUGAGUUAUGCAAAUCUCAAGGACCAUUUUGGCGAUUUACCCAUAAAUUAAAUAAAAGAAAUAUAUAUAUAUAUAUAUAUAUAUAUAUAUAUAUAUAUAUAUAUAUAUAUAUAUAUAUAUACAUAUAUAUAUAUAUAUUUGGAAGAAACCGGAAUUAGCAUUCCAUGGCAAAGCCAAAGACAUACAAAGAAAGCCUAAAGGAAGCCCAACAACGAAAACCACACAAACAGAGCAGCAAAGGGGAUAAAAGAUAGACACUAGAACCUGAUUCAAGUGUCACCCCUAAAAUUGCAAAAACUACUCAAGAAGAUGAAAGGGGACAAGGCAAACCAUCUCUACUCAGAACAUGAACCAACAAAGAUGGAGGUCUAUGAACCCAAACGCGAUUGCACAUCUCUGUAAUAUGUGGCGACGCCAAGAAAUCUGCCGCUUGGUUGGCUGAUCUUGGAACCCAAGACCAGCAACAGUCCUGGAAAGCUUGCCCAUACUGUUUAACCCGAGAUAUGGUGGGAAAAGCCUCCAAACUGCCAACAUCCAAAGAAUGUGAUAAAGCUAAAAUCGUAUCCUUGGAGUCAGAUUCAAGAAUAAACUGACGAUGCCCUAACGUAGUAGCAAUUUCACAGCCUCGUAGCAUAGCCAGAGCUUUCGUAAGAUCAGCGUUGGGGGCAUAAACUGCAUACCGAGCCGCAGCAACAUAAAGACCUGUAAUCCACGAAUCACCACUCCGACAAAACCAGACCGUGUGGAUAAAGACCAGCUGGCAUCGACAUUAACCUUAAGGAAGGGUGAUGUUGGGGGAGACCAAACAACCACCGGGGCCGCAUCCCUGGAGAGGGCUGAGCUGGAAACAGAUUGAGGAGCAUUAGCUUGCAAAUACACUGAGAUCGAGGUAGAAAUGGUAAAAAGAACCUGAGAAGGGUUGACUGGAGAGUGAUUGUAGAGAAAUUGGCAUCGAGCUUUCCAUAUGUACCAACAUAUAUAAGCAGCAUAAGAAAGCAAAAAACAGUGCUAAAUAAAAGAAAAUUUUUGGUAAGAAGUAGAGAGUUCAAAAACAUGUCCAUGUGAUGAAAGGUUGAUCAAAUGUUUAUUUUUAGGGUAAAUAUCAAUUUACUACCCUCAAGUUUCAUGGUUUUCAACAUUUGGUACAUAAAGUUUUUUUCGUCCCAGAGUCAUACCUAAAGUGUUAAUUUUGAAACAGUCUCAUACAUCCAUUAGUCAAACUGUUAACUUUGCCGUUAACUGAUGACGUAGCGCCUAUGUGGAUAAUGACUGGACACCACGUGUCAUUAAAGGGUUAACGUGGAAUUUAAAGAUUUUAAAAAAUAUUUAUUUAAAGAAAAGUUAUUAUAAAUAAUAAAAAAUAAAAAAAAGCAAAACCCAGAUCGUCUUUCCCAAAUCCCCCAUUGCCCACCCUCUCAUCCCCAUCACUCGCAACCACUUCCCUCCGCAUUGCACCUCCAUCCCCCAUCAUCCUUCCCAAAAAUCCUGCCGUCGCCACCCAAGCCCACCCCCUUCUCCCAUCCCAAAAAUCCUGCUGUCACCAUUCUCCUCCAACUCCACCACCCCUUGUGGUCCACUGCACCUCCAUCCCAUCUUCUCCCAUACCCCACUUUCCUCCCCACUUAACAAAAUAAGGGUCUGAUGGAGACGAGAAUCCAGCCACUGUCACUCAAAUUCGACAAAAACGUCUCCAUCAAAUCAUUCAUAGUAUCGACUACAAGGCUGCAACAGAGGGUUGAGGCAGAGAUCAGGCAGAUUAGGAAGAGGUCGGGGUUCUGAUGUGGGAGUUCAAAAGGUCGAAGGCAGCGAUGGAGGAGCUGAGGGAGGAUUUGGAGAAGAGUGGACCACAAGGGGUGGUGGAGUUGAAGGAAGAGGGCGACUACAUGAAUUUUGGGAUGGGAGAAGGGGGUGGGCUUGAGUGGUGGAUUUUUGGGAGGGAUAAUGGGGGAUGGAGAUGCAAUGGGGAGGAAAUGGAGAUGCAAUGGGGAGGAAAGUGGUUGCGAGUGAUGAGGGUGUGGGCACGGGGGGAUUUGGGGAAGAUGAUAUGGGUUUUGCUUUUUUUUUUUUUUUAUAAUUAUUUUAUAAUAACUUUUCUUUAAAUAAAUAUUUUUUUUAAAUUUUAAAUUCCAUGUGGACCCUUUAAUGACACGUGGCAUCCAAUUAUUGUCCACAUAAGCGCCACGUCAUCAGUUAACGACAGAAUUAACAGUUUCACUAACGGAUGUAUGAGACUGUCCCAAAAUUAACAUUUUAGGUAUGACUCUGGGACGAAAAAAACUUCAUAUACCAAAUGUUGAAAACCAUGAAACUUGAGGGUAGUAAAUUGGUAUUUACCCUUAUUUUUAUCUACAAAAACAAUUGUGGGCUCAAAUAUAAAUUAUAAACAUGAGAAAAUGGGCCCCAAUCUAAACAGGUCCAAUUACUCUCCUCUUCGCAAAUUCCUUUAACACAUUAAUAGAAAGAUGUUAAACUAUUGUAUAACGGCGUGAGUUUGAAUUUCGUCGGUGACUAAUUUAAUAUUUAAUUUAAUAAACCAUUUUUUUUAUUUUUUUUAUUUUUAACUUUGCUCCUUCAUCUACUUCUCGACGAGUUUCCACCGUCCGAUUUGUCGACCCAUAUUCCAUGGUCAAGGAGUGGGAGAAAAUCAAUGACAUAAUUUUCUCUGGUCAAUCUAAAUUUCAUUGUUCACGUUGUGUAGCUGGUAAAAAUUAUUGCUCACGCAUGGGUCAGGUCAAUUAGUCAAGUGCAAUCUACUUGCUUCUUUGCAUUGCGAAAUGUUAAAGAUAAUUUCUCAAAAGUAUGAUUUUUUAUAAAUUUUUCGUCACCUUAUAUUUUUAGCUUAAUUUAAAAAGCGUGAGGUGGUACAUAAAAAGUCUCAUUUAAGAAAAACUCCUUAGCAUUUCUCAUUUGAAUUUGAAAGCACUUCUCGAAAAAGGAGGCAUGUAAACUGCAAUAAAAAGAUCCUUUUGAUCUACACUAGGACACACGUGGUUAACCAGCCUCCUUGCAGAUGGAUUCGAAUGCACUUAUAGACGUGGUUCUGUAAAAAAAUUACAAAAAAAAAAGUCUUUCUAGACUCAAGUGGUUUUAAAGAAAGGGAGAAAGUCGAACAUAAACCUAAUAAACAUGAGUAAAGGUUCUCAACUUAAAUUUUUUUCGAUUUGUUCGAUAUUUUUAUGAAAAUAUUUAAAAAAAAUCAGAAAAAAUAUGCAUUCCCUAAUUCAUUAUUUGAAACUGUUUGGAAUAAUUUAAAAAAAAAUACAAAAUAUAUGAAGCGUUCUUAUUGGUAAUAACCUUCAUAAAUAUUUAGCUCAGAUAAUGCUCGUGUUCUUACCGGUAAGAAGCUGUGUGAAUAUUCAGCUCAUAUAUUGAACGUGUUCUUAUCGUUAAGAACACAUGCAAAUUAAAGAUGCAUGUCAUUACUUGUCUUGACACGCUACCCUCGAAUCGUGGCACGCCAAAACAUAGUUGUUGGCAUGCGAUGACAUGUCAUGGCAUGCAUUUUGCUAAUAUUUUGCUCGCUUGGCAAGGCUUGUCAUGGCAUGUCUUGACAUAGUAACCUUCGCAUCGUGACACGCCAUGACAUUGAUGUUGGCCACAAGAUGACAAGUGUCGCGAAUUAUCAGCACAAUGCAUGUCAUGACAUGCCAUGCAUUCUCUCUAUAAACCAUAAUGGUCCGCUUGGUUUCUCGAAAAAUAUAGGAAAUUGAAAUUAAGAAUUUGGAGAGGAGAGAAAGAGAGGCUUACGUACAUGAUUAGUGAGUGAUGGAGCCAGUUUACCAAAGAGAAUUCAAGGGAGAAUUUUGAAAGCCAAUGACAUCAUUAAGGUAAAGCUGAGGAAGGUGAACCGCCGUGCAGUUUUGUUUUUUCCUUUCUGGGUAAUGUAUGCCAACAUCGAUGUUUUGGUGUGCCACGAUGUAAGGGUUAGCGUGUCAAAGUGUUAGAAAAAAUGCAUGUCAUGGCUUGUCUUGACACGGUAACCCUCGCAUUGUGGCACACCCGAACAUCACUAUUAGCCACGACGUGACAAGUAUUGUGAAUAGUCGGCAUAAUGCAUGUCAUGCCACGCCAUGCAUUAUGUCGAUAAUUCGCGAGGCUUGUUAUGGCGUGUCACGAUGCGAGGGUUAGCGUGUCAAGACGAGUCAUUACAUGCCAUAUAUUUUUCUAACACUUUGCCUACUAUUUCGGAAUAAUUUUUAAAAAAAUCAAGAAAAUAUAUGAAGCGUUCUUACCGGUAAUAACCUUCGUAAACAUUCAGCUCAGAUAAUGAAUGUGUAUUAUUCCAUCAUGGACUACCAUCAUGCUGCAACUUGUUGGCUUUUGACUGCAUCCAAAAAUUACUUGCAAUUAAUUUUCAACCAAGUGAGUCCAUUUCUUCUACAAAAGUUAGCCUUAUUAUUUCCUUUCAGAAAGGGGUAUGUUAUACAAAUAAGGAAUAUGGUUGGAGUCCUUGUGUAAUUGUAGUCCUAAUUGUAGUUGUAUUCCUGAUUUGUAGGGAAUUUUCCUUGCUAUGCAAGGCAUGUAAUUGUAUAUAAUAUCAUUCACGUAUCAAUAACAAAUAUGCUUUUUAGCCUACAUACCUUUUUCUACAUGGUAUCAGAGCAGGUUUAAAACCCUAGCCCUAUUUUCCUCUUUUUUUUCUCGGCAGCUUUCUCUGUCGUUCCCAUGGCUGAUUCUUCUUCUCCCGAUGGUGCUUUUUCCCUUCAUCAUUCAGACCACCCGAAUCUUGUCCUUGUAUCCAAGAAGUUGAAUGGUGAUAACUACACAUCCUGGGCCCGUGGCAUGCAGCUUUCCUUGAAUGCCAAGAAUAAACUUGGUUUCAUCACUGGCGAUGUCCCAGAGCCUUCUUCCUCCGACGAUCCCGAUGCUCACGCGGCUUGGCGUCGUUACAAUGACAUGAUUCUCUCUUGGCUUCUUCAUUCCUUGGAACCUGACCUUCAAGAAUCUGUGCUUUUUUCCACCUCUGUCAAGGAUGUGUGGGACGAUCUUCGCGAACGCUUCUCUCAGAGUAACGCUCCUCGCAUCUUUCAACUCAACCGGGAGCUUGCUACAAUUUCUCAAGGUUCUUCUUCUGUCUCCGCCUAUUUUACUCGCCUGAAAGCUCUCUGGGAUGAGCUUGCUUCUUAUAAUGAUGGUUGGACGUGCUCUUGCAACGCCAAGCAUGACCGUCAACAACUCAUGCAAUUUUUAAUGGGCCUCAACGAAUCCUUUGCUGCCGUUCGUGACCAGAUCCUUUUGAUGAAUCCCCUUCCCACUGUUCGUCAGGCCUGUUCCUCGGUGUCUCAAGCUGAAAAACAUUGAUCCCUGGGCGUCAUUCGCUCUGUCGAUCAACCUGCCGCCAUGGCUAUUCGUGGCUCGUCUCGUCCAUCCUCUGCUCGCCCUUCCCUCCACUGCACCUACUGCAAUUUUGAUUAUCAUACCCAAGACACCUGCCAUAAACUUCAUGGCUAUCCCGUUGGCCAUCCCCUCCAUGGCCAACCGUGGCGACCACCGCGCCGUGCAGCUGCUUCCAGUUCUGGUUCUUCCCGCAGCCAUGCGCCUUCCAGUCCUCCCCGUGCGCCACGGCCUUCUGCUUCCCGGCCCAAUAAUUCCACCCAGGCCCAUCACGUGCAAGGCACCCAGGCCCGUCCCUCCACUUCUUCUCCAACGACCCACCACGUGCACGGGGCCCAGCCCACUUUGCAUGACUUGCAGCUUGCCAUGCCUGAUCUCUCUGUCGAGCAACACUCUCGUGUUCUAGCUGCUCUCCGUGACAACGCCGAUCCUCCUCAGGCCAAUGCCGUGUUCAAUCCUGAUUUUGCCCAAGGUUUGUUACCUGUCACCUCUCGUCAUGGUCAAUGGAUUCUUGACAGUGGUGUUACGGAUCAUAUUACUUCUUCCGCUUCCUGUUUGGUUAAUACUUCUCCUUCACAUUUGCCGCCUGUUUCUUUGCCUAGUGGUGCCUCCGCUCCCAUUACUUUUACCGGCACUCUUCAUUUAAAUUCAUCGGUUACUUUGAAGGAUGUUUUAUGUGUCCCUAAUUUCAAAGUGGACCUUUUAUCGGUUGGUAAACUUACAGAUGGAUUAUCGUGUUCCAUAACAUUUUUUCCUUCUUGGUGUGUUUUGCAGGACUUGGUUUCGAAGGCGAUGAUUGGUGUGGGUAAGUGACGUGGCGAUCUGUAUUACCUUGUGGCCCUUGCCUCUCCUAUCCCCACCCGUCAACCUCUCUGCAACAUCAUUACCAUCCCCUCCUCCCUCUGGCAUAGGCACCUUGGUCACCCCUCCUCCACUCGUUUGCAAGCUUUAACAUCUAGCUCUCUUAAUUGUUCUUUUGAUUCUAGUCAUAUUUGUGAUGUUUGUCCUUUGGCGAAACAAACUCGUCAACCUUUUCUUUUAAGCUCAAUUUCAUCCACUUUCCCUUUUGCUUUAAUUCAUUGUGAUAUUUGGGGCCCGAAUCGUCAAUCUUCUCUUUCUGGUGCUCAUUAUUUUUUAACCAUUGUGGAUGAUUUUUCUCGUUUUACGUGGGUCUUCCUCAUGAAACAUAAAUCCGACACUCAACAAUUAAUUAAGGAUUUUUUUGCUUAUGUCAAUACCCAAUUCCGCACUACAAUCCAAUGCAUUCGUACUGACAAUGGCGGUGAAUUUUUAUCUCUUCGUAGUUUUUUCUCUGAUCAUGGGGUGCUCUUACAAACUUCUUGUGUUUAUACUGUUGGAAAUAUGCCCUGAAAGUCAAUCUUUGGAAGAAAUCUUUCAGGACAAAUGAAUGGAUGUAUGGAUGAAUCUUAUACAUCAAAGGCAAAAACACGAAUUAGGACUAUCUCAAUGAACGAUAUAUGUCCUAAAUAGUGUAUCCAUGGACAAUAGAUUGAUUAAAGAAGUAAUCUAAUGAUGUUAGAUUACAGAGACCUUCUUCAUGUAACCAAAUGUCCAAAAGGUUCCUAGUCAUUGGAUUGUCGAAGGGAUACUGACAAUACGUAGACUGGUACAAACUGUGUCUGCUUCAAAUGGAAGGAUGGAAAGUCUCAUCCCAUUCGUGUUGUGACACUAAGACAAGUAUGUAGGUGCUCAUUUGGGGAAUGAGUUCACUGAACACAAUCGAACGAGAGUACUUGCAUGGAGGUCUACUCACAUGUCAAGCAAGUAACUCUAAUGGUUGGAAUAAUGUAAGUAGUCCUUAGACCUGAGGCAUCGUCGUUGUCUUGUGGCUAAGUACUUAAUCUUUGAUUAUGUCAAAGUCUCCCCAUUCGAGGGUGUCCACGGCAUGAUUGGGGUUAAGCCACUUAGUCAUGAAGGCAAGUGUAUGCACAACAAGGAAUCUCUAAUCCUCGGUAAGAGAGGAAGAAUGCUCUAAGAUAUGAUUCGAGAAUCUUCGGCCGAAGUAUCGAGUGUAUUAAAAGGAAUGCGUUCCUAUACGACUCAAAUGAAUCAUAUAAGAAGGAAUAAUCACAUUAGGGGUUUGACAUAAUAUAUCCAUACCCUAAUGAUGUGAUUGAGAGUAUUGUAUUAGAGAAGGAUCGAAUUACAUUGUAAUUCUAACUGAAUAGGUUCUCUGAAUAAACUUCUACAUUAGCUUGGGUAGCUAUGACAUAUGGUUAGAUGUCACUCAUAGCUUGUGAGUUCUUCUAGAUGAUUAAAUGUAGUCAUCAAAGAAGAAUGGUGAAUUGAAAUGAAGUUUCAAUUCACUAAGUGAUUGAAUUAAUUGAUUAGUGCCAAUUACCUCACUGCCUUGCUAAUUAGAACCUAAAAGAUUGUUCACCAAUACACUAUUGUAGUGAGUAAUUAAUGGAUGAUGGAAACAAUUAAUUGGAUUAAUUAUGUGUUGUGAUUAAUUUAGAAAAGUCUAAAGAAAUCAUAAAAGCGAUAAAGAUCGUUUUGGGCUUAAAGAAACGUUCGGGUUUAAUUGGGCCCAUUGGGCCCAAACCCAUUGGGCUUUUAUUCAAGCAUUGGAUGACUUGAAAUAAAUGAAAGCCCAAAGCCCAAACAACACAAAGAGGGCCGGCCAUAUUAGCUGUGAAGAGAGAGAGAGAGGUCAAAUGUUGACUUGUUUUCUUUUGGCUAUAAAAGGAACUUUAUAGAAAAUGUUUCAUUAGGGUUUUUUGUGUGUUUAGAACAACAAAUAGGCAAAAGAAUAUCUCUCUAAACCACAACAAAGGGCCGGCCACCUAGGGGGUGAUUUAGCUAACAAUCUUUCACCCUUUUGGUUAUUCCUUCAUCCUUCUCAUUAAACUAGUGGGUGAGGAUCUUUAGAGGUUUCCUACUUUGGAAACUUGAAGAGAACCUAGGAGCACUCAUUCUUUCAAAGUGGAGGAGGCAAGGAGGGAAGCUAGGCUGAAGGAUUUCAAGGAGCAAAUAGAUUGGAGGUGGUCCAUCCUUGGUCUAAAAUCAAGAUCAAGAGGUAUAGAUCUAUUCCUUGACUUUGUUCUUGAUUCUUUAAAAUGUUUUGAUGCAUUAUAUAUAUAAACCUAUGAACCUUGAAGGGGAUUUGCAUGACUAUAGCUUUGAUAUUAUUUGAUAUACAAUGCUUCCGUUGCUCACGUAUAUAAAAUUUUGAAUUGUAUAUGCAUGAUAGUCAUCUAGAAAUCCCACAUGAAACUCAUAAAUUUCCCUUCAAUUGGUAUAUCAGAGCCAGCCAAAGGUUUAUGUAUAAUGUGUCCUUUUGGAUUUUAUGCAUAUGGGUAUUAAUGUUAUGUAUGACAUAUUACUUUUCCAUUCAAAGUAUGUUUAUCUUUUGUUUUUCAAUAGUUGAAAAAUGUUAGUCAAAAGUUGAGAAAGAUAUGUAUGCAAAAUGUUUUGUAUGCAUGAAUGAAAAAUGAGUUUAGAACUAGAAUGACAUAUUAUUUCUUCAUUUAAAAGUAUGUUUAUCUUUUGUUUUUCAAUGGUUAAAAAAUAUAAAUCAAGAGUUGAAAAAGAUAUGCAUGUAAAAGUUGUUUUGUAUGCAUGAAUGAAGAAUAAGUCAUGAACAAAAUUUGGGGUUUUUUGUUACUUGGGGUUGGCAUGGUUUUGGCUUAGUGUUUGUGUUUUUAUUUUGAAUCACACACACACUUUAAAGCUAGAAAGUAGAAAUCUUGUCACUUUUGUUUUUGGGUUUGAAAAAUCACCAAGAACAUAUAAAUCUUGAAAAUGUGUUCAUGGUUUUGUUCUUGGUAUUCAUGGUUUGGAUUUGAUGAAAAUGGUUUUAAGUUUUUCAUGCAUUGUUUUGUGGUUUUGGAUGAUGUACAUACCAUCCAUAGCCAUUUCAAUAAUUUAUUAAAUCCUAGUCUUUAUUAGGUGUAUUUCCAUCAUCAUUUCCCUAAAGUCCUUAAAGCAUAGACAAGUGACAAAUAAAAUUUGUUUUUCUACUUUGAAAUGAUUUAAAGCAAAAUGAGUGGGAUUUUUCUAUUUCCCCUCACUUAUGGCUGGCCUACCUAAUGGAAUACCCACUUGUGGGGUAUUUUGUAAUUUAGAAAAAGACAUUUUAUACUUUUGAGUAUUUAUGGUUUGACCCCUAACUUUUUCUUAUUUGCAUUUAGGCCCCUACUAACUAGAAAGUUAAAAUAUUUUAUUUUAAUUUUGUUAGUUGUUUAAACUCAUAAUUAUAUUAUGCCCAUAUGCACUAAAUCUAAAUGUUUAUGUUGCAUUCCAUUUAAUUAUUUAAAUGUGUUUAAAUAGUUGUGAAAUGGAUGACUUUGGACUUAUGCCUUAAACGAUAAUUGAGCUAUGAGAUAAGGCGCUAAAAUCAAAUUGUUUGAACCUUGGGAAUGUGUUUUAAUUACUGUUUAAUUGGACCUUGUCACGUUUGACGUUAAUCUAUCUCUCUCCUUUUAGUAUAUGUAAUUUAUAGGAAUUUGUACAAAUCGGUUUGUAAUUCUUAUUACUUCUUAAUCUCUAUUCAUUAGUUGAUUCCCUCUAGUGCUAGACUAGAGUUUCUUUAACUAUUAGUAAGGAGACAUAACUAAAAGAAGGGUUUUGACAUGAGAUUAAAGAUUAAAUGGGUCCAACGCCCUAAUUAGCAAUGAAUGAUUGUCUUUCAUUUCUAAUGGCUCAAUGAAAAUGGUUUUAAUUGGAUUGAUAAGCACGUAAUUAAAUUGACACAACCUCCCCGAGUUUUUAUUCAACAAUGUUGGCUCGUUGUUGCAAUAACCUAAUAAGUCCAUAGUCAUCCAAGAGCCUAAGAUAACUAUAAAGUCCAAUUUCAAAGGAAUGCAAAAACCGUAGUAGUAGUAGUUACUUCCAAUAUUUGAAAAAAUCGUUUUUGAUAUUGAUUUGUUUUUCUCAAAACAAAUAGUGGAAGUAUCAUACGCUACUAAACUAUAAUGAAUACAAUUAGUAGUAAUAUAUAUCUCCAAUAUUUUGAAAAAAAUGUUUUGAUAUUGAUUUGUUUUAUGAAAACGAAUAGUGGGGAUAUUAUAUGCUACUAAUUUCAUUAACUUUGGACUAGUAGUUGUAAUAGGACAUUAUUUAUUUGAUUGUGAUUAAAUAAAUGAAAUUGAUGAGACCUUAAAAUCCCUCAACCACUCAAUAUUAAGUUGAAAACGUAAGAGUGCUUUGAACACUUUUUCGUGGCCUUCCACCAUGGUAGGCUCCAAGCGUUUAUGACUUGUACACCGCCUUCACCCUAUAAUGGGGAAGUGACAAAGUGCAUGCUUAUAUUCAGGAGGAGUUUAUUUAAAAACAUUUGAUGAGGUGAAGAUAGGCAACGAGUAUGGCCAAUAUCGUAUAAUCGUGAGGUCAUGCUUGAACCCCUAUCUAAACCAGCAUGGUGGGAAAGAACUUAACUAAGAGAAAUGGUGCCAAUAUCGUAUAAUCGUGAGGCAUUGUUCUCUAGAGGCCAAAAAGAUGGGUAAUUGCAAAAGGUUGUUGCAAAUGAGUAAGCUACUCUCUCAUUAUUAUUGUUGCUAGCCGAUAUCGUAUAAUCGUGAGGUGGGCUUGGUAAUAGUGAGCCUCCCAUAACCCGCUAGGAGCUUUCUUUGAAAUCUCCCGGAUUCCAUUAUGGGGGAUAUGGAAUUUGCCAAAAAAUGGUGGGUGGUGUCAUUCGGUUUAAAGACCCGAAUCGUUUGACUUAAUCAACAAUCAAUCUAAUUAUUUUAAUUGUUUAUGUAUAUAGAUAUGGUUGGAAGCACACUCGCGAAAAUACUCGACAAACAUUGCCUUGAGGGGCACAAUUUCCCAUCAUGGUAUCGUAAUGUCAAGAUUCUCCUAACAUUGGAGAAGAUUGUUUACGUACUAGACAAGCCUCCACCUCACAUACCUCUCGGCCCUGAGGCUACAGAGGAUGAACGUGCUAAGUUUGACAAGCACGUUGAGGAUGACACACAAGCCAAGUGCUAUCUGUUGGCUUCCAUGAAUGAGGAGCUACAGAGACAGCAUGAGGACAUGGACAGUGCAUUUUCCAUAAUACUCCAUCUUACGGAGUUAUAUGGCGAAGGGACGCGCAACCGUCGCUUUAGCACUGUCUGUGAGCUUGUGAAGACCAAGAUGGUCAAAGGGGCUCCAGUACACCAACAUGUACUGAAGAUGAUAGGAUUCAUUGAACAAUUGGAGAACCUUGGUACUCCACUUGACGGGGAAUUGGCCCAGGACUUUAUAUUGGCUUCUCUUUCUGAUUCAUUUGCGCAGUUCGUAAUGAACUACAAUAUGAAUAAGAUGGAUAGUACUCUCUCUGAGUUACUAAAUAUGUUAGUAACUGCCGAGAAGACUAUGAAGAAAGAGAACGUUGUAGGGACUGCUGCAAUAGCCUACAACAAGCCAUCCUCUUCCAAGGCCAUGCCGCAAGGCAAAGGCAAAGGGAAGGAGAAGAAGUCACCCACUCCUAAGCCGAAAGGAGGAGUGAAGAAAAAGAAGGCAAUGGAGCCCAAAGGGACUUGCCACCACUGUGGAAAGGAGGGGCAUUGGAGGAGGAAUUGCAAGUUAUAUCUUGCAAGUCUUAAGGACAAACCACAAGGUAUGGUUUAUGAUCCUAUCUUCAAUUCUAAAUAUUAGAUCUUCUAAAUAUUUAUAUUUGAUAUAAAGAGCUAAUCACUUGUAUAAUUGUAUAUAGGUGGAGAAGCCAAGUAGAAGAAGAACAAGCAAAGAAAAUGUGGUAAAGGGUUCGGCUACUAUGUUUUUUUUUUUUUUUGCUCACUACUUAGGAAGUUUGUUAGGCAUUAAAGAUUGUCUUUAAACUUUCUUAUUUUGAUAAGAACUUAUUAUGUGGCUUCAUAUGAUGGAAGACCACUAUUAAUGCCUAAAUGUAUAAAGGUAUUUAUAUUAGUCUCUAAAUGUUUAGAGCUAAUAAUUAUUGUAUUAAACAUUAUGAAUGUUUGAAUUAUCAUGUAAUGUGAUGAAUGCCUUUUUUAAUAUACUAUUUCCUUAAAGAAGUGUUAUGAAUUGAAAAUUGUCUUGUUGUAUCCUAGAUGAGAUACAAGAGUUAUAUCACAAAUGAUAUAAGUAAUAAGAAAAAGGUUUCUUAUAAGGUUAAUCACUUAAAUCACAAUGAUCAAGAUCACUCUUGAUUCAAUUAGUAGUUUUGAACAAUAUAUUGGGCAUUCUUUAAAAUUGUUUUAAAAUGUCAAUUGUGUUAGUGAUGAAACCAAGAAAGAAGUGUCUAAAUCUAUAAAAUGUUUAAAGACUUUAGUCACUUAAAUAACAAGACAUUAACUUAGUGAAGAUUGAAACAAAUAAGCUUGAAAUGUUUUAAGCUACUACACAAUGUCUUCUUCCAAUAUAUUCCAAUUUUAUGCAUUUUAAAUGUAUAAAGUGAUUUCUCAUUAAAGUCAUGAGAAAUAGUGGGAGGUGUGAAAAUGGAUAUAAACUUGAAUGUGAUUGGUUUAUAGUUGUCUAAAUGAAUAAUAGUACUUGACUAUUAUUAAGAGUUUGUAAUUUUAAUUGUUAAAAGAACUCAAGCUCUUCAAACGUUAAAAUUCUAUGUUGUGAGACAUUUGAAGAAUAGUCUUUGAAUGUUGGUUUCGUCAACCUAGCAUAAAAUGGUUAUAUGUUGGGAGUUGUCCAUCAUUCUCUUUUUAUGAGAACAAGCUAAUAACAAAGCAUAUGGACAAGUUGAUGAAACAAAAGGGAAUAAGUUUCAAAAUGAGUCACAACAUAUAGUUUAACAACAAGACAAUCCAAAUUCGACAUCUCAUGUAACGAUAUUGCUCUAUGAAGUUUUGAUAAAGAAUUAAAACAACCACCUAGAAGGAAUGGUUGAGUUUCUAUGUCAUUAGAAGGAGCUAUGUUCUACUAAAGACUUAGAUAAUUCUUAUAUGACUACAUUAAAGGUCUUAGUAUGACUAAAACGUGAAAUAUGACACCAUAUGAUUUAAAUGAAUAGACUUAAUGAAACAAGUCACACAUUUUGGAAUUACUUGAGAAGGAAUUCUUUUGUGUAUGAUUCAUUUAAGUUAAUGGGAGCAAUAUGCAUUCAAAUCAAGAAAUUAUAAUUGUUAAUUUUGAAGGAAUGCUAAGUUACAAACAAGGCCAGUGGGAGUGAUGUCAUAAUUUGAGCAACAAAGAUAUGAAUAAAGUCUAUUUGAUAGACUUACUUAAACAUAGAUGUUACUCGAAAAAUGACAAAAUAUGACACGGUCAAUUUUGAAGUACAGACUUGAAAUUGGACUUAUUGAUAUAGCAAGGCUAUUUCAAUAAUGUUAUAUGGAAUUGAAUCUCAGAUGUUGGAGAUUUAAGAAAGCAUUUUACUAUAUGAUAGAAAAUCACUUUCAUAACCCUUAUAAUGAAUGUGUCAUAAAAUCACAAAAAGGGACACAUGUAUUGACUUGUGAAGUAGAUAUCCAAAGAUGAAGAAACCACACGGGUUGUCACUUUAAGAUAUUACUAUAUCCCAGGAUCAGAACCAAAGCAACUGAUAGAGUAUUAUUGCCUUUAAGAAAGAAACAUCAGAGUGGGACUCUGGAAGCGUGCAUUCACUUAGGUUGAUUAACCAAAGUGAAAGAUAAGCCAUUUUAACAAAUGGAACUUCAUAAUGGAUGAAGUACUAAUCAUAUGAAUGAAUUGUUAGUAUUACUACAAUGGUCUCAAGAUUGGAGCACAGUUUGUAUAAAGUAUACAAACGAAAUAUAUGUCGAUAUAUAGUUUUAGAAACUGCUUCAAAAGGUGUUUUGAAUGAAGAGGUUCUUAUAGAACCAAUGAUUGAAUCCAAACCAUAAGGUCGUUAGUAGGAUACUACGACGUAAUGGGGCGAUAGCUCAAGCCAUGGAAUCAAGGUCUCAUCAAAAUAUUCGAACACGAUGAAGAGACAUCAUCAAAUGUUUUUGGAAACAUUUGAUAAGUAAAUCCCUUUUAAAUAAUAAAAGGAAUUAAUACAUAACCAAGUUAACCUACGACCAUAAGCUCUCUCAGCUAAGAUGUAUAAGAUACACUAGUGAUUGACUUUAGUGCAAGUGGGAGAUUGUUGGAAAUAUGCCCUGAAAGUCAAUCUUUGGAAGAAAUCUUUCAGGACAAAUGAAUGGAUGUAUGGAUGAAUCUUAUACAUCAAAGGCAAAAACACGAAUUAGGACUAUCUCAAUGAACGAUAUAUGUCCUAAAUAGUGUAUCCAUGGACAAUAGAUUGAUUAAAGAAGUAAUCUAAUGAUGUUAGAUUACAGAGACCUUCUUCAUGUAACCAAAUGUCCAAAAGGUUCCUAGUCAUUGGAUUGUCGGAGGGAUACUGACAAUACGUAGACUGGUACAUACUGUGUCUGCUUCAAAUGGAAGGAUGGAAAGUCUCAUCCCAUUCGUGUUGUGACACUAAGACAAGUAUGUAGGUGCUCAUUUGGGGAAUGAGUUCACUGAACACAAUCGAACGAGAGUACUUGCAUGGAGGUCUACUCACAUGUCAAGCAAGUAACUCUAAUGGUUGGAAUAAUGUAAGUAGUCCUUAGACCUGAGGCAUCGUCGUUGUCUUGUGGCUAAGUACUUAAUCUUUGAUUAUGUCAAAGUCUCCCCAUUCGAGGGUGUCCCACGGCAUGAUUGGGGUUAAGCCACUUAGUCAUGAAGGCAAGUGUAUGCACAACAAGGAAUCUCUAAUCCUCGGUAAGAGAGGAAGAAUGCUCUAAGAUAUGAUUCGAGAAUCUUCGGCCGAAGUAUCGAGUGUAUUAAAAGGAAUGCGUUCCUAUACGACUCAAAUGAAUCAUAUAAGAAGGAAUAAUCACAUUAGGGGUUUGACAUAAUAUAUCCAUACCCUAAUGAUGUGAUUGAGAGUAUUGUAUUAGAGAAGGAUCGAAUUACAUUGUAAUUCUAACUGAAUAGGUUCUCUGAAUAAAACUUCUACAUUAGCUUGGGUAGCUAUGACAUAUGGUUAGAUGUCACUCAUAGCUUGUGAGUUCUUCUAGAUGAUUAAAUGUAGUCAUCAAAGAAGAAUGGUGAAUUGAAAUGAAGUUUCAAUUCACUAAGUGAUUGAAUUAAUUGGAUUAGUGCCAAUUACCUCACUGCCUUGCUAAUUAGAACCUAAAAGAUUGUUCACCAAUACACUAUUGUAGUGAGUAAUUAAUGGAUGAUGGAAACAAUUAAUUGGAUUAAUUAUGUGUUGUGAUUAAUUUAGAAAAGUCUAAAGAAAUCAUAAAAGCGAUAAAGAUCGUUUUGGGCUUAAAGAAACGUUCGGGUUUAAUUGGGCCCAUUGGGCCCAAACCCAUUGGGCUUUUAUUCAAGCAUUGGAUGACUUGAAAUAAAUGAAAGCCCAAAGCCCAAACAACACAAAGAGGGCCGGCCAUAUUAGCUGUGAAGAGAGAGAGAGAGGUCAAAUGUUGACUUGUUUUCUUUUGGCUAUAAAAGGAACUUUAUAGCAAAUGUUUCAUUAGGGUUUUUUGUGUGUUUAGAACAACAAAUAGGCAAAAGAAUAUCUCUCUAAACCACAACAAAGGGCCGGCCACCUAGGGGGUGAUUUAGCUAACAAUCUUUCACCCUUUUGGUUAUUCCUUCAUCCUUCUCAUUAAACUAGUGGGUGAGUAUCUUUAGAGGUUUCCUACUUUGGAAACUUGAAGAGAACCUAGGAGCACUCAUUCUUUCAAAGUGGAGGGGGCAAGGAAGGAAGCUAGGCUCAAGGAUUUCAAGGAGCAAAGAGAUUGGAGGUGGUCCAUCCUUGGUCUAAAAUCAAGAUCAAGAGGUAUAGAUCUAUUCCUUGACUUUGUUCUUGAUUCUUUAAAAUGUUUUGAUGCAUUAUAUAUAAACCUAUGAACCUUGAAGGGGAUUUGCAUGACUAUAGCUUUGAUAUUAUUUGAUAACAUGCUUCCGUUGCUCACGUAUAUAAAUUUUGAAUUGUAUAUGCAUGAUAGUCAUCUAGAAAUCCCACAUGAAACUCAUAAAUUUCCCUUCAUAUACCCCCCAACAAAAUGGCGUUGUUGAACGCAAACAUCGUCAUCUUCUUGAAACCGCUCGCGCACUUCGUUUUCAAUCCCAUCUUCCUCUCAAAUUUUGGGGUGAAUGUGUCCUUACUGCUACUUAUCUCAUCAAUCGUCUCCCAACCCGUAUUCUCCAUAAUAAAUCCCCCUUUGAGGUUCUCUUUUCAAAAACCCCAUCUUAUGACCCCUUCCGCGUCUUUGGUUGUCUGGCCUAUGCCACCUCUAUCACUCCCACCACCAAAUUUUCCCCUCGGGCUCAUCAUUGCAUUUUUCUUGGUUACCCUCAUGGACAAAAAGCCUAUACCCUUUACGAUCUCGACCAUCACCGUAUUUUCACUAGUAGAGAUGUCGUCUUUCACGAAGAUACUUUCCCUUAUGCCGUUCCUAACCCUCAUAUCCCAUCCACUUCGCCUACGCUACCCAUCCCACCCCCUCUGGAAUUUUCAUAUACCCCACCCCUCCCUGCCCCGACACCUCACCCUCCUACCACUUCAUCCACUUCCACGCCUCCCACAGAUUCCCUUGCUGCCCCCUUACCCGUUCCUCCACCUGCCCAUGCCCUCUCGGCAUCCCCUCCUUCCCCCACCGCUACUUCCUUACCUUUCACCCAUUUACCCACGGACAUCCCUACCCCCCCCCCCCCACUUCCUACCAAUCCUCCCAUUCCCCGCACCUCUUCCCGUGCCCAUAAACCUCCUUCCUAUUUAAAAGACUACGUUUACUCGCAGGUGAUUCUGCCAUCCCACCAAUCUUCAAAUUCGCAACCCGGUUCUACACAAGGUACGCGAUAUCCACUUUGUAAUUUUCUUUCUUAUCACCGUUACUCUCCCAGGCAUUUUUCCUAUAUAAACUCUGUCAGUCGGACUGUGGAACUUUCCUCCUUUGCCGAGGCUGCCACUGACCCCAAUUGGCAACGUGCUAUGACUGAGGAGCUUCAAGCUUUACAUGCUAAUGGUACUUGGACUUUAACUUCCUUUCCCCCUGGCAAAAUUCCCAUUGGUUGUAAAUGGGUGUACAAACUCAAGUACAACUCCGACGGCUCUAUUGAGCGCUACAAAGCUCGUUUGGUUGCUAAAGGCUUCACUCACGCUGAAGGUAUUGAUUAUCAUGACACUUUUUCUCCUACUGCUAAGAUGAUUACGGUGCGUUGUCUUCUUGCUCUUGCUGCUAGUCAGUCUUGGUCUCUUCAUCAGCUUGAUGUUAAUAAUGCUUUCUUACAUGGUGACUUACAUGAAGAAAUCUAUAUGUCUCCUCCUCCUGGUCUUCGGCGACAGGGGGAGAAUCUUGUGUGUCGCCUUCACAAGUCACUUUAUGGUCUUAAGCAGGCUUCUCGCCAAUGGUUUGCCAAAUUCACUAGUGCCAUCAUUUCUGCUGGUUUUCAACAAUCCAAAGCUGACUAUUCAUUGUUCACUAAAAAGUCUGGUAUUUCUUUCACAGCUUUGCUCAUUUAUGUGGAUGAUAUUGUGAUUACAGGCAAUGAUGUUAGUGCCAUUAAUUCUCUGAAGUCUUUUCUCCGUGAUCAUUUUCGGAUAAAAGACCUUGGUGAUUUAAAAUAUUUUUUGGGUAUUGAGGUUUCUCGUUCCAAACAAGGGAUUUAUAUUUCUCAACGCAAGUAUGCAUUAGAGAUUCUCAAGGACUAUGGUUUUUUGGGAGCACGACCCAUUGCUUUUCCUAUGGAUGACACAAAAUUAUCUGAUAAAGGAGAACUUCUCAAGGAUCUUGAAAGGUAUCGACGAUUAGUAGGUCGGUUAAUAUAUCUCACUAUAACUCGGCCGGAUAUCACCUAUUAUGUGCAUGUUCUAAGCCGUUUUAUGCACGAGCCAAGGAUAUCUCAUAUGGAUGCUGCGUUUCGUAUUGUUCGUUAUUUGAAGGCUACUCCAGGUCAAGGUUCAUUAUUUCGUUCUGACAACCAGACCAAGUUAACUGCGUUUUGUGAUUCUGAUUGGGCAGGUUGUCCUAUCACUCGCCGUUCGACUACUGGGUAUUGUGUAUUCUUGGGCGGUUCUUUGAUUCCAUGGCAGACGAAACGGCAGAAAACUGUUUCGCUCUCUUCAGCAGAGGCAGAAUAUAGGGCUAUGGCAGGUGCUUGUUGCGAGAUAGUUUGGCUUCGUUUUUUGUUGAAGGAUUUGAACAUUCCCUUGGUUGGUCCUUCCGUUUUAUUUUGUGAUAAUCAAGCAGCGUUACAUAUAGCUGCCAAUCCUGUUUUUCAUGAACGAACUCGUCACAUUGAGAUGGAUUGUCACUUUAUACGAGAUAAGAUUGUAGAUGGCACAAUAGAGACCAAGCAUGUGGGUACGGCACAACAGUUGGCAGACUUGUUUACCAAACCUCUUGGGAAAGAAAAGUUUUCGAGUAUGUUACGCAAGUUGGGAGUUCUUGAUAUCCACUCUCCAACUUGAGGGGGAGUGUUAGACAAAUAAGGAAUAUGGUUGGAGUCCUUGUGUAAUUGUAGUCCUAAUUGUAGUUGUAUUCCUAAUUUGUAGGGAAUUUUCCUUGCUAUGCAAGGCAUGUAAUUGUAUAUAAUAUCAUUCACGUAUCAAUAACAAAUAUGCUUUUUAGCCUACAUACCUUUUUCUACAAUCCACACACCCCAUUUUACUUCUCACACGCCCCUUGAUAAUUCUGUCCGUUGAUCUUCUUCAAUUCAUCCGAUCCGACAGCCGAAAAUUAAAAGAUGUGUGAGAAGUAAAAUGGGGUGUGUGGAUAUCACACCCCUUCAAAAAUUGUCCGUGUAGGACGUUCGUUCUUUUGUCUUCAUUUUCGUUCACUUGAACAUAUAUAUAUGAUCAUUUCUUCACACUUACAGGGAUGGCAGAAUCAAAUUAUUUGGCAAAGAUAACACCCAAGCUCUACUUGAGUCUGUCAAUGCAGUUCCAAGCAAGUUUUUACAGGUUUUGUACCAAUAUUACGUGUUACUUUCUUCGAUUUCCAACUGUUUUGUUUUAGUUUCCAUGUCAAUGUAAUGAAAUUUAGCGACCCUUUUGUUCGUCUUGAAAAGUAUAGCAGACGGUUCUUUCGUACGAUGAUUUGAUAGUCUGAUAUAAAUGGUGAUGUUUGUGUUCAGUUUAUGCAUAACCAAGGCAUACUUCUAAAUGUAAAUACCAAGAACCACACUGAGGCAAGUUUCUACGCUAUGCUUUCCUCUGAUAUAAUUUUCGUUGUUCGAUGAAUGAAUGAUCAAAACGUUGUUUUUGGCAAUGUUUAUCUACUGCAUUUUAAUAAUUAUUUUGCAAUGUUGUGCUUAGGUUUGGGACAUAAACUUAUUCUAAAAUAAUUACAAUCAAAACAUACACUAGUCUAAGACAUUACAAACUUAGGCAUUUGAGGAGGAACUACCAAUUUUACACUAACACAAGCCUCUAUUGAUCAUAGUAGUUGUCAAGAUACGUUGGCGUAAUCUUCUGGAAAAUGUUGGCAGGAAUCAACAAGUGCCACCAGGUGCUCGACAAAAUUGUUCGAUGAAGUUGUGGGCAUUCGUUUUGUUUGUUUUUUUUGUUUUUUGUCGCAACUAUGACUUCAUUAUUUGAAACUGUUCGGGAUAAUUUAAAAAAAUAAAUCUUUGAAAUAUAUGAAGCGUUCUUGCCGGUAAUAACCUUCAUAAAUAUUCAGCUCAGAUAAUGCAUGUGUUUUUAUUGGAGAAGCUGUUUAUAUCUCAAAACAUCGUUGUUCACAUGUGAUGACAUGUCAUGGCAUGCAUUUUGCCAACAUUUUGCGCACUUGACAUGGCUUGUCAGGGCUUGUCUUGACACGGUAAACUCGCAUCGUGGCAUGCCAAAACAUUGUUGUUGGCCACAACAUGACAAGCGUCGCGAGUUGUCAGCAUAAUGUAUGUCAUGACACGCCAUGAAUUCUCUCUAUAAACCAUAAUUCUCUGCUUGGUUUCUUGGAAAAUUUAGGAAAUUGAAAUUAAGAAUUUGGAGAGGAGAGAAAGAAAGGCUUACGUACAUGAUCGGCGAGUGUUUGAGCCGGUUUAUCAGAGAGAAUUCGUGUUGUCCACAUGUGUUCCACAUCACUCAAUUUGUAUUAUCCACAUGUUUGGCUUAAAAAUUCGCCACACAUGAGGAGGCGUGUGAAAAUGUGAAGGUAAAAGAGUCGCACAUUGGAAAAAAUGAGAAACUUUGCAAGGGCUUAUAAGUAAGUUGGGCUACCCCUCAUAUUGCCAAUUGAUUUUAUGGUGGAACUUCAAUUUUCUUCAUGGUAUCAAUUUGAGUUGAGAAAGAGGACAAUGGCGACUCCCACGCAAAUUCCCAAAACUACCCACAAAUGCAAACCGAAAAUAGAGGUCAUCUUCAAGAGCUAGGCGUUCAAUAACGAGUACCCGGGCAUUGUAGACUGUAAUUUCACUCCUCCUUCCUCACAGAAGAAGAAAAAAAAGAAGAUAAUGAGGAAAUUGAGAAUUUAAGGUCGUAAGCUCAGCUCAUAGUAACUGGGGGAUGAGAGAGAACGUGAAUUAGAUGAUGAGAAUGCUCCAGUCAUGCCUUCGUCACCCAUCCGAGUGAUGGCCAACACACCUCAAUUUCGGUGCCAACUAAAAUUCAGAUCGGGAUGUGUCAUAGUACACCAAAUUCCAAUCUCUUUUUAUUGUUGCAAAGUUACUUAUUACAUUUAGUAAAUGAAUGACUGGUUGGAUUAUAAGGACUGCAUCUAACGGAUACAUAAAUACUAGAGUUACAUAUGGGUGACGGAAAAGAAGAAAAUGUGAAGAAAAAAAAUUGGAAAAUUAUAGUAUGUAAUUUUAUUUUUGAUAUUUUAUUAAUUGUGAAAUUAUAUAUAUAUAUAUAUAUAAACUACUAAAAAAAAUGAUAGCCUAGUAGGGCGCCUAUUCAUCUAUCCUCAGGGCCGGCCUUGCCCUCUAUUAUACAAGGUUCUUUGUGUGUGUCUCUAAGAAAAAAUUAGUUGUUUUGUAACCCUCUAUGCAAUUAACAUUAAAAAAAAAGUAGUUAGCUCGAAUACCCCCACAGCCAUAUUUCAAGCGCAAGUGUUCACUCAAACCCCGUUCGAAGUUGCUUGUGUAAACACAUGUGUUCCUAAGCACUUUCGAUAGAACCACAUUUCAUUAAAAAUCUUCUUGAAGCAUCCAGCAUUUUAAAAUUAUGCCAUAAUUUCGCCACAAAAUCACCUUUAAAGUCGGCCACAAAUGGAAUCAAAUACUUCAUAGGUUAUACUGAUUUUUUUGGUUAAAUAUUUUCUUCAUCUUAUUAUUUGCACAAAGUCAUAAUUAAAAAGAUUAAUGAUUUUCCUCUAAUAGUUUCUCUUUUGUUGGUUAAGAAAAUAUUUAAGCAGAAAAACCUCACAAUUAAAUCUCAAGCGCAAGUGUUACUCGAUCCUCGUUUGAGAAUGCUUGCGUAAGUACUCAUGUUCCUAAGCAUUUUAGCAGAAGCACUUUUGAUAAAAGCACUUUUGAUAAAAGCACAUUUUAUUAAAAAUCACAAUAUAUUAUACAAAAAAACAAUAGUUUAUCUAAAUUUCUAUCACAAAAUAUAUUCUGAAGUGAAAUAAAAAUUAGGAUUAAAAUUAGGAAGAAAAGGAGAAAUAAAAUAUCUUAUUAUGAGAUGAUUAAAUGUAUGAUAGCAUGUACGUUGAGUUAAGGGACUAAAAUUAUUUUAAAUCUUACACAAUAUUUUAGUCGAAAAUUGAUUUCUUUUAAAGACUACAAUGAAGUUUUCUACAAUAUUAAUUUUGGAGUAUUUAUAAACUGUGUGUUUAGCUAAACGUUAUUAUAAGGUCAUCUCCAACAGAAAAGGUUAAAAAUAGUCUCAUUCAGAAUUAUAGUCAUGCAAGAAAUAAUUUUUAAAUGAACAGUAUUAUAUCAUACUCAUAUACCAUCUCCAACUGAAAAGCGGCUAAACAUAGCCCCCUCAACAAUUUAUUAUUUUUAAUUUAAACUUGUAAGUGAGGUUUUUAGUUCGAUUCUCGCCAAAGGCAAAUUCGAACUAUAUUAUUAUGACCAUGGUUUUAAAUAUCGAUAAUCUCGACGAUAUUAUUGGUUUUUUGCUUUACCGAUAUUUUUAUAGGUAUCCAUGAAGUUUUCGUCAAAAUAUCGCGAUAUUAUCGAUAAUACCGAUAAUAUCGCGUAAUUACCGAUAAUAUCACAAAAUUACCGAUAAUAUCUCGAAAAACUUCAAAAAUACUUAAAAUACUCAAAAUAUUAAACUAACAAGAACAGACCCCACAUCUGAUCUUAGCCAAAAGACCGACAAAACAAUGCAUUCGUCAGCUUUGGAAUGUGGUUUUUAUAGACAUGUUUGCUUGCUCACUUCUAUUGCAUGGCCGAUGUGGGAUGAACUAGCUUUUAUAGACUUGUUGGCUUGCUGAGUUCAAUUGCACGGCCGAUGUGGGAUAUGCUUUGCUUGUCAAGUCGGCCCUGGCUUGGUUAUAUCCAUCAAGGACAUUUUCUCUUAACACCCCUAUUUAAUGAAACUGUGAUUCCACUGAGGUACACCCCUAGAAAGUUUAUCAUUCAGCUCAAACGAAAGUUUUUGGUAAUUAUUGAAAGUGAUCAAGGAGCGUUCACAGCAGAUCUAUGAUUCCCGUUCUCGAUUCUUGGGACUAAGAGCACCAAAGCUAUUUUCUAUUAGUGUGUAAGAAAAGUUCCAAAUCGGAGAGUUAAUUAAGAAAUUCAUCACAAAGUUUAUUAGGAGUUGUGUCAUAACUCUUAUUGCCAAUUAAUUUUGGGGUUGAAACCUUAGUUUUCUUCAUGGAUCUAGAGCAUAUAUGCUUGCAUAUUAAAGGAAGUUGAGUUUCCACUAUAAAAAGUUAUUACAAAUAGUUACCACACCCAAUACUACAUGUAUGUUUGGGUGAGAGACUCCCAAACUACAAGGCAUGCAUUUUAGGCAAAUGAAGAAGAAAUCUGUCGCACAAAGUUAAAUAAGAGGAAUUAGAAAUGUAUCACAUGAACAUUACAAAGAUAUGUAAAAGAAAUUUGUUAAUGACUCAUUUUAAGCAGUCAUUUGCAAAUCCCUCACGUGUUGCAUUUCUAAUCUCGCAUAUCUAUCUUUUUGUGAUUCAUUUCUUCAUGACUAUGUCUAAAUUCUCCUAAAAUUCCUCUCUUAGAUCUUAAGUGCCCCUCUUUUUUUUGUUUCUCACUCACUCAUGUCUAAAUCUUGUCGAGUUGCAUAUAUUUAGUUGUACAAAUGAGCAUUAAAUUGUUAAUAUCAUGCAAUGUAUAAAGUGUAAAAUAUUAUACUAAUUCAUUAUAUAAAUGAUUAUGGUGUGUUUAAACUUCUUUCAUUAAUUACUACAUAUUUUCUACACUCACAAUGUUUGCCAGCUCGCUAUAUAAUCAACUUGAUAAUGUUAAAUCCAUCAUGCAAUGCAUUUCUUUCUAAUUUUUUGUGAUAAACUAAUAGAUAAUUGACUAAAUAAACAUCCUGCAAAGUUUCAAUAAAAAUUUCCAAGUUUUUCUUACAAUUUCCGUGGUUUCCAUGUAAUUUUUAUCGAUAUCGAUAUUAUCCCGAUAUUUUCAUCGAUAUUUCCGUGUUUUCGAACUAUCGAUAUUUCCGAUAUUACCGAUAUUUAAUACCUUGAUUAUGACUAGCCUACUGUGAGACUUAGUCUACUCCCCACUCCUUAGUGUAGAUAAUAUUAUAUAUAUUAAAAAAAAGUUUAUAGUUUAAAUUUAUUGGUUAAUUUAAUUAAACUACUGUUGGAUAUUUUCAAACUUGACCAUUAAAUUUAAAUCAAUCAUUGCACCAGAAGAGUUUGACCCCCAAAAAAAGGACUUAGAGGAGGCUAUAUUUGGCCAACUUUAUGCCUUUUUGGCUAAAAAUAAUGGCCCAGUGAAUUCCAUAUAAUUAUAACCCAGUAAUCCACUGAAGAUAGAUUUUUAAACAAAUAAGAUCAUUUUUUGGUUUUUGGACCUUUAGUCAUCUCUAUUGGAUAUGGCCUCAGAAAAUUUAACUAAGGACCAGUAACAAUGAACAAUAAAAAAUUAAGGACUAGUUUAGUUACGAUCCCUGACCCCUAACUGUUAUAUACUCAAACCUUAUGCAUUUUAGGUUUUAGAUUGAAGUCCCUCUUCUACCACAUAAAUGACAUAGUAUUAAAAGAGAUACAAUGAUCCCAAUAAAGACGCAAACCGUUAUUUUGCUUUCAUUUUCACUACCAAUUUAAUUAUUGAAAUUUGCUUAUGGGUUUCAACAACAAAAAAAAAAAUUGUUUAUGGGUGCAUUCUAGAUUUAUUUUUAUUUUUAUAAAAUAUGAGUUCAUUUAUAUAAGGGACAUUUUACAUAUAAAAGUUUGGUACAUUUAUAUAAAAAAUUUGGGUACAUUUGACAUACAAAAAAUGGGCACGUUUUAUAUAAAUAAAUGCGUACAUUUUAUAUAAAAAUAAUAAUGGGUACAUUUUAGAUCUUGCAUAAGGUCACGAGUUUUGGGCAUUCGCCAAAAUAAACCUGAAUCAGAUCUUGCAACCCGUAUAUAUGAUGUAAUGAUGUACCUGAAAUGUUCUCACAUUCAUUUGCUUUCAAUCUUUGAAGCCCACUAAGAUAUGCAAUUGAUGAAGGCAAUUCUCUUAUGCCACUUUGUCGUAUAUCCAAAUCCAUUAGAGAUUCCAUCUUGCCCUCUUCUAUUUCUGACCUUUUAGAUAAAGUCAUUCAAUUCCUUUAGUUACAUAUCAAGGACUUGAAAAUAGAGAUCCACACGAUAGUAAUGGAAGUUUGUGAUUUUUGGAACUUUACGCCUUGAUUUUUCAAGUACGAAAUGCAAAUCCUCCAUGUUAGGAACGAUAAUAUCAUGCUCCUCACAAAACAUUUCUACAUCAUGAACCAAGUCCCCAAAGUCAUCAUCCCUCAAGGAUUGUAGUCUUUGCUUGCAUACUUCCAAUAAGCAUACAAAUUAUUCGAUAAAUAAAAAUUCAAUUCAACUAAUCAUAUGAAUAAUUGUAUACAUAAUAAAUUAUGUAAUAAUUCAAUUAAUUAAUCAAUAAUCAAGAAUUCAAAUUUUAAUUUUUACCCUAAAACAUAAUUUCAUAAUUUCAUAUCAAUAAUCAUAGAAUCAUAUCAAUAACCAAUAACCAUAUUAGUGCAUUGAGUGCAUUACCAUAUGAUUCUAUAUGAAUUAAACAAAAUUCGUUUUAAAUAAUUAAUUAGGGUUAGGGAUUAUAAAUUUAGGAAUUAAAAAAUUUACCUAAAGAGUGGCUUUGAAGGUUGGAAGCUGACAGCCGGAGAAUGGCUGCCCUGUAGUGGCUAGCGACUGGCAUGACAGCAAAUGGCCAAACGGUGGGUGGGUGCUGAUUGGGAAUUUUCGUUCUGUUUUGUGCUUCGAAUUGAGGAGCAGCGGCUGCCCUUUUGCUGCUCUGAUUGGAGGUUGAAAAGGGGAAAACUGAGAGACUGAAUGGAAUGGGGGAACACACAGUCCCCUCAUAUAAUUUUUUUUUCCAACUUAUCGAAACGGCGCCGUUUUUUUUUUCCAACUCAGCUGCAGCCCAGAACCAGACAAACCGAAGACAAAGAGCAGCAGCAGAACCGGUGGGUUUUCCAGCGAGAGGAGGGGCAAAACUAGUGCUCCAGUCUUGUUUUUCCGACGAAGAGAGUGGCGACCACCACUCCUCGCCUUCACAUGGCUUCGCAUUGAUGGUGGUCGCAACUCACAAGUCGCCAAAAAGAAGGAAAUGAAGACGGAGUUGAGUCGGUGAAUUGGUGGUGAUGUGCAGAUGCAUGAAUGACUAGGAGAAAGAGAUGACAAAGGAAAAGAGUGAGUCUAAAAUUCAACGGUGGAGAUAAAUCCAAUCCAAUCCAACAUUAGCAAUGGUUCAGAUCGAGGUCCCACUACCAUAAUUUCUGGAAUCUGCCAUGCCCCGUUCGCCCACCCCUAAUGAAUAGAGAAGGGAGAGACGGUUGGAUGGGAACGAGGGGCGAGGUAGGAGAGGCCCAUAUUUUUUACUCUUUUUGUAUUUUUUUUUAAAUUUUGUUAAUUUUUACUUUUUUUAGUAUCCACGUGGCCCAAUAUUGACACGUGGUAAAGAGUCUAAUAGUAAUUGUACAGUUGGAAUUUGUUAGCCAACUGCUAUGUGUAAUUAGUUGUAAAUGUUAGGGUCAAUUUUGUCAACUGAAUUGUAUCUAUAUAUACUGAAAUGUGUGUAUUGUUCAGUAGGUCAAUCAAAUGAGAAGAAGCAUUUUUCACACCUCUGAGUUUUCAUACAAGCUAAGAUUCAAUAUGGUAUCAGAGCUAAUUUAACAUCAACCUUAAGGGACAUUUUUCACACCUAAGUUUUCUUACAAGCUAAGAUUCAAUAUGGUAUCAGAGCUGAUUUAACAUCAACCUUAAGGAACGUAUUUUUCACACCUUUGAGUUUUCUUACAAGCUAAGAUUCAAUAUGAUAUCAUAAUUGAAAUGUGUGGCACCCAGUCAUUGUCUACGUGUGCGCCAUGUCACCAAUUAACAGCUGAUUUAAUAUCAACCUUAAGCUAUCUCCAACCGAAUGGUUGGAUUAUAAGGACUGCAUGUGACGGAUAGAGAAAUACUAGAGUUACAUAUGGGUGACGGAAAAGAAGAAAAUGUGAAGAAAAAAAAUUGGAAAAUUAUAUUAUUGCGUAUAAUUUUAUUUUUGAUAUUUUAUUAAUUGUGAAAUUAUAUAUAUAUAUAUAUAUAUAUCACAUCCCGGGCUUGACUCCACUGUAGCACGAUAUUGUCCACUUUGGGCCCCGACCACGCCCUCACGGUUUUGUUUCUGGGAACUCACACAAUAACUUCCCAGUGGGUCACCCAUCCUGGGAAUGCUUUCGCCCGAACUCGCUUAACUUUGGAGUUCCGAUGAAACCCGAAGUCAUUGAGCUCCCAAAAGGCUUCGUACUAGGUAGAGAUGAGAAUAUACAUAUAAAGCUUACAGGAUCCACUCCCUUGGGCAAUGUGGGAUGUUACAAUCCACCCCCCUUAGGGGCCCGACGUCAUCGUCGACACACUUCCGGCCAAGGAUUGGCUCUGAUACCAAAUUAUCAUAUCCCAGCCCGGGCCCCCACCACAUCCUAGGCUUGACUCCACCGUAGCACGAUAUUAUCCUCUUUGGGCCCCGAUCAUGCCCUCACUAUUUUAUUUCUGGGAACUCACACGAGAACUUCCCAGUGGGUCACCCAUCCUAGGAAUGCUCUCGCCCGAGGUCGCUUAACUUUGGAGUUCCGAUGGAAUUCGAAGCCAUUGAACUCCCAAAAAGCCUCGUACUAGGUAGAGAUGAGAAUAUACAUAUAAGGCUUACAGGAUCCACUCCCCUGGGCGAUGUGGGAUGUUACAAUCCACCCCCCUUAGGGCCCCGACAUCCUCGUCGGCACACUUCCGGCCAGAGAUUGGCUCUGAUACCAAAUUGACACAUCCCAGCCCGGGCCCUCACCACAUCCCUGAAUGAUUUAUUUUGAAAAACAUGUUCAUUUGAGCAACAUCAUAUAGCAUGCAAUUAACAAUUAAAGGCGGAAUCAUGCUUGCAUGCACUCAAAAACAAAACAUUACCAUGAAAUUCAAAGCCUAGUAGAUUGGUGAACCAAUAAUCAACUACAAAACAAAGUGAGUUGAAAUUAUUACCUUUGUAGAUUCCUCUUUGCAUAAGCAAAGGCUAAUCACCCAAAGAGAUAGGGCCUUCAUUCCUUGCUUCUUAGAUCCAUGGAUUUGGAUGGAAAAUAGGUUUCUCCAAGUUCCCAAAAUAGGGAACCUCUAAGUCUCUUCACCAAGGUUUGAUUGUAGAAGAAAUGAGUGACCUUGGAGUAGUAGGAUUGCUAGAUGUACCCUCCAAGGUGUUGGCCUCUUUAGAGAGAAAAUGGAGAGACAAUUCUCACCAAUUUUCCCCCAAAAUAAACCCUUAAUCACUUAAUGAAUAUUUGGCUAUAAAAUCAUUUUAUAUAGUCACUUCUUUAAGUGACCUAAACAACCAAAACCCUAAUUCAUUUCAUCAUGGCCGGCCAUUUAGGGGAUUUUGGGCUUUUGGGCUUUAAUGAAUCUUCAUUCAUUAAAUUGUCAUACAACUUAAGUUAAUGGGCUUGACGUUCGAAGCCCAUUGGGCCUUAAGGUCCAAAACUAUCCCGAAGUCUUUAACGAACUUAUUCGUUUGAUUAAUUAACAUAUUAAUUAAUCCUUGCCAUAAUUAAAUGAUUAAACCAUUUAAUCAUUCUUACUCACUUCCGUUUAAUCUUCAAUCUCCACCUUUUAUGGUGUGCGAUCCAUUAGGUUCCUUUUAGCGAGGUAGUGGGCGAUUAAAACCAUUUUACAUCGAUUGUGAAUUGAAACUAUUUUCAAUUCUCCCUUUAGUGAUUACACAAGUUUAGGGCUUCCACAAACCAUGAGUGACACCUAGCAGCAUAUCAUGGUUACCCAAGCUAAUCAGAAGAGGAUAGAGAACCUAUUCAGUUUGGGAUUACAAAUGCAAUACGGUCUUUCUCUAAUCUAAUACUCUUGACCACAUUGUUUGGUAUGAUAGUUUAUUUACUCAUGUCUACUAUCCAAUGUGAAUCGUUUGCUUAUAUGAUUUCCUUGAAUGUGAUUUGGAACGCAUUCCCUAAUCUCAUUCAUACUCUGGCCAGAGAUUCCAAAUCAUAUCAUAGAGUAUUCUCCCUCAACUGUUUGAAGGUUAGAGAUCCCUUGUUGCGCAUUCACUUGUCUCCAUAGCUAAGUGGCUUAACCCCAACGAUGUCGUGGACACCCCGAGGGGGUGACUUUGACAUAAUCAAAGAUCAAGGACUUAACCACAAGACAACUGUGAUGCCUCAGGUCAAAUGACUACUUUGCAUUAUCCCAACCAUGAGUUCUCAUGUGACAUGGAAUAUAAGAACUCUUCGUUGAUCACGUUCAGUGAACUCAUUCUCUAUUGAGCACCUACGUACUUGUCUUGAUGUCACACACACCAAUGACUCGAGACUAAUCACUCUCCCUGAGAGAAGACAUAGUACGUACUGAUCUUAACGGACUGUCAACACCCAAUUGGCAAUCCUAUGAUCAGGAACGUUUAGGAUGUGUCUACGAAAGAAUGGUCUCAUGAAUCUAACUUCAUUAGAUUACAUUCUCCCAAUCACAUAUUCCUUGGACUUUAUCGUUUAAGCAUAUAACAUUUAUAUGAGACGGCUCAAACAAUAAUGUAUGCCCUUUAUAUGUAAAACUAGAUUAGUUUAACAUGUGAAAUGUUCGUAAAGUAUCAUCACAUGAUUGGCUUUAGGGCACAUUUCCAACAAUCUCCCACUUGCACUAGAGCCAAUCAGCUUGGUCAUCUUGAUUAUACCUCUUCUGUAGUCAUUUCAUAAAUGCUGAAUAGUAGGCCUAGGCAGUGGAUAUCUAUAUGUGUUAUCCACAGAAGCAACCUUGAGAAUAACGACGUCACCAUUAUACAUGAUUCUCAAUCAUGUGGUUCAGUCUCUCAUUUGUGUUCGGAUCUUGAUGAGACCUUGAUUCCCAGGCUUGAGCUAUCGCCCCAUUAGUGUCAUACACUUUCUGGUUGGAAUCGAAUAGAGAGUUCAUAAAUGAACUUUCCCAUCCAAACAACAUUGUUGUAAACUUCUAUAUGGCAAUAUAUCUUGCAUUCAUAAUGGAACACACUAAAGUCAUUACUUUAAUGUUUCCAUCCAAAUAUCUCUUUAGUCAUAAUAAAGAGAUAUUUGUUAUCUCUUCAUUCAUAAUGAAGAAACAUCCAAUGAUGGAUUAGAUUCAUAAUCUAAUACAUUUACGCUUCCAUUACGUUACUCUAAUUCUUCCUCAUUCUUUGAGGAAUCUAUCCUUUAGUAUUUCUUAAAUACUUAAGGACUCACUUGACAGUUGCCACGGUUCUGAUCCUGGGCUUGCACUGAUAUCGUCUUGUACCGUUCUAGGUACAACUUAUAUCAAUGUUUUUCAUACAAUAUGAAAUACAUAAAUCACCUUUCUGCUUAUGCAUAAAGGAUUCAAUUUACGCAUUAUUUCUAUGGGAGUCAAAGGGUACGUUCCCUUUGAGAAUGGCAACUUGCUAGUCUUACUAGAAUCGUCCUUCUUAUUGAAGUUUAUCAUCAUAUGAGAAACUUCCUAGCAUCCAUUGUCUAUUAUUAGGGAUUGAUAUAAUCCAAUUAUAUCAUGAAAUAUAUCAUUAUAGAUUUCCAUCCCAUGUAUAUAGACUAUAUCUCCCAUAUACAUUCUAUCUUCAUAUAAUGUAUUAAAGUCAUAACUUUAACGAAGAAGUAUUCUUUUCAUUUCCAAAAUUAAUAUAUCAUAUAUACUUAAAUUUUAGGAACAUGAUUAACUCCCACUAAUCUUUUGUAAAACUCGUAAACAAAAGAUUCAUUUACAUCUUGAUGAGAAAUCAAACGAUUUGAUCCUUUUUCCUCAUAAAAUGCAAAUAGCUCCCACUAACUUGCUAAGAUCCAUGAUGGAUGGAUCUCUACAACUUACAUGUCUUGUGAUUUAUAGUUUUGGACAUAUAUUAUCAAGAUUAUCUUAAUAAUGGUUUCAGAAACCCAUAUUAUGUCAAAACAUUGAAUCACCAUUUUAGUUGUAGCUAGCAAUCUUCGAAUUAAUUGAAACCAAGCCUAUCUCAAAGAUGGUUUCUUCAAAGUCAACCAUUCUCUUUGAUUGUAGUUACCUUAAGCUACCAAUUAGCUAUGAAGGUUUCAUUAUUUCGAGUCAAAUGGUACUUUACCAUUUCCUUGAGUAUAUAUCGUAUAUGUACUCAAUGUAGUCAUAAGGAUUUUCAUUCUUAUCGACUACCUUGGAGCUUGUGGUAUAGGAACUAGGUUGUUAUAUUUGUUGAUUACUAUCUUGUCUCUCAAAGAACCCAUUCUUUGAGUUCUAUCUCUCGUUCAUUUGCUUUUAGGCAAAUCACAUUGUAUGAUUACAAUGAACUACCCAACAAAACAACAUUUGUUAGUUGGUUUAUAGAAGUGAUAUCCAAAAGUUAAUUUAAGGAUAUCCCACAAGAUUGUUAUCAAACAAAUAUUGCUUAUUAGCACACAACCCCAAAUCUUAACAUGCUUAAGAUUUGUCUUUCUUUCCAACUACAUCUUAUGGAGUUAUGAAAAUUUUGGAAGAUCUUCUAAUUGGCAAUCAUAUUGUUUUAGAAGUAUAUAUCCUAUAUAUGGGUAAUAGAUAACAUCUAACGAACUAAAUCUUAUUCGAGUUCGUUCUUCUCCUAAUGGAGAAAUACAUUAUCUUAUGAUGCUAUUUUCCUUGAUAUCUUUCAAGGAAACUCAUCUAAAGUGUUACCUUUCCUUGGAUCAAAUCUAAGGAGGUAAAUACUUUAGAUAUCUUACUCAUCUAUUUACAUUUCUUGAAUUCUUUGAAACCUUUUGCAAAGUAUUCGGACUUGUGUUUAUUCAAAAUAAACUAUAGUCCAACCGAGAGUGAUCUUCGGUGAAUGUCAUAUAACAUGAGUAGUAUUAUGUUGUGGACAAGUGCCACUAACAUCUAAGUGAAUUAACCUCAACAACUUUGUGAUUCUUUCUUCUUUCCAAAAGAAUAAAGAUUCGAACAUUUCGCCUCUAUACAAUUUUAACAAGAAGGUAUUGGAUCCGGAUCUUACGAUCCAAAGCAUCCUUGUUUCACCAACUCGUAACUUAUGUUUUAGAGGUAUCACAAUUUAGUUGGGAUUAGUCACUACCUUGCAACCUUUUGGGUUUUAAGCAUCAUUAUAUUCUAAACAGUUAACACUACCAUAUCAUCUCUACUAUAGAGACAAUCAAUUAGAUUACUAUAAUCCAAUUUCUUUGGUAGUUCAUAUGAGGAAGUAAGUACUAUCUGCUUUCGCAGAGAUCUAUAUCUUAUUCACGUUCCGUAUGUGAAGCACCUUUUCUUCUCUCAUAUAUCUUCUACUUCUUAUUAGUCACACUUUUACAACGAUUUGUAAGACAUAGUUACUAAUACGGAAUCAUACAUUCAAGUAGAAGAACCAACUGUUUUGAACUAUUCAAGAACAAUUUACAACACCUUCGAAAGGUGUGUCCUUGACACUUGCAAGACAUUUCUUGCAAAUACCCCUUCCAAUGUCCAUCCUUUCAUAAAGAAAGUUUGUUCCCUUGGAGUUAUUUAUCUUCUUUAUUUGACUUUCACCUUUAACUACAUUAGUCAUGGUCCCUAAACUCCCACUAUCUCUCUUGAAACCUUUUUCAAUUGUGUUAUACACAUCAAACAAUUUGGAGAGUAUGUGGUUAUUGUUCACUACAUAGUUUACCAUAAACUUAGUGAACCAUUAGGAUAGGGAAACAAAGGUGAAGUCCUUGCCUAGUUUCCGUCUCGUUAAGUGGUUUAACACUUCAACACUCAAUGAUUCAAAAUCAUCAUAAGUCCAUGUUAAUGGACUAUUUUUGUCAACCAACCAUUAUGUUCUAAACAUAAUUACAAACUUUCAAGAGUUGUACAAGGCAACUCUCAUUUCUUCAUACAACAAUUUGUAAGUGAAGAAUCAUGGCACAUAAAGUGUCCAUGCCCUUGUGCUUACUUCUCAAGUUCUUUGUUCAAUUAACAAAGAAAUAAGCACUAAGUGUUUGUAUUGACUAAGGGUUGUUCAAAGCAACUCUUAUUUCUUCAUACAACAAUUUGAAGAAUUAUGACAUUAAAAGUGUUGUCCUCUCUAUGAUAGACCUUUUCUAACAUAUUCUUCUAAUGAUACAUUAUCAAUAGGAAGAUUGUGAGGAUGAGACUACUUAGGUACUUUUACAAGCCAUUAAAGACAAUCUAUGGUUUUGUAGUACCAAGUCCGGAAACUAAAACAUUCGGUUUUGUCAAGUGUUGGAUAGCGUUUGCAAAUAUAUUGGUAAACAAAUACAUAACGAAUAUAAAUUGAUUGAUUUUAAGCCAUUUGAUUCGGGUCUUUAAAUCAAAUAGCAUCACCCACUAUUUUUGGCAAAUUCCAUAUCCCUCAUUGGAAUUCGAGAGUUUUGGAUGAAACUCUUAGUAGGUUAUGGGAGGCUCACUAUUACCAAGCCCACCUCAGAAUUAUAUCAUGUUGGCUAGCGUUAAUGAUAAUGAGAGAGUACGCUUACUCAUUUGCAACUAAUGCAAGUACCCAUCUUAUUUGGCCUCUAGAGAAUGAUUGCCUCAGAAUUAUAUCAUGUUGGCUCCAUUGCACUUAGUUAAGUCAUUCCCACCAUGCUUAGUUCAUGUAGGGGUUCAAGCAUAGCCUCAGAAUUAUAUCAUGUUGGCUAAACUCAUUGCCUACACUCACCUCAUCAUAUGCGUAUAGACUCCUCCUGAGUAUAAGCAUGCACUUUGUACUUCCCCAUUAUAGGGUGAAGGCGGUGUACAAGUCAUAAACGAUUGGAGCCUACCACGGUGGAAGGCCACGAAAGAGUGUUCAAAGCACUCUCACGCUUUCAACUUAAUAUUGGGUUAGUUGAGGGUUUUAGAUCUCAUCACAUAUCAAUAUACAUUUUAAUCUCUAUUAAAACAAUUUUGGUCCUAUUACAACUAUUGGUCCAUAUGAUUGUUUUAGUUGUACAUAAUACUCCCACUAUGCUUUUAAAACGGUUUUUAAAGCAAGAGUAUAUGUUACUACUAACAUAAGGUUUGCAUUUAUUUAAUUGACUAUAUAGUUGCCUUAGGGCCUUAGGAUGACUAUGAACCUUUGUUUAGAUUCAACACGAGCCUUGUGUUGAAUCUCGGUCUAGGGAUGGAGAUUGAUUUUAGUUACGCGUUUAAUCACAUUAAGGCGUGUUGUCUUAGGGGCGUUGGACCCAAUUACUUCAUUUUCAUGCAUAUCAUAUAAAGCAAGAAAGAAAUACUUCAAAGUAAAGGAUGAGCUUAUGCUCAUUACAACAUUUGCAUAAAACAAAUUACCUUAAAGUAAAGAAGGACUUAUGCCCUUUUACAACAUUUGAUCAAAUCAAAUUACAACCAAAAUCUAAUCUACACAUUCCCAUGGUUCAAACAAAUUUGAAACGCCUUUCACAUAGCUCAAUUAUAUUAGGCUUAGGUUCAUAAUCAUCCUUUAAUUAAUUAACGCUUUAACUAAUUAAUUGAAUGCAACAUUUUCAUUUGGUUUUUGUAUCCAUAAAAUUGAUUUAAGUGGAGCUAAACAAAAUGAAAAUCCAAUUCUCAUUUAAAGAGACAAAACAAUUUUGUUCUCAUCCUAUUUGGGCCAUCAUGCAAUAACCACAACUUUUUGGGCCAUAUUACGAAAACAUAAACUUUUGGGGUCACUUUGUAAAAACACAAAAGUCACUACUUCAUGUAAAUACAACUAGAACCCAAAAUUUAAAUAAAUUCUAAAACUUCAUUAAAGGAGCAAAACAAUUUGUCCUUAAGCGUUUUUAGGCCUUAACGUCAAAACGUAAACUUUCGGGUCAAAGUACAAAUACACAAAAGUAUCAAAACUUUAUGUAAUUGCAUAAAAGCCCCAAAAUUACCCUAUUUUAUUAGGGUGGCCGGUUUUUAGGGAUAAAAAUGAGUGGUGGGUGUUUUGAUUUAUUAGUUUUGUCAAAAACAAUCAAGUAGUGCUUUCACCUUUCAUAAAAAUAAUAUAUGUUUUGAUGAUUGAUGUUUCCAUCAUCAUUUAUACAAAUAUUUAACACUUUAAAUACUUUCAUAAAAUUAAUAUAUGUUUUGAUGAUUGAUGUUUCCAUCAUCAUUUAUACAAAUAUUUAACACUUUAAAUACAUGAUAAAUCAUUUGAAAAACAUAUAUCAUAAACUUUAUGAAAUAAGUCAAAACUUUGAAUCAAAACACAAACCUUUGUGUUCUUGGCAAGAACAUCAAGAACAUAUGAAGAACAUCCAUGAAAAGCCAUAAAAGCUCCAUGAAUGUUUUCAUGCAAUAAAACUCAAAUUUUUAUCAUUCAAAAUGAGGCUAACAUCCUAGGGUACUUAGGGGUUCCAAAAGUCACCUUAAAACCAUUUUAACAAGACAAACAUGAACCCAAAAAAUCACCCUUUGGAUUUGGCCGAAAAUCCCUAAAAUCAUGGCACCAAAUUUUAGCUCCAAUAUUCAUCCUCAUAUGAACUACAUCUACAACAUUUGAGAUGGCAAAUUUUCAAACAAAAUUUACAUUCAAAGAAGCAAGAAUAAAGCUUGUAACAAUUACAACUUUUAAAUCAUAAACUUAUGAACUACAAAACCCAAAAGGAUUCACCAACUACUAGACCUAGGCUCUGAUACCACUUGAAGGAUUUAUUUUGAAAAACAUGUUCAUUUGAGCAACAUCAUAUAGCAUGCAAUUAACAAUUAAAUGCGGAAUCAUGCUUGCAUGCACUCAAAAACAAAACAUUACCAUGAAAUUCAAAGCCUAGUAGAUUGGUGAACCAAUAAUCAACUACAAAACAAAGUGAGUUGAAAUUAUUACCUUUGUAGAUUCCUCUUUGCAUAAGCAAAGGCUAAUCACCCAAAGAGAUAGGGCCUUCAUUCCUUGCUUCUUAGAUCCAUGGAUUUGGAUGGAAAAAUAGGUUUCUCCAAGUUCCCAAAAUAGGGAACCUCUAAGUCUCUUCACCAAGGUUUGAUUGUAGAAGAAAUGAGUGACCUUGGAGUAGUAGGAUUGCUAGAUGUACCCUCCAAGGUGUUGGCCUCUUUAGAGAGAAAAUGGAGAGACAAUUCUCACCAAUUUUCCCCCAAAAUAAACCCUUAAUCACUUAAUGAAUAUUUGGCUAUAAAAUCAUUUAUAUAGUCACUUCUUUAAGUGACCUAAACAACCAAAACCCUAAUUCAUUUCAUCAUGGCCGGCCAUUUAGGGGAUUUUGGGCUUUUGGGCUUUAAUGAAUCUUCAUUCAUUAAAUUGUCAUACAACUUAAGUUAAUGGGCUUGACGUUCGAAGCCCAUUGGGCCUUAAGGUCCAAAACUAUCCCGAAGUCUUUAACGAACUUAUUCGUUUGAUUAAUUAACAUAUUAAUUAAUCCUUGCCAUAAUUAAAUGAUUAAACCAUUUAAUCAUUCUUACUCAUUUCCGUUUAAUCUUCAAUCUCCACCUUUUAUGGUGUGCGAUCCAUUAGGUUCCUUUUAGCGAGGUAGUGGGCGAUUAAAACCAUUUUACAUCGAUUGUGAAUUGAAACUAUUUUCAAUUCUCCCUUUAGUGAUUACACAAGUUUAGGGCUUCCACAAACCAUGAGUGACACCUAGCAGCAUAUCAUGGUUACCCAAGCUAAUCAGAAGAGGAUAGAGAACCUAUUCAGUUUGGGAUUACAAAUGCAAUACGGUCUUUCUCUAAUCUAAUACUCUUGACCACAUUGUUUGGUAUGAUAGUUUAUUUACUCAUGUCUACUAUCCAAUGUGAAUCGUUUGCUUAUAUGAUUUCCUUGAAUGUGAUUUGGAACGCAUUCCCUAAUCUCAUUCAUACUCUGGCCAGAGAUUCCAAAUCAUAUAUCAUAGAGUAUUCUCCCUCAACUGUUUGAAGGUUAGAGAUCCCUUGUUGCGCAUUCACUUGUCUCCAUAGCUAAGUGGCUUAACCCCAACGAUGUCGUGGACACCCCGAGGGGGUGACUUUGACAUAAUCAAAGAUCAAGGACUUAACCACAAGACAACUGUGAUGCCUCAGGUCAAAGGACUACUUUGCAUUAUCCCAACCAUGAGUUCUCAUGUGACAUGGAAUAUAAGAACUCUUCGUUGAUCACGUUCAAUGAACUCAUUCUCUAUUGAGCACCUACGUACUUGUCUUGAUGUCACACACACCAAUGACUCGAGACUAAUCACUCUCCCUGAGAGAAGACAUAGUACGUACUGAUCUUAACGGACUGUCUACGAAAGAAUGGUCUCAUGAAUCUAACUUCAUUAGAUUACAUUCUCCCAAUCACAUAUUCCUUGGACUUUAUCGUUUAAGCAUAUAACAUUUAUAUGAGACGGCUCAAACAAUAAUGUAUGCCCUUUAUAUGUAAAACUAGAUUAGUUUAACAUGUGAAAUGUUCGUAAAGUAUCAUUACAUGAUUGGCUUUAGGGCACAUUUCCAACAAUCCCAAGCUCGACUCCACCGUAACACGAUAUUGUCCGCUUUAGGCCCCGACCACACCCUCAUGGUUUUGUUUUUGGGAACUCACACAAGAACUUCUCAAUGGGUCACCCAUCCUGGGAAUGCUCUAGCCCGAACUCGCUUAACUUCGGAGUUCCGAUGGAUCAUGGAACCCGAAGCCAGUGAGCUUCCAAAAGGCCUCGUACUAGGUAGAGAUGGGAAUAUACAUAUAAGACUUACAGGAUCCACUCCCCUGGACAAUGUGGGAUGUUACAAUAAAUAAAUAAAUAUAUAUAUAUAGACUUAAAAAAAAUUGAUAGCCCUAGGCGUACGCCUAUUCAGCUAUCCUCAGGGCCGACUGUGACAUCCCACAUCGCCCAGGGGAGUGAUCCUUAAAUUUAUAUUCUCAUCCCUACCUAGCACGAGGCUUUUUGGGAGCUCACUGGCUUCGGGUUCCGUAGGAACUCCGAAGUUAAGCGAGAAGGAGGCCAGAGCACUCCCAUGAUGGGUGACCCACUGGGAAGUUGCUCGUGAGUUCCCAAAAACAAACCGUGAGGGAAUGGUAAGCCCAAAGCGGACAAUAUCGUGCUACGGUGGUGGAGCGGGCCCGGGAAGUGAUCCAUCCCGGGCCGGGAUGUGACACCGACCUUGCCCUCUAUUAUACAAGCUUCUUUGUGUGUGUCUCUAAGAAAAAAAUUAGUUAUUUUGUAACCCUCGAUGCAAUUAACAUUAAAAAAAAAGUAGCUAGCUCAAAUACCUCACAGCCAAAUUUCAAGCACAAGUGUUCACUCAAACCCCAUUUGAAGUUGCUUGUGUAAACGCUUGUGUUCCUAAGCACUUUCGAUAGAACCACAUUUCAUUAAAAAUCUUCUUGAAGCAUCCAGCACUUUAAAAUUAUGCCACAAUUUCGCCAGAAAAUCACCUUUAAAGUCGGCCACAAAUGGAACUAAAUACUUCAUACUUCAUAGCUUAUACUGAUUUUGCGUGGUUAAAUAUUUUCUUCAUCUUAUUAUUUGCACAAAGUCAUAAUUAAAAAUGUUGAUGCACAAAAUCGAAGUCUUGGAACAACAUAAAUCCGACCGUGAAUCUGCAAGUAAUGUAAAUAACACAAGAUUUAUCGUGGUUCACCCCAAGGUUUGGGCUACGUCCACACUGAUUGUAUUUAUUUGAGGGAGAGUGAGCUCUGAGAGUGAGAGCGUUGAGAGGGGGUGAGAGGGCUUAGGAAUUGGUGUCCCCCAAUUGUGAGAGUGAGGGGUUCUUUUAUAAAAUAAGGACUCCUCACUUAUUACAUAUUUGCCUCUUCCUUUAUCACAUAAUUACAUUUAAGUCCCCCGAGUAUUUGUACGAGAUCUAAAUAUGAGGCCCUAAAUAUGGUAUAAACAGUAGUCCCCCAAGUCUUCAGUCAAGAGAGUCUUUUGGCUGGAGACUUGAAAUUCAGUCUAUGUGUGGGCCGAAGUAACUAGAUGUUGUCUUGAACUUGAUGCUCGAUAUAAGGCGGUGCUCAAUCUGAAAUGAUGUUCAACUAGAAGUAUCACAUGCUACGAGGCUGCUUGGCUCGUGGCUUAUGUUGCCUUGGUUGGCUCGGCUUGUGGCGUUGAAGGUGAGGGAGUCUCUUUUAUAGAAUAAGGGCUCAUUCCUCAAUACAUGAAUGAUGGGCUAGAGUUGAUGCUCUCUAAUUAUGGUGAGGGAGUCCCUUUUAUAGAAUAAGAGCUCACUCCUUAAUACAUAAAUGAUGGGUUAUGAGUGAUGCUCGCGGCGAGGGGGUUGCUCAGCUUGCGGCGAUGCUCUCUAACGAAUGUGAGGGAGUCCCUUUUAUAGAAUAAGGACUCACUCCUUAAUACAUGAAUGAUGGGCUAGAAUUGAUGCUCUCUAAUAAGGUUGAGGGAGUCCAUUUUAUAGAAUAAGGGCUCGCUCCUCAAUACAUAACUGAUGGGUUAGGAGUGAUGCUCACGGUGAGGCGGUUGCUCAGCUGGCAGCGAUGCUCUCUAACGAAGGUGAGGGAGUCCCUUUUACAAAAUAAGGGAUCGCUCCUCAGUACAUGAAUGAUGGGCUAGAGUGAUGCUCGCGACGAGGCGAUUGCUCAACUAGCGGCGUUGCUCUCUAAUGAAGGUGAGAGAGUCCCUUUUAUAGGAUAAGGGCUCGCUCCUCAAUACAUAAGUGAUGGGCUGGGAGUGAUGCUUGCGGCGAGGCGAUUGCUCAGUUGGCAGCGUUGCUCUCUAAUGAAGGUGAGAGAAUCCCUUUUAUAGAAUAAGGGCUCGCUCAUCAGUACAUGAAUAAUGGGUGCUCUCUAAUGAAAGUGGGGGAGUCCUUUUUAUAGAAUAAGGGCUCGCUCCUCAGUACAUAAAUAAUGGGCUACAUCCCCCAAGUAUUUUCCAUGAGGCCCAGUUGAGGCCCAAUAUAUGGUACAUAAUGUAGUCCCCCAAGUUUUCGGUCAAUAGAGUAUGUUGGCUGGAGACUUCAAAUUGAAUCCAUGUAUGGGCUGAAGUGGCGGUUGUUCGGAUGCGGCAUUUGUAUACCCUGCACUGAAGCUUUGUAGGUGAAGCUUUGCAAGUGAAGCUUUGAAGCUAGAGCUCUGUAAAUGAAGCUUUCGAAGCUGGAGCUUUUGUAAAUAAAGUUUUUGAAGCUAGAGCUUUGUAAAUGAAGCUUUUGAAGCUGAUUGACAUGAGUGAUGCUCAUGAAUGUUUAUGUUGAUUGACAUGAGUGAUGCUCAUGGAUGUUGUCAUGAGUGAUGCUCAUGAAUGUUAAUAUGAGUGAUGCUCAUGAAUGUUGACAUGAAUGAUGGUCAUGAAUGUUUAUGUAUGAUUGUCAUGAGUGAUGCUCAUGAAUGUAUAUGUAUGAAUGACAUGAGUAAUGCUCAUGUAUAAUUUGGAGUACUGGGCGUACUUUUGAUCACCUGGUUGGUGGCAUGAAGGAGAAUACGGGUUGUACAUUUCAUCACCUGGUUGGUGGCUUGAAUGGCUAGUUGCCAAAUGAUAUUUAGAGUAUGGGUUGUACAUUUCAUCACCUGGUUGGUGGCAUGAAUGGCUAGUUGCCAAAUGAUAUUGGAGUACGGGUUGUACAUUCAUCACCUGGUUGGUGGUAAUAGCGGCAGGUUGUCGAAUAAUUUUUUGUAGUGCUGGGCAUACUUUUGAUCACCUGGUUGGUGCUAUUUUGGGCUUAUGGGCCUUUGCCCUCCACAACAUGCCAGCCCAUUUAUUUUGGGCUUUGCCGUUUUUUUUUUUUACCCUCUGAUGGGGUUUAUACAGAUAUCUCUGAAAGAUAAGAAAAAUAAAUCACAUCAUACAAAAACAAGAAAAGUAAAUCACAUCAUUCUGGUGGGGUGUUUAUUUCUUGCUUUUGCUUUCUCUUUUGCUGCUUUCUGAAAUAUUCUCCCAACGACAUGAUCUUUUUUCUUUUUCUUUUCUGUUCCUUUACCCUGAUCUCUCCACCUCCAGGCACACUCACUUGCUUUUGCUUUCGUUUUCUGAUUUGCUUUUGCUUUUGCUUUCGUUUUUCUUUCUGCUUUUGUUUCCCAUUCCCUGCAAUUUUUAGGAUUCCCAUAAUUGGCAUUAGAACCUACAGCUGGAUUUCCAAUAGCAGCUGCAGCUCUUACUCUCUUCUCCAUGUUAGCAAUUUCUGCACGAACCCAAAGAACACAACAGAUCUGAUUCAAUGUCUCCCCCACGACAUCGAAAUCGCCAACGUGGACUAAGGCUUUGUUGUUGUAAUCUACUCAGAAAUAGUGACGAGCACAGGGGCGCCAAGCCCUUCUCAGUAACAACUUGUAACGGAAACCAGUCCAGGCCGCCCUAGGUGAGCCUGGUCCAAAUCCACCAAUUUCUUUACCCACCGUCACCAAACUACCGAACUCUGCUCGCUUAUCUCUCUCACUAUCCGCCUUCCUCCCGUCGUUCAACUCAAAUGGCGGCGACGACACAAACAAGUCCUUCAAACUGUUCCUCUAAACCGGAAGCUCUUCCGGUAGCGGCAUCGAAACCGGUCGGGUCACGGCGGCGACUGCUGCUCCGAGUGAGAAGCAUGAGCAAGGUGGGUUUACGGUGGGGGAGCAGGAUCGAGGGGCUCGACCGCGCGGCUUCGAGUCGGGCUCUAGGCCAUGCCGUACUGCGUGGUGAGGCGCUUGAAUUUCUGCAAAGUCCCCAUCUUUUGGAUUUGAAGUCUGUUGCUGCUGCUAACUCUCAUUCCUCUCUUUAUGAAAGCAGAGCAAGAACAAGCAUGGGGGGCACAAUCUUCAACAUCAGAGCCUUCUCCAGAAACUUCCACGUGAUGGGCACGUUGUUUUCCCAGCAAAUAUAAGAAACCAACACGUUGGCGAGCUCCACCGAGGGCAAAGAAACUCCCAUGGAGUUCAAGUUAGAGGACAACUGUAUGACCCAGAGCUGAGGAUCACUACCUUUUUGCUGUGCCCCUUUGGUCAGCUCCACCACACUACCCCAGAGGUUGCCUCGGAAAGAACCCUCCAUUUCUGAGUCAGAUUUGGUUAUGGUUUUGGAAUUUGGAGUAGGUUGGUGAGAAUGUAUAGAAAGAGAGAGGAGAGAGAGAGAGAUAAAGAGAGCAGAUUGAGACGAUGGAGAUGAGACUAGUUCUUUUUUGUUUUGGUUUCCGUGAGAGAGGAGAGAGAGGUGGUUGGAGUUGGUGCGAAGGUUUUCUGGAAAAGCUUUGGGUUGCUGGAUUUUUGCAGAUUUUGCAGAUUCACGGUGGAGGUGAAAAAAUGAAAAAGAACCGACAUAGUUUUUCGUAUCGAUUCCCACAGACGGCACCAAAUGUUGAUGCACAAAACCGGAGGUCUUGGAACAACGUAAAUCCGACCGUGAAUCUGCAAGUAAUGUAAAUAACAGAAGAUGUAUCGUGGUUCACCCCAAGGUUUGGGCUACGUCCACACUGAUUGUAUUUAUUUGAGGGAGAGAGAGCUCUGAGAGUGAGAGCGUUGAGAGGGGGUGAAAGGGCCUAGGAAUUGGCCUCCCCCAAUUGUGAGGGUGAGAGGUUCUUUUAUAGAAUAAUGACUCCUCACUUAUUACAUAUUUGCCCCUUCCUUUAUCACAUAAUUACAUUUAAGUCCUCCGAGUAUUUGUACGAGAUCUAAAUACGAGGCCCUAAAUAUGGUAUAAACAAAAAAGAUUAAUGAUUUUCCACUAAUAGUUUAUCUUCUGUUGGUUAAGAAAAUAUUUCAGCGGAAAAACCUUACAAUUAAAUCUCAAGCGCAAGUGUUACUCGAUCCUCGUUUGAGAAUGCUUGCGUUAAGUACUCAUGUUCCUAAGCAUUUUAGCAGAAGCACUUUCGAUAGAAGCAUAUUUUAUUAAAAAUCACAAUAUAUUAUACAAAAAAAUAAUAGUUUAUCAAAAUUUCUAUAACAAAAUAUAUUAUGAAUUGAAAAAAAAAGGAUUAAAUAUAAUUAAUACAUUAAAUUAGGAAGAAAAGGAGAAAUAAAAUAUCUUAAUGGAUGAGGUGAUUAAAUGUAUGAUAACAUGUACGUUGAGUUAAGGGACUGAAGUUAUUUUAAAUCUUACACAAGAUUUUAGUGAAAAAUUGAUUUCUUUUAAAGACUAAAAUGAAGUUUUCUACAAUAUUAAUUUAGAGUAUUUCUAAACUAUCUGUUUAGCUAACGUUAUUAUAAGAUCAUCUCCAACUGAAAAGGCUAAAAAUAGUCUCAUUCAGAAUUAUAGUCAUGCAAGAAAUAAUUUUUAAAUGAACAGUAUUAGACCAUACUCAUGUACCAUCUCCAACUGAAGCGGCUAAACAUAGCCUAGCCCCCUCAACAAUUUAUUAUUUUUAAUUCAAACUUGUAAGUGAGAGGUUUUAUGUUCGAUAUUUGCCAUGGUAUUAUGACUAGCCUACUUUGAGACUUAGUCCACUCUUCCACUCCUUAGUGUAGAUAAUAUCAUAUGUAUUAAAAAAAGUUUAUAUUUUAAAUUUAUUGGUUAAUUUAAUUAAACUACCGUUGAAUAUUUUCAAACUUGACCAUUAAAUUUAAAUCAAUUAUUGCAGCUGAAGAGUUUGACCCCCAAAAAAAGGACUAAGAGGAGGCUACAUUUGGCCAGCCUGAUGCCCUUUUGGCUAAAUAAUGGCCUAGUGAAUUCAAUAUAAUUAUAACCCAAUCAUCCACUAAAGAAAGAUUUUUAGACAAAUAAGACCAUUUUUUGGCUUUUGGACCUUUAACCAUCUUUAUUGGAUAUGGCCUAAGAAAAUUUAAUUAGGGACAGUAACAAUGAACAAUAAAAAAAAUUAAGGGAUAGUUUAGUUGCGGUCACUGACCCCUAACUGUUAUAUAUUCAAACCUUAUGCAUUUUAUGUUUUAUAUUGAAGUCACUCUUCUGCCACAUAAAUAACAUAAUAAUAAAAGAAAUGCAAUGAUACCAAUAAAGACUCAAACCGUUAUUUUGCUUUCAUUUUCAUUACCAAUUUAAUUAUUGAAAUUUUCUUAUGGGUUUCAGCGAAAAAAAAAUGUUUAUGGAUGCAUUCUAGAUUUAUUUUUAUUUUUAUAAAAUAUGAGUACAUUUAUAUAAGGGACAUUUUACAUGUAAAAGUUCGGCACAUUUAUAUAAAAAUGUGGGUACAUUUGACAUACAAAACAUUGGUACAUUUUAUAUAAAUUAAAUGGGUACAUUUUAUAUAAAAAUAAAAUGGGUACAUUUUAAAUAAAAAUAAUCGUACUUACAAAACAAAAAAAUUGGUAUAUUUUGCAUAUCAAAGUGGUACAUUUUUAAAGAAAAAUGGGCACAUUAUAAACAAACUAUGAGUACAAAUAAAAGGUUAAAAAAAUUAUGAGUACAAAUAAAAGUUUAAAAAUAUGGGCAAAGAAAUUAAUAUAUGAGUACAAAUUAAAACUGAAAAGAAAAUUGGUACAAUUUAAAAAAAGGAUUGCAAAUUAAAAAUGGGUACAAACUAAAACUAGAAAUAUAUGAUACAAAGUUUUGACCAUAAAUAUAAAUAUAUCAAAUGUAUAUAUUUGAUAGCAGAACAAGGACAAUGUUCACUAAGUUUAAACAGUCGAUGAUGAAUGAGUUUGAAAUGACCGAUCUUGGUAAGAUGAGGUACUUCCUUGGAAUUGAAGUAUUGCAGCAAGUAGAUGGAAUAUUUAUCUGCCAAAAAAAAUAUGCUCAGGAAGUGUUGGAAAGAUUUAAAAUGGAAAACUGCAAUCCAACGCACAAUCUUAUUGUUCCAGAUACCAAGCUAACGAAGGAUGUGACUGGUGAGAAGGUUGACAACACUUUCUACAAACAGAUCGUGGGGAGCCUCAUGUAUCUCACAGCCACUCAGCCUGACACUAUGUUCGUGGUAAGCCUAAUUAGCAGAUUUAUGGAGUGUCCAACAGAAAUGCAUUUGGCAGCGGCAAAAAGGGUGUUGAGGUAUUUAAAAGGCACGAUCAGACUUGGAAUUCUUUACAAAAAGGGAGGACAUGUUGAGCUCAGAGGCUACUCAGAUAGUGAUUAUGCAGGUGACUUAGAUGAUAGAAAGAGCACAUCGAGGUAUUUGUUCAUGUUAAGUUCAGGAGCUGUGUGUUGGUCUUCCAAGAAGCAACCUGUGGUUACGUUGUCAACAACUGAAGCCGAAUUCAUAGCAGCAACUUCAGCCGAAUUCAUAGCAGCAACUUCAUGUGCUUGUCAGGCAAUCAGGUUGAGAAGGAUAAUGAAGGAGUUAGGUCAAGCUCAGCAAGAUUCUACAAUGAUUUUCUGUGACAAUAGCUCAGCAAUAAAGCUCUCUAGGAAUCCUGCAAUGCAUGGUCGAAGCAAACUCAUAGAUGUACGUUUCCACUUUCUUCGUGAUCUGACUAAGGAUAAAAUUGUGCAGCUGGUUCAUUGCAACACUCAAGAACAAAUAGCAGGCAUAUUAACCAAGCCUUUGAAGACUGAUGCCUUUCUGAAGAUGCGUGAGCUUAUGGGAGUGUGUCUGGAACCAGGUAUAAACUGAUUGCUUAGCAAUCAGUUUAAGAGAGGAUGUUAGAUUAUUAAUUGAAAGUAGUGGUUAUAUCCACUACGUAAACUUAGGAUUGUUCAUGUAAGCAGUUUUAACUGCAUGGCUAAAUAAGCCCUAGAAUUUAGGGAUCAGUAGAAGUUGGUUUCUUUCAAACUUAGUCAUAUACCACGUUUAGGUUUAGUGUUUAACGUGGGUUGCAUAUUUAUCUUUCAGUUAUGUAAGGCUUAUAUAUAGUCGGCUUGUUUUUGAUAAAUGUUAUGUGAAUCUCCUCCCAGUUUGCAAAGAUCUCAUUCGAUAAACACUUGGUUUUAACAGACAAGUUAUUCAACAGAAAAGCCGUUUAUAAAAAAGGUUGCACCAACAUAUCAAGAAAAUAGAAGGACAAACGCAAGACAGUAGAAUAAGAAGUUAAGCUUAACUUUAAAAGAACAGGAAAGUGCAAAUGAAUGUACCCAAAUUCCUAACAAAUCGGAGAUCACUGUUGAUCGAUUGAAGUGGACGGUUGCUCUUGCCCCACCUCAAUAUCAAUAGGAACAUUGAGAUCAAUAUGCCUGUGUUUCAGAUGAUCAUCCGCUGGCUCCAAAGAUCAGGAAAGCCAUUGUUGUUGCAGAUCCUAUCAUCAUCGACGAUAUCUGAGGAUCCAACUGGCCAAGGCUUCUUCCCAAGACUACUCAUUGAUCCCAAAGACAAGGGAAGUCGUUCGUCUUGGUUCCGCAAUAGGCGGUGCACCCAUCAACUUUUAAUGCGUGCAGAGUUGGGGAAAGGAACUAUAACUUGACAAAUAUCACCCUGCUGCUCGUGAUCGUCUAAAUCCACUAACUUGAGCCACACGAGUUGCCUCAAUUUUCAUCUCAUCCCAUAAAUAAGGUACAAGUUUUUGUACUCCCUUGAUGAGAAUAUAAAGAUUAUCAAAAUAAUUAGUUCCUGCUCCAAGAACAACAGAUAGAGCUAACAAUAUAACGUAUCCCCUUGGGAAUGUAGAGGACUUUCAAAACCAAAUUCAUUUCUGAUAGAUGUUCAGUGGUUGUAAGAUGGUCAAGGGGUAUAGCUGGGCCACUUUUGAACUUUAUUGCCUGGCAGAAUAACUUGCAAGUCAGCGAGCUGAAGAGAUUCCUGCAAAUUAAAUAACGUAUAGAUACCUAAUUACUAUAAAUGGGGGUAAGGCGGGAGCAUCCUCUCCAUAAAUGGGGGUAAGGCUAGCCGACAUUCACCUCUCCCAGACCCUGCGUAAAGCGGAAGCCUUAUGCACUAGGUACGACCUUUUUUUAUAGAUAACUAAUUACUAACAGUCGUGAUCUAAAUGCUCUCUCAAGUAUUAACAAAAUUAAUUUUCAUUUCAAGAGAAAUUAAGAAGAAGAGAAAGCAACCUCAUUCAACCAAUUGUUUUUCAACUUUGCCACUUCAUCGCCACUUAGUUUAAUGCAAUUAGUCAACUCCAAACGCUCAAGCAUCGGGGGCAAUUUUGGAAUUUUUUCCAAUGAUGUGCAAUCAUCCAGAUAUAAGCCACAUAAGCUUGGUGGAAGGACUUGUGGAAUUUUUUGAAGCCUCCUGCAACCACUCAAUCUUAGUUUCAUUAAGUUGACAAAUUUGCUAAUGCAAUCCGGAAGACUAACAAAAUUGUUUCUUGACAGAUCAAGGCUUGCUAAUGCGAACCAGCAACCAAGAGGCACAAGGAAAUCACUUUCAGAUAAAUUGCAUCCUCCCAAAUCAAGAUCAAAUAGGUUGGGAAGGGCUAAUGUGAUAGAGUUGUCAUCUGAAGUAUCUGAAUCAGAGAUUGGGUAUUGCAAGAUGAAACUUCAUCAAACUUCACCUUAUUCUUCCCAAAUGUCACGAGUUUUGGGCAUUCACCAAAGUAAACCUGAAUCAGAUCUUGCAACCCAUAUAUAUGAUGUAAUGAUGUACCUGUAAGGUUCACACAUUCAUUUGCUUUCAAUCUUUGAAGCCCAAUAAGAUACGCAAUUGAUGAAGGCAAUUCUCUUAUGCCACUUUGUUGUAUAUCCAAGUCCGUUAGAGAUUCCAUCUUGCCCUCUUCUAUUUUUGGGAAUCUCUCGAGCCUUGUGCAACCUUUGAGAUAAAGCCAUUCAAGGGAUCUCAACCCAAGUCUUGUUGCAAACCUCGUAAGCUUAGAGCACCCAUUAAGAUUCAAGUAAACAAGUUUAUCAAGGAAUCCAACAAAAUCAUCAACCUCAACCAAACUUUUACACUCACUUAGUACCAAGUGCUUUAGAUUUGGGCUUCCGGAUAAGUCGGGGAUUUUUUCUAAGAAUUUGCAACCUCUGAAAUUCAUAGAUGUAAACUUUGCCAAAUUCUGUAAAACCAAAAUCAAAACAAAAUAAAUCACAUGCUUUAAAAGAAUAUAAUGAAACACUUGAGUUUUUUUUUUUUUUUUUGAUAUAAAAUAUGUGUAAAUAUAUAAUGGUUCAAAAUAAUUUAAAGUAUGUACCUUAAAUUCCUUCAAUUGUCUGAUGUCACUGUAUGACAUAUCAAAACUAACUUGUUACAUGACAUCAUCCCAGUCAUCACGACUUUUUUGAAGUACUGUUUGAAUAUCAUUGUAAGGUUCUCCUUUGCAAGAAUCGCAAAUAUCCAAUAUAACUUGCCAACGAUUUAUACUUUUCUUACGCAGAUGAGAACCUAUACAAUUAAGAGCUGAAGGACGGCCUUGAGCAUAGGCUACUACACGUUGUACGAGUUCGAAAUAAUUGUCUGGAGGUUCAUUUCUUCCAAAGGCAUUCAAACUUAAAAGCUCCAGAGCUUCGUCGUCAUUUAACUUUCGGACCUUGUAGAUGAACUUAACUCCAUAAGAUUCCAGCAAUCCUCUAUCUUUUGUGGUUAUGAUCACUCUACUACCCUCACCAAUCCAUUCGACUUCAGCCAAGUUGUUUAAUUGCUCCAAUUCAUCCACAUCAUCAAGAAUUAAGAGAAUCUUCUUUCGCCUCAACAAAUUCUCUAUAAGGCUCUUUCCUUGAUGAGUAUUGACAACUUUCGACUUUGAACCACGAUUAAUCUCACUUAGAAGAGUGUUUUGUAGUUGGAUUAGGCCUCCAUGUUGCAUUGAUGUUUCUCAAACAUCUGCCAGGAAACAACUACCUUCAAAAUUAUGAGCAAUUGCAUUAUAAACAGCUUUUGCAAUUGUUGUCUUGCCUAUUCCAGAUGUCCCCCAAAUCCCAACCACACAGCCACCAUUUCCAUCGACCCCUAAAAGCUCUUUCACCUCUUGUACGCAAGAUUGUAUUCCAACAGGGUGUUUGGCCACAUUCAAAUAGGUGCCAUCAAGUACUCGGACUGAGAUCUCUUUAACAAUGUUACUGAUUAUUGUAGCUUCAUAGCUAGCAGUUCAAAACAAAAAGCACAUUUAAUCAGUGAACUUUUUUUUUUUACUAUAUUUCAGAGAUGUAAAUGUUGUGCUAAGAUAGCACCAAACCCGUUGGAACCAACUCAAGCUAACCCAGUUCCGAGAUGGCGAGGAAAUUCCACUAAUAUCAAAAGGAGAUUACAAAUAGAGUUUUAACUCUCAAACCCAAAUCCCACAUACAACCAAUAGCUCUCACUCAAACUAAGAAACAAAUGGAGAAGAAGAAACACAUAUCAAAAUCCUUCUCUUCCAAAAGCUACACAAGUAGCACCAACAUCUUUGAUUGAGUGAUUACUAACAAAAUGGGAUUAUUACAAAUGGGAGCAGGUCAUAUUCAAAUGGGAGAGCCGAAUGCUCUCCCUGGUUUCUCUCAUCUGCCGCUCCCCCCUCUUUUCUUCUCUCGGCUUCUCCUCAAACAUAUAGCAGCUGCUGCUGCCUUAGAAAAUACCAAAAGAAAAGCUCUUUUUUCAAGUUGCAAAGGAAGGAGCCGAAUAAACCCAAUUCCAUUUGCCUAUAAAAAAAUCCAAAGUAAAGGAAUAAUCAUUCCUUUACAAACAUCAUCAUGACCUUCCUUUUUCUUUUCAACAAACAUCAUCAUUGUGUCUUUACUCAUAAUGAUGUCCACCAAACUUUUCUUUCUUUAAUAGCCGAAAGGAGAGUUGGCUUGUAGUCCACUUGGCCACUAAUUUGGCCGCUAUCCAACAGUAAAAACAAAUAGAGAAAUAUAAAUAUUACACUAUAUUAACAAAAAGUGUACUUGAAAAUUUUUCUCUGUUUCUAUCCAAAAUGCACUAGUAAUUACUAAAGUCAAGUAUGUGUUGCUUGCUAAAGAUCUAAAGAGUAAAAAUGAAAUACAAAACUAAAAUGAUGACAUUAUUGUAGGAAAUUAACUAUAUAAAUAUACGGUAAGGGGAAGAAAUGUACGUACCCUUCCUCCUUGACCAGAUGUCCUGACAAAUUUGCUACUUCUCUAAGAGCUCUCCUCCACAUGAGCACCUUCUUCUUGUUGUCCUUGAAUUUGCCCAGAAGUUUUGUAAACCCGACACCGAAACUACUCGUUUGAUUUUGUACAUGGGACGGAUCCACCUUGUAAAAAACUGGCAAAACUAUUUGUUGCUUUGAUUUUUUACAUUGACGAAUCUUGAUGAGCUCAUCUAAGCACCACCUUGAAGAUGCAUAGUUUUUAGAGAAUAUGACAAGAGAAAUUCUUGACCCUUCAAUUGCUUGGAGGAGCGCUAGUGAUAUUUCUUCUCCUCGUGUACGUUGGCGAUCAAUGAAGGUGUUGAUUCCCUUAUCGACCAAAGCUUUGUAUAAAUGAUCUGUAAAAUUCGUGUGUGUGUCCUCUCCUCUAAAACUCAAAAACACAUCAUAUCUCCAUGAAGGAGGCAAGGAAGUAGAAGAGGCAAGUUGAUCGGCCAUAGGAGAAUUGCAAUGUGCGGUAUGGUAUGGACAUUGGGCCCUCUCUUGUUAUAUCAGCCCUCAUGCUUUUCUUGGCAACUUCAUUUUCAAUUAUUGAAUAUUUUAAUUGCAGGCAUACGGCAUGCAAUGCAACAACAUAAUAUAUAUAUAUAUAUAACAAUGAAAGCGUCGUUGCUUCUCUGCCUUAUAUUAGAGUUAGUCUUCCAUUCACAUUGGUAAACAAAAUAUAUAAUAUAAAACUGAAGAAUGAAGUUUCUCAAAGCCUAGUUGUUUGCAAUCUAAAUUAGGGUUUUUCUAUAAUACUUCAAUGUAUGAGAUGCGACUGUAUUUGAAAGGUCAGAUUGAAACUGUCAAGAUCCAUUUUUUCUAGCAAGUCACGCAUCAAAAUCUAAGUCAGCUGCAGCAGCAUCAACCAAAAGUAGUUUUGAGAAAAGCAUGGAAUAAGUAGAAAUGUGAAAUCAAAAGUUAAGAGUGACUGGAAGUUGCAUAGCUUACCGGAGGUCCAGUCACCAGCAAGCACUUGCCGGGAAGGCCAUCUUUCGCUUCUCCUCCUCCUCCCUCUUCCACUGUCGUUCGUUUUCACCCCCGCUCGAUCAGCCAACAUGACUAACAGG
Molecule: long non-coding RNA, 109971 nt
Filed under: Malus domestica (apple)
Lineage: Eukaryota; Viridiplantae; Streptophyta; Magnoliopsida; Rosales; Rosaceae
Source: RNAcentral